UCCCUUCUCUAUAAAUACACCAUUUCUUCAUCCUCCAUUUCCUCAAACUCCGUUCAACAAAUCCUUUUCCCAUCUCUUCUCUCCUUCUCAAAUUCUCCCGGCCACCGGUCUCCACCGUAAUGUCCCUCGCAUACGCCGUCGCUCACUCUUCUCAGUCAACGCAACUCCGCAUCAGAAACCGCCGGAAAACCAGUUUUCGAAAGCGAUGCUUCCGGAUGAUCAAGCAACAGAAAACCAGAUUUUAUAUCCUCGGCCGUUGCAUCUCCAUGCUUCUUUGUUGGCACGAUCAUGAUAUUACUGAUUAAAUCGCCUAAUUCCACCGUCGAUUGUUGUUUUCUUCCCUCCUAUUUCGACAAUCAACGUUCUUUUCGCCCGCGAGAUCCUCCGAUCGGUAAUUGAACUCCGAUUCUGAAGGAAAUGGAGGUAAAUCGGAAUCUUGAUUAGGUAUCAAAUUGAUCGGAGGAGUUAGGUAUACGGUUUAAUUUCUCACCGGCCGUUAUAACAUACAGCGCCGUGAUUCGUUCGCUUGGAGUAGAUUUCUCUUGAUCGACAGAGAAGAGACAAAUUGAAGGCAAGCAAAAACUAGUUUAAUUUCUCUUUGAACUUUUCUUCUAAUUUUAGUUUGUUAUUAGAUCGUUGAUGACCUUCAUUCGACGUACGGAUACAUGUAUAUAAACUGAUUAGAAAAAUUAAAAAAAAAAAAGGUUUUCUUUUUGUUUUGAAAUCGGACUCUGUUUUUGAGAACGAUUUGAAUUGAAUCUCUGUAUUUAUGAAUUUUGUUGAGAUUUAUCAAUCAUCAGAUUAUCAGUUCUUAUCUUAAUGGAUUCGUUUGCAAAUUAUGAAGAAAGUCAACUUUUUUUCUUCUCUAUACAUAGUUCAUAAUUUUAAUUUGAUUUUUGUGCGAUAAAGAAGUGAGCAGGAAAAUAGUUAUCCAAUUGUGGAAAUAUGUACAAAAAAUUACUUCUUUUCUUUGUUUAAAAUAAUAUUUUCUUCCACUUGUAAAAUCAACCGUAAGUUAAAUAAUAUAGAUUAAAAUUAAGUUUUAUGUCGUAGGAUACCACACGGGUUUACGUGUACAUCACCGAUACAUCUCUAUUCUUUUCAUCAAGAAUUCUUAAAAUUAUUGUGACUUAUCUUUUAAUUUGCCUCUGACCAUCAAAUGAAAUGUGAAUAACUCGUCCUCCUCUCCUUGAAACAAGAAACGCUUUUGAUUCCCUUUAAAUAAUUUAGUCUUCUCUAUAUUACUAUAUCUCUAGAGUCGAUAAUUUAUAUGAAGAAUUAUUACUAUUCAGUUUUCCAUUGAGGUCCUCCAAUGGAGGUACUCAAAUUGGUUACUUCCAUUUCAUGCUUAGAACAAUUCUAUAUUAAAUAAUCUCUUUCUUAUAAUAUAAGACGAUAUUGAUGGGUAUGCAAGGAAAAAUGUGGAAGAUUCAAAUACAAUCUUGUUUGGGUAUGGAGGGUUACAUUUUGAUUCUCAAUUUAUUUAUUUUCUUUUUUUACUUUUAAUUAGUAGUAGAAAUAUGAUUAGUAAUAAAUGGUGAGUAAGAAGAUUGGUUAGGUGGAAUAAAAUUGAACCACAUACCAAAUUUUGAUCAAAAUAUAUAUUUUUUUCUCUUCAUUCUUUUAUGUCAUUUAAGUAAUAGUAUAACCAUGAUUACUAAUAAACACUACAUUAAAAUAUGGUUUGAAUAAAUUUGAUAUUGUUAAUUAGUGUUGAGCUAGACUAAGCUUAUCGUUUAUUAGUGAACUUUUGUGGUUUGAAUUCUAAUAACAUCUUAAAAUGUCUAUUGAAUUCAACUUUGAUGACUUGAAUGGAUAGAUAUGUUAUUCCGACUAAUUUUAUAUUUGAGCUCGAAAAAUAACAGUGAUGUGCUUACCAUUACUUUUAACCUAAAUCUCCACCAUAGUUGGAUUGUUAAUUCCCAUCCAUUAACUUCUAAUCUAAGUAAUGGGACCCACUUAAUGUACGAUUAAAAAAAAAAGCACUUAUUAACACUUUACAUUGGAGGGCCUAAGUAAUAAGUGGUUGUAGUUAUGCCAAAAAUUUAGUUUUUGAUGUUUCGUUUUUUACUUUUGAAUUUUUAUGUCGAAGUAUUUAGUUCUUUAUAGUUUUACUGUCUAUUUAUUUAGUCUUUGUCACCGUCAAUUUUUAAACAAAAUAAUUAUUAAAUUAUAGUUGUUUUCAAAUUAAAAACUAUACAGUGAUUGUUGUUAGAAUUGAAAAUGUAAAUUCAUAAUGAACUUAUCAGACUAAUACAGAUAAUAAAAUUUGACUUUUGUGGUUAAAGAUUUUAGAAUUUCAAGGGAAUAAUUAGAUACUUUCUUAAUUAGGUAAUUUUUUUUUUUUUUUUUUUUUUGAGAAGUACUUUCUUAGGUAAUCAAAUAACUCUAAAUAUCGUUAUAGUGGGUAUACAAUUAAUAUAUUAAAACUCAAUAGACAAAUUGAAGUAUUUAAAAAACUAAGGUGUGUGAGUAUAUAUAUAUAUAUUACUUUUGUUUUAAGUGUUCGUAGUUUGACUUUGAUGCAAUCAAGGAUCAAUAUUUAAAACAUUUAAAUUAUAUUGAAGAAUUAAAUUUCACUUAUUCGAACUUAAUUAUAAUUUUAGGAAUCUUUGACAAAAUUAAGUUCUGGGAAAUUCAUAGCAACCAAUUUUCUUUUAUUGCUUUUAUUAUUGUCCAAAACAUUUAAAUUUUAAUAUAUGUUUUCAUAAUUGUUGAUUAUAUUAUGACUUUUGCUUUAAUCUCUUUACUAGCAUUAAGUUUAAUAUAUAGAUUUUCAACAAAUCUUAAUUUUAUUUUAUAAGUGGUUGGUUUUUUUACAACAUUGCAAAGGACCUUUGCAUUAUAAAAUUUUAAAGCAUAUAUUUUUAAAAAAGUAUUUACCUAAUUUAUGUUAUUUUAUAAAGAUUAUUAUAUUUAUUUGAUAAAAUUUUAAAAAUAAAUUUGAAGUACUAAAUUUAGGAUUUAUGAUUAACAAAUUUCAACGUAGAAGGGACAACGUAACCUUCCAUCAAAUUUAGAUAGCCCAGCCCAACUCACACCAUUGGGUCACUCUGGUGGUCCAGCCCAAUGUUAAUAUAGCCGAAAACGGUUAUGUAACUAUCCAAUUUCCGAAACGACGUCGUGUAGAGGACUCAUAAUUUUAGCUUAAACCCUAGUCCUGUCGCCGCCGGUGGUCACGCAGUCUCCGGCGACAGUUCCCGCUGUUAGUCUUCUACUACGGUGAAAAUCUCGAUUCUGAUUCUUUCUUUUCAGUGGAAAAAUCUCCGAACCCAUUACUCUACAUUGUUCUAUUCUGAUUUGAAUUUGUUUGCAUUGAGUUGGGUGUAAUUUUUGUUGUGUUAUUGAGUAUUGAGAAAAAUCGAACUUGUGAAUCUAUCAAUGUUGGACGAAAGCAAAUUCGACGUGCAUCUGAAUCUCUGGGCCUUAAGAAUUCCGAGGGAACUUUGUAAGGCCGCCAUUAAAAUACUGAACGGGUACGCUAUGUUUUGUGUUAUAUUGUUUCGAUUUCAAUUAAUCAUUUGGGUAAUGGCAUUUAGCAUUAGUGUUACUCAUAUAUUGUUGUCGUUGAACUGUUCAUCUUUCUUAUCCGAGUUCAUGUUUUUGAAAACUUAUCAGAAUUCUCCUGAUAUUUUUUAGUUUUUUUCUUUGAAAAGUAUUCUUGUUAUUAACUUUUGUUUAAAAGCAGACUUUUCUUUGGCCCUCAGUUCGUUUCUGUUGAAAAAUUUUCAGGUACUUAAUUGACAAGCCCCGGAUUAAACCUGUGACUGAAGAUCCAACAUGUGAUAAGAAUCGUUAUGUUAUAUUAUCUGAAAAGGUUCAAACUCCAGGUAAAGAUCUCCAUCUCCGUCCUCAUAUUUUUUCUGUUAACUAUAAGCUUGGAUUGCAAUUUCAUGUUCUUUAUGGAAACUCUUCUGUAGCACAUUCUGUUCGCUGAAGUUCCAAUUCUUGUUCAUUGAUUUUCUUCAUGUUACCUUAGUGGCUUUCUGGCUCUGUUCAUGCAUUCAAGUUCUUAAAUAGUUCUAAAAUUAUCGAGCGAGUAAUUUUUUAUCUUAAAACUUCAAUUUCUGUAGGGUAUAACCAUCAACUUGAAUGCAUCUUUAGUUAGAAAAGUGUCUAAAAACAGUCUAUAUAUCACAUGAAACCAAAUUAACGUCGUGUAACUAGGUAAUUUUCAUAAAAAUAAUCUCGUUUCCCUUUAAAAAUCACUCAUUUUUUCUCUUCCUUCUUUUUACCUUAUUUUCUCAAUGGAAUUUUCCUCGAUCAUGUCCUUAGAUGACACCAUUUUUCUAUCUUGUUGAUUCUUUGAAUGCUCAGAAUUAUCAGAAAUUCCAGAAAUGAAACUUGAAGAAUUGAAAGGCUUAUGCAUGUUUGAACGAGUUCCCUAUUCACUAACCCUUGGAUAUUCAUAUUGGGGAGCAGGUAUUUUCAAUAAUUCUUCCCUUUAUCACACAUUGUGCAAAUUUUACUUUCACCUUAGGAUUGCCUGUUGAACUCCAGAUAUUUAUAGAUGCCUUUAACUUUCGAGUUGCAAGUCUGAAGUGUUAUGUAAGGCAUAUCUAGCAUCAUUUUUAAUGAUCCCAUUCCCAUGACUCAAAAUCCAAACGUUUUUUACAUUGUGACUGCACAUGUGCUGAUAGAAUGUGGUUGUCUUUGCCUCUCAUUUGAUAUUAUAACUACAUGUGAUGUGACCGUUCUACAUCAAGCGGUUGCAAUUAUAAGAACAAUGUUCGAUUUCUGAAAGAUAGUUUAAACAAUUCUGUGAGCGAAUUUACCCGUCAUUUGAUGUGUUUGUAUUGUACAUACGUAACUAACUUACUGUGUGGUUGCUCUGUAGAUCAUAUUCUCAAGAAGAUUUUGCCUCCUGAAGUGGAAGUGCCUUCAUCUUUUGAGACAAUAGUUAAGUACUCUAACCCCUGCCAUGUUCCACCUACGCUUUCCUUUCUACAUUUUGUAUCCAUUUCCAUAUGCUCUUUAUAGCUUUUAUGUGCGUUCUUUUGUUGCUCUGUAUUACAUUUUGGUACCACUUGUUUAUGUGACAUUGGUUGUAACGUUGCUUUUUCAUGUACAACUAUUAACAUUGAGGUAAUUUUGUACUGUGAUUUGCAGGUCACGUUGCUCACCUGAAUAUACAUGACGAAUUACUUCCAUAUAAGGAUGUCAUUGCGAAGGUUAUUUAUGAUGUAUGUCAUCAGUAUCUAUUUACUUAUUUUCCUAAUUAUUUUGAAAUGUACAUUGUGAUUUAUUAAUCACUAUAAUUUAGCUGUUAGUUCAUUUUUUUAUUCUUAAUUUUGUUUUACUCUCCCCUUCUUUUCCUCCGUGCAUAUGUUGGGGGUACCUUUUUAAGAAAUUCAAAUGUUCAGAAUCGGAUAUUUAAUAUUUUUAUCCUCCCCCUUCAUCCAGCAAUAUGCACACACACACAUUUUCCAUAUUGAAACUUUUUCUGUAACUAUUUCUUUUUGUAAUCUUUGCAGAAAAAUUAUCCCAGGAUUAAAACAGUUGUAAAUAAAGUGGGUUCUAUAACAAAUGAGUUUCGGGUUCCAAAGUUUGAAAUACUGAAGGGAGAGAAUGAUAUGGUAACAGAAGUAAAGCAAUAUGGGGCGACUUUUAAGCUCGACUACAGUUUGGUCUACUGGAACUCAAGAUUGGAACAUGAACACAUAAGGCUGGUUUCACUCUUCCAACCAGGAGAGGUAAUUUGUGACAUGUUUGCUGGUAUUGGUCCUUUUGCAAUUCCAGCCGCCCAGAAAGAAUGUAUAGUAUAUGCCAAUGACUUGAAUCCAGACAGCAUCCGAUAUCUGAAGGUUAAUGCAGAAAUCAAUAAAGUUAGUGGUCGCGUUCAUGUAUAUAAUUUGGAUGCUAGAAAGUUUAUUUCUCAAUUGAUGAUAGUUCCCCCUAAUGAAAGUAAUUCAGAAUCUGUCACCUCAAUACUAAAAGCUUGUGAGAAGGGCAUUGGAGGGACCAAUCAAGAAUCACCAUUGGCAAAUGGUAUGCCGACUGGUAUUAUAUUAUUAUUAUCAUUUAAAGAAAAUUUCACAUCGUCUUCAGGAGAUUAGUGUAGAUGAUCUUAAUUUUCUUUCUUGCUUCAGUUCAGGUGCAAGAAGUUCAAGAUUAUAUUAAAAUUAGCAAUAAAUCUGUAGAACAAUCAAGGAGUGCUGAUAUAUCCGUUGCUGUUCUUAAAAGAUCCUCAGAAAGUUGUGAGAACGAGAAAGGUAACAUACUCUACCAUAGUUUGUGAUUGAACAACCAAGACCGUUUCUUCCUAUAAUUUUUUUUGCAGAUUUUUUUUAAUGAAAAUUUGCUUUGCAGACAAUGGAAUUGCUGAUGAUGCUUCCACUCGUGUAGCCGGUAGGAGAAAUGGAAACGGAAAUAAGAGGAUGAAGGGGUCCAGUGUAUCUCAUGCUAGGACCUGGGAACACGUUGAUCAUGUGAUUAUGAACCUCCCUGCUUCUGCUUUACAUUUUCUUGGUACGAAUGACCUUUUUUCUUUUUAAAUUUCAUUUCACUUAUUGCAGUUGUUUUAGCAUAUUUCUCUACAUUUGUGUGUCAGAAUGAAGAGUUAAAAGUUGGGGAAAUAACAAUGUUAGGAAAGGGAAACAAUUACUUUUUAAUGCUUCAAAUAUGAAGGGAAACCAUAAACGAUUUUUUCUCUCUUACUAUCACCAUGACAGAUAUUUUGGAUAUGUCAUAUUUCCUAAUUCCUACCUUUCAAAUGGAAUUCUUUGUUGUAAGUUUUGUAGUCACUCUCUAUACCAAUUUUAUGAGUUUCUUCAAUCUCCUUUAGCUCUUGGGUGAGGGAGAAUGCCUUAUCUCCUCCACUCAAUUAUCUCAACUCGUGUUUUUUAUCCAUAUCUAUAUUUUGCUUAGUUAACCAAUGAAGUAUAUUUUGUUAUUUUCUUGCCAGAUGCAUUUAGAGGCUCAAUUAAGAAGAAAUACUGGAAGGGCUCCCUUCCUUGGAUUCACUGUUACUGCUUCAUGCGAGCAAAUGAAAACCAAGAUUUUAUCAUUUCGGUAUGUGUAUACUAAAUUACUAUAGAUCCUUAUUUGUCUGUCUUCUUUUUGAUAAUUGUAUUUCUUUCUCACCAUUCUAUUUGGAUAUCUGUCUUGAAAAAAGUUGUCUUUCUUCUCAUACCAUCCUCUUUUAACUGUUGCACUCCAGGAGGCUGAGUCUGCCUUGAAUGCUAAUAUUCAAGACCCCAUUUUUCAUAGGGUCAGAGAUGUUGCACCAAACAAGGUAUUGCUUUGUGUGUGUGUGUAUAAAUGGAAACUACUUGUUUUUAACUCUUUUUUCUUUUUUGUUUUAUCAGGCUAUGUACUGUUUGAGCUUUAGGCUUCCGGAACAAUGCGUUGAUGAAGACACGACUAGCUAAAAUCGAGUAAAACUUUUCUAUCUCUCGGGGCUUCAUUUUCUUGUUCUCACAUCGUCAUAAUUCAUGUUUGUUUCUCAUUUCUGAGAUGUACAAGCUAGACGUAUGAUAUCGUAGGCUAGCGCUUGGGUAUUUCAGUUCUAAAGUUGAGAUUGGUGUUUGGAAAAUUUUCCAGAUUUGCUCAGUAUAAUUCAUAACUAAUCACUUGAAUUUGUAUAAAACAAAUGUCUCAUGUCCUAUGUUAUAACAAUAUCCAUUGAUAGGCGUAGUACGUACCUUGAUGAAAGUGCUUUUCUAUUCUUUAACAUCAAAAUAUGGUUAUUAAUUGAAGAUUGUAUUGUUAUCCUGUCCAAAUUAAGCAUGUUUUUAAGAUAUUUUACAUACAUGACAAUAAAAAAUAUUGUUAUCCUGUGUAGGGAUGAGAAUGAUAGACUAAAAGAUCGAGUGGACUAACAAAACUAAAGUCAGUUGAUGUCAGUUUGAAACUUUCCAAAUCGAGAAAUGUUAAAGAGUUAAACCAACCCACCGACACAUUUAUUCAUCGACGGUCUAAGGAUGGUUUGAACAUUUACUAAAUCGAUCAUAGUCAUUUCGAUGGCGGUUUGGUCAAAGAAUUGACUUCAACUGGCCGAUGAUUGCCUUUAAUUUUAUCAUUUUUAAUAUUCUUACCUUUAUAGUAAUUGUCCUAACAUUACCUAAUCGAUUGAUAAUGAAAAGUAACAAAAUGAUGAUAUGAUUGUGAUAGGACUACGUUCAAGACUUGUCAAGAUUCUAACUUAAUUGUAUGUCCAUUAUUAUUGUCACAAGAGUCGUCUCCCUUAUCAAGCAGUGGAUCUAGCCAUGACUAAACAUUAUGUUUAGUCCUUUUUUUUUUUCUUAAAUCAUAAUCACCAUCAAUGUUUGUUUGAUGGAAUAAUGAGAAAAAUGAAUAUUUGGAAAUCAGAGAAAAUGAUUUAUCAUGAUUUGGGACAAAUAAUUUUCUAUCUAAUGUUUUUGUACAAAAAUAGCUUUUAAAUUAAUCCAAGAUAUUAAAAGUACUUUUUAUUUGUUAGGAUAAGAUUACAAAAUACUUUUAUUUUUAGAAAAUAUUAUAAAAAUUGUUAAAAUCAUUCCAAAGGCUAUAAUAGACAUGCUUUAAAUUAUGUUUUUUUUCUUUUUUAAAAGUAACCAUUGUUUAAGUACUAAUUUUGUAUUUGCAAAAAAAUAAUUAUUCUAAAUUUAAUUUAUUUUGAUUCUCAUACUUUCUAUCUAUACAAAAUUUCAAAAAAUUUAAAAAAGAGUCAUUUAGUUCUUUUUUUCUUUUUAUAUUUUAGAUUUUAAUUUUAAAAAUUAUCAUUUUUUAAAGUAAAAUGUCAAAUUGAAUAAAAGUUGAAAGUAUAUUAAACAAAAUGAAUAAUUUAAAAGCACAAUGAUAAAUUAUAUAAAAAUAAAUAAAAGUACAACGUAAUAUUUAAAUUCAAGAUUAAUUUGAUUUAAAAACUAUUUUUUCACCAGGUAUUCCAAACAAAAAUAAUCAAAACAAAAUUGACAUAUUUUCUUAUUUGGUGAGUCAACUUGGGUCAACCACCUUUUUGACAACUUUUCCAUUGAGAGGAGAAGGCUUCUUUCUUGCAAGGCAACAUUUUCCCAACAACUUACCACGAAUAACAUUUAACCCAAAAGUAAUAGAAUAUAUAGUACAAUAACAAAAUAAUUAUAUAUAACAUAAAAUUAAUUUAAAAAAUAACAAAAUAAAUUAAAAUAUUUAAAUUUUGGUUGUAAAUAUUUUGUCAAAUUUGCUAUUUUUGACAAUUCUAUAAAAAAAAUCCUAGAUGUAGUUAACAAUGAUAGUAGCUAAGAACGAUAGGUUUCUUUUUUCAAAUUAAAAGUCAGUAAUAAUUUUCAAUUUAAAAAAUGUGUUAUCAGUUACUAUCAUUGAUACUACCUGUUUGUGAUAACUUCUAUCGAUAAUAAUCACUAAAGAGCAUACAUAACAUUUACUAUUUUUACAAAUAUUUUAUUUUGUACUAUAUUUUAAAUUUAUUUCUCACUAAGUUUUUCUUUUUCAUAGACUAAUAAGGCAAUACAUAAUCAAAAAAAUUAUUUAUGAUUCUUUUAAAAAGAUACCAAUCUCUUUUUUCCUUUUUAAUAAAUCCAUUCAUGUUUUUCUUUAUAUAUAUAUCAGAUUUGCACUAUUGUUUUUCUUCUUCCUCUUUUUGUAAAAAUAAUAAAGGGACGAACUUUGGGAAAGAGACCAAUUUCUAAAGCAAAGAUAGAUUAGAUGAAAACAUUACACGUAGAUUUUGGCUGGAAAGCUAUCAAUUUGGAUCAUUCUUUUUCAUUAACAUUAUUUCAUUAAAUUUCUAUUUUUUUUUUAUCUUUUCUUUAAAAAAAAUUACUUCUUUUCAAGAUUUUAUCAUCACAGUUUGCAUUAUCACCAUACAAUUUUUUUAAAAAAAUAUUAUAAUUUCAACCCAACUUGUAAAAUUAAUUUCCAAAAAUCACUUUAAAGUUCAUCCUUCAAUAUUUCAUUAUCAAAUUGGAGACCAUGUUACUAGAUAAUCAUCAAACAUGUGCUUUUUUCUUUUCAAGUUGAUAUACUUUUUUUCCCUUUAGUGAUUUCAAAUAUUUCUAACGUAAGUGCAUACUGCUAUUUAUUUAUUUUGACUAUAAUAAUAUAAUAUCAAGAUUUGUCUAGUUUGUUUUUUGAUAUAAUAUUAUACAAAACAACUAAUAUUUGUUAAAUACCAAUAACUAUGUUAGUGAUUUAUAUUUAAUAUAAUCCGAUUUUUCUAAGCCAACUCUCUUAAAGUUUGGAAAUAAAAAAUUUUUAGAUCAUAAUAAGCAAGCAAAAAAAAAAAAGUGUGAUUAUGUAAUGAAGAGUGAAUAUAUAUAUCUCUCAAAAGGAAAAAAAAAUCACACCUUUAUUUCCACGUUGUAAAGUGCUUUUUUUGGAGACCCUUUCUGUCAAAUGUGAUAUUUUUUAUAAUUAAAAGAAAUUGAAAAGUAUAUUAAAUCAAAGCUAUGUUAACCAAUGAAGAUACUCUAAAUAAUUUGAUAUUUAGAAUCAAGCAAACAAUUUAAAACUAAAAUGAAAAAGAAUUUUUAAUAAUUUAUUUUUGUUAUGUGAAAUUUGGUUGGAAUACAAAUGGGAUGAAAAUCGUCAUAAAAAAGCGUAAGAAAAAGAAAAACAUAAUUUAAUCAAACAAUUGAGGUUUUCUUGCUUUGGUAUAAUUUUUUAUCAAUAUUUUUAAAAACUAAAAAAUUAAGAUAAGAAUUGUUGAGAUAAAGUGAAAAUUAAUUUGAACAAAAUUUUUUGGUUCAAUAUUUGUAAAUGAAUAAAACUAUAUAUAUAAUACGUGUUAUUGGAGCUGUGCACACCACCAUAACUGAAUAACUGAAUUAAGUAACGAAUCUUUUAUUUUGCUUUGUGAAGCUUUCUCCCCUUUAGCUCUUCAAAAUCCUAAUAUUUCCAUUUCCAUAUCCAUACAACUCCUUUCUUGAUUCUAUCUUUGUUAAAAGAUUCAGAUUCAAAGAUUGAGAGAAACCCAUAAAAAUGUCAAGAAAUUGUAUAUUCAGAAUAUUAUUAGUUUUGUUGUGGUUGUUGAUGAUGAUUGUUCCAAAUGGUUUAAGUGUUGGAGUGAACUGGGGAACUAUGGCUACUCAUCAGCUCCCACCAGAGAAAGUUGUUAAAAUGCUUCAAGAAAAUGGGUUUCAUAAAUUGAAGCUUUUUGAAGCUGAUGAUAGGAUUUUGGAAGCACUUAUUGGAAGUGAUAUCGAGGUUAUGUUGGCUAUUCCUAAUUCAAUGUUGUUUCUUAUGAGUCAAGAUCCUCACGCUGCUGCUUCUUGGGUUGAUUCUAAUGUUACUGCUUAUACUUAUCAUGGUGGUGUCAAAAUCAAGUUGAGUUUUGAAGAUUCUUUUGAUUAAUAAUUUUGAUCUUCUUUGAUUUGUUUUUUUCUCGUUUUUUUGGUGCUCUUUAGGUGUUUGAUGAAUUUCCCACUUCAGGGUUUCUCUGUUUUUAAUAUGUUGUUCAUUCAGCUGCUGCUAUCCUGCUGAUGAUGCUGCUUUCAUUUUCUUUGUUUACUUAUUCGAAAAGCCGUUAUCACAACGUAGCUAAGAGGAUAUUUGUGAGAAAGGGUCAUAAUCACUCUCAUAUAUGUCUUAAAUGAUUUAGAAUCAAUUUAUACCAUCCAAAUUGAUUUUGAAUGAUUUAAUGCAUGCUUCGUUAUGAUUUUGAACAUGAUAAAAAGUUAAAAUUACUUAUAAAAAAUAUUCUAAACACUGUUUUUAGUUCGCUAAAAGGAAAAUUUCAGUUUUCUAAAAAGCAUGUCGGUUAAUCUUAGUGUUACUAAUUUCAAGUUAGAUCAUUUGGUCAUGUUCUUUUAUGGAUUGUAGUUACUAGUUUAAAUGAUUAAAUAUAAGCUAAACAUGAUAUUGAAAGGAUUAAAAUUAGCUAAAUAACUUUUGAGUACUCUUCAAAAAGUCAUGUUGGGUAAUCACACAGUACAGUGUCACUAUGUCACUAAACAUGAUAUUAUCAGCUGGGUUGAACUAAUUAGUUUCAUUGAUCACUUCACAAGGAAGUACUAUUUGAGUUAUAAAACUAUUGAAAAGUAAUCAAAUGCCCCUCUUAAAUAAGGGUCAUUUCUUGGAGAACCAUUCUUUUGGCUGAAAAAGUAGAGAUUUAUGAAGUUAAAAUUAGCUAAAAAAUCAUAUCGGUUCUUUGUCUUUCCCAUAAAAUUCCAUUGGAAACUGAUCUUGCAGGUAUGUUGCUGUAGGCAAUGAGCCCUUUCUCAAGUCUUACAAUGGCACUUAUCUUCCGUUAACAUUGCCUGCUCUAAGGAAUAUCCAACAAUCCCUAAAUGAUGCAGGGCUUGGUUCAAAGGUCAAAGCUACUAUUCCUUUCAAUGCUGAUAUUUACAACUCCCCCGACUCAAACCCGGUUCCAUCUGCAGGCGAGUUCCGUCCUGACGUUCGAGACUUAACGAUCGAGAUUCUACACUACCUAUCGAUAAACAACGCACCAUUCACAGUCAAUAUCUACCCCUUCCUUUCCCUAUAUGGAAAUGACUACUUUCCAAUAGACUUCGCAUUUUUUGAUGGAACAGCAUAUAGGCCAAUCAAAGACAGAGAUCUAACGUACACGAAUGUGUUUGAUGCAAAUUUCGACACACUCGUAUCAGCUCUAGCAAAAGCAGGAUACCCUGAUAUGAAGAUCAUCGUAGGAGAAGUUGGUUGGCCAACAGACGGCGACAAACACGCCAAUGUACAAAACGCAAAACGAUUCAACCAAGGAUUGUUAAGACAUGCUUUAAGUGGACAGGGAACUCCAGCAAGGGUAGGCAUAAUUGAUGUCUAUCUUUUCAGUCUAAUUGAUGAAAAUGCUAAAAGUAUAGAACCAGGGAGCUUUGAAAGGCAUUGGGGAAUAUUCGAAUUUGACGGUAAACCGAAAUAUGAACUAGACUUGGCUGGAACAGAAGAAGAAAAAGGGUUAAUACCAGUUGAAGGAGUGAGAUAUAUGGGGAAAAGAUGGUGUGUUUUGAAUCCAAAUGUGAAUGAUUGGGAAGGUUUGGCUGAUAGUGUAGACUAUGCUUGUAGUUUAUCAGAUUGUACUGCAUUGGAAUAUGGAUCUUCUUGCAAUCAAUUAUCUGCACAAGGAAAUGCUUCUUAUGCAUUUAAUAUGUACUAUCAAGUGAACAGCCAAAAGAGUUGGAACUGUGAUUUUGAUGGUUUGGCUGUGGUGACUCAACAAGAUCCUUCUUAUGGAAACUGCCAGUUCCCAAUUAUGAUUGAUUAUACCUCUUCUUCUUCUUCUUCUUCUUCAUUUCUGGUUUAUGAAAGAUUUUCUGAUCUUCUUGUUGCAGUUUUUAUGGGAAUUGUAGUGUUUUUUAUUGUGCAAUAUGAACAGUGAUGGAUUUUGGUAAUGAUUUUUGUGAGGAAUUAGUUAAGAUCAUUUGGAAGUUGUUCAUAGUUUUCUUAUUUGCCAUAUAGCCUCUCAUGUAUAAUAGAUUCAAAUUUUGGUUUCUUUUUUAUUUCACCCUUUAUUUUGCUUCUUUUAAUAAAUAAAUAUAUUUUGGACAAUGCUCGUAAUUUCUUUUUCUGCCUUAUAUCUUUACAUAAUUAUUUGAAGCGCGCGCUAAGUUGAGUUAAUAUGAUGAAAUUAAAAAAAAAACGACAUUUCAUGAUAGAUGUGCAAAUUUUAAUAGAAAACACCCUCAAAAUUUAGUAAUGUAACACCAGCUUAUGGAGAGAGUGGGUUUAUAAAAUUUAAAUUCACGUGAUUUUAACUUAUAACAAAAAUUCACGGGAUAUUGAGAUAUUUUAAGUCAAAAGUCAUGGAUUUUUCAUUUUAUGAAGAUACGUUUCAUGUUUAUUAUUUAUAUUAGAUUUAUAUAUGUGACAUUUUCUUGUUUAUUUUUUUAAUUUUUCUAAACUUUUUUCAUGUUAUAACGAUAAUAUUAAUUCAUCCCUCGUACCAUAUCAAACUCAUAAAAGCAUGAAAGUUCUGGCACAUAUAUGAAAAUUUAAUACAACAAACAAAACAAAUAGAAUUGUUAGACUAAAAUUAAACUUAAAGUUAGUUCAACUUUACAAGUCAAAAUAUAAGAGUAAUUAAUAAAUGAAAGAUUGUAGUCAAUUGCAAAACCACCAUUUAAAGAAAUUAUGCCCACAUACUUACCCAUAGGCAUUUCAAUAAGUAAACUCCCAAAAUAAGAAAGAAAAAUAAAUUCCUAUUUUCAUCGACUUUUUUUCAAUAUAUAUAUGAUUUAUAUAAUUUAAUUAAUUUAAACCGUCAUAGCUGUUGUAUUGGUUUGCCUUCAAUGCACACAAAUAAAAGGUUCAUUAUGGAACAUGUCACCUCCAAAUUCACAUUUAUAAUAUAUGGUCUCAAACUUAGAUAUAUGGCCAAUAAUAUUUAUGGUGCCGAACUCUUAGAUUUACAAAAUAUGAUACAUUUAAUACUACUCAUCUCCAUCCGUUCCAAACAUAUAACAUUAGUCAUUAACAAUUGAUAGAUAUAUGACUUUCUUAUAGAAUUUUUGAAUAUUUAAAUCUUGUCCGUUGUAUCUGGAACGUUAAAACUAAUUUCUUAGAUAAAAUUUUUUAGUGAAUUUUAUCUAAUCAUUAUUAUUGGUUAAUUUGUAAAGAAUAACAUAUUAAUUAUAUAUGAUUAAGAAACUGAAAGUUGAGCCCAUUGGUUAUUUAUCUUUAAUUUAUUGGUUAAAGAAUAUUAUUAUCACUUGUUUUCAAAUAUAGCUAAACGAGAUUAAUUAUUUACUUAAUUUGUUUUCGGUAGUUUUAUUAUUUAAAAUAAUUUUGAUAUUAAUUUUGCUAUUAUAUGGUUUAUGGUUGAAAAGUUGAACAAGAUAUAAGAGGCUCAUAUUCACAUGUCUCAAAAGAGGAGUUAUUAAUGAAUCUGUCAUCUAAUCUUUUUCUUGGUUUUCUUUAUAUAUACUUGAUUUAAGAAAAUUAAAAAGAGUAUAUAACCAAAGUUGGUUGGUCUUUUUUUUUUUCAUUUUUUGGAAUAGAAAAGUUGAUGAAAGUUUAAAUCACCGUUACUAUGGUUAAAUUUCUACGGUGGAUUAAAAAUAAUAAUCUUUUAUCAACCAACUACGUGUAUAUGACUAUCGUUUAGAGGUCAUGAAUUUGAAUCACAUAAUCUUACAAGCUAAAAGAAUAGUUGUCUUCCUGUUAAUCGUAGAACAAUACGUGUUUUGAUAUGCACUUUCAUAGUAAAAAAAAAAAAAAUCAUUGUGACUAAAAGAUGAGGUAUUAAUUAAUGUUUAAUAUCUGACGAAGAAACCCACCUAACCUUCAAAUACGAUCAACGUGAGUGAAUUUGUAAUUUAAGAGGUCACUAAGAAAAAUAGUUUUAAUUAUAUAUACAAUAAAGCUAAACUUACGGUUCCCUUUAUCCCUAUAGAAAUAGGACUUGAGAAGCCUUGAUCGAACAUGAACAAGGGGAACAAACUAGGGCAAACUGGCGAUUUGCCUUAAGGGGCAAAUUGGUCGGCCUUGGUCGAGGUUGAAGAUGGACUUUUUAAGCUUAGAUCGGUCUAAUUAGUACUUCAUUCACUCUCCAACAACGUCGUUGCAUGAACUCGUUUCUUGUCCGUCUUUCGUUCAUCUUAGAUAAGACAACUUUCUUGACUUUACUCUUAAAUUUUAUCUUCUAAUCUCUUGAUCUUUCUCAUAAAUUCGAAAUUAUCAUCAAAUAAUAUUCGCCACGGUAAUUAACAUAUUUGUAUUUUUUUUUCCAAAAUGAUAUUGAUAACAAUAACACAUUUACAACACACCAAAUUAUUUAGCUUAAUUAGUCAUGACUCCUCUUUUUUUUUUAAUUUUAAUGAGUAUAAAGAAAAAAAUUCCAUACCUAGCUAAACCCUAAAAUAAUUAAUUAUGAUAGUCUUCUUAAAUGUAAUGUAAUCUAUAUGAUCUAAAUUAGUCAACAUAUAUGUUGUUUCUUUUAUUAGGAUUCCAUUUUUGUUAUCUUCGUCUUUUGUUUUCUCUAUGGUUAUAGAACUACUUUAGAGUUUGGCUUUUUUCUUCUUUUGAAAACAAUAUUAUUAGUUUUAAUUUCUAACAUCUAUACCUACUUGUAAAAAAAAAAUUACAUCAGACGUUAAAAACAUUGAAAAAAAAAAAUAGUCAAUAGCACAUUUUUUUAUAUAUAUUGCAAAGCAAAUAUGACAAGUAAUGAAGUGAUACUCAUUAUCAAAUAGCUAUUAGAAGGUUGUCGACUUUUCAAUUUACUACUUUUGCAAUUUAUACGGCGUAGUGAUAAUUAUUAUAAAUUAUUUUACUAUUUUUGUAAGCACUAAACCUAGACAUUGCAAAAUUGAAAAAAAAAAAACCUUUCUCAUAUUUUAUAAAUAUUUUUAGUACAAUAAGUUUUGUAAUUUAUAAUUUUAUUUUUGAAAUUUUGCUUACAUUUUAAAUUUGCUUCUUUUUAGGGUGGUGAAAUAUACAUACUUAUAUAAAAUGUGUGCAAAAGAAGAAAUAGUUAUUAAAUGUAAUGCGAAUAUAUUUUGUUUAUAAUCGAUAAAAGUUAAUAAACAUUUAAUUCAAAUUAACAUCUAGUAAGCAAAUCCACGUCAAUAUUUUCAAAAUUUUAUUGUUGGAAUUUUCAUAAAUGACAAAAAGUUUCUGAAAAAAUAAACCACAGUAAACUAACCAUAAAUACUAAAUUUAAGAUUUAUGGAUGCAAAUAUAUAGACCAAAAUUAAACUAAAGUUCUAAAAGUAAAUUAAAACGUGAUAUAAUAAUUUUAACUUAAUAAAAGCUAUUGGUUACAACUACUUACAAGUUACAACCAUCUAUGUUCACAUACAUCAUUAAUUGGUAAAUGGAAGGAAAUAAUAUAAAAUAUAUAUGAUCCAAUUUGAUUCGUAUGGUUCUUUUUUACAAAAAUACGAAAAAAGAGAAAAGAAAAUUUAUAAAAAAUAAAGCAUUUGACAAAAAUAUUAUGAAUUUUAUCUUUUAGUGAUUUUGUGACGUGAAAGGUAAAUAGUUUGUGAAUUUUUUUGUUUUUUUUUUAAUUUCAAUAAAAAAUAUGAAUAAUUAGAUAUUUGAUAUUUUGAAUAAAAUAUUAUUACUAGACAACCUAUUUAAAUAUUGGAUCUCUCGAUUGCUAAUAUAUGUUAUAUGUCGGUUGAGUCAUGAUCGAUUUACACAAAUAUAAAAACUUUAAAAGGUAUAAAGAUCAACAACUAUAUAUUUAUAUAUAAUUUAGAUACACAUUCUUACACUGCAUUAAUAUUUUACUAUAGUUAGGUUAUUGUUACUUUUAAGAGAAUAUGUCAAGCUAAUGGUAUAUUUAAUUUGGUUUAAUGGAAAUUUAGUCAAAGAGACCUUGAAAUUUUAUCUAACAUCACAAAUAUAAUUUGAUUUUCGUUAUAUAUAUGUAUAUAUAUAUAUACACACACUUGUAUACUAUAAACUAAACAAAUUAAUAGAUUGUUUACAAUUAACAAAUUUAUUGAUUUGAAAAAAACAUAUUGUUUACAGAAUUUAGGUUGGUGGAUACAACUCUUUGCCAUAUUAAACAAAUAAUUUCUAUAAUACAAAAUUAUUCAGACUCGACACAACUCUUUGUAAUAUUAAACAAUAAUUAAUUCCACAUUUAAUAUUGAGAUUUAUAAUUGACGUCAAUUCUAUAAAUUAAAAAUAUAUUUUACUUUUAGUAUGAAAAAGUUUGAACAAAAUAAUAUUUAAUUAGUUUUGUUUUGUUGGGACUAGUCUUAAUAAGUGUUAUAGGGGUCCAUUUCCAAUAUAUUCAAGAGUGAUGGUGCAUAAAUAAUUAUGAGUUAUGGAUAAAAAUUUGAAUGCAUGUAUUAUCGUUUAUUUUAUGGAUAUCCUUCAAUAAACAUUUUUUUUAAUUUAUUUAUUUACGAUCGAUUAUAUUAUUAUUUCAAAUAAUAAUUGAUUAAUGGGUCGAUAUUGUUGAUUGUUACUAAUUUUAUUAUCAAGAAUAAUUAAUUUUGCUUCAUAAAAUUUAAAAUUUAAGCUUGUUCAAAUAAUAAAUUCAUCAAUUUUGUCUAUUUAGUUAAAAAAAAACAGUUUGUUGAUAAAAGUGUUUAAAAUAUGAAAAGUGAUUAAAUUCAUGUUUGAAUUUUGGACGAUUAUAAUCCACAUUUAAUUCUUAUUAUGAAAACUAUUAAUGGGAGGUUGAAAUUAUGUUUCUAUUACAUUGCCAGGUGUAAUGUAGAAAAUGAAUUGGAUGAUAAUAAAUAAUAUGAUUGCUUUAACUAAUCUAGAAAAUAAUGUGAUGGACAAAAUUGAAAGAAAAGUUAUAUCGAACUGAUGUAAAGGUCAAACUAUCCACUUCCAUUUCAUACAUCUAGAAAACUAUGUAAAAUAAAGUAAUAAUGUAGAGAACACAAAGAUAAGAAUUAAAUAUAUAUAUAUAUCAAUGAAAAUAUUAUAUAAAGUUUUAAAUUUUAUUAGACAACGUCCUUGUUUUAAUCUUGUAACACUUUAAAAGUAACGAAACAUUAAACCUAUUUACAAACUAUAUCAAAAUUCAUCAAUUUCAAAUAAUUUUUUUUUUCUAUUUAUAACAAAUUCUUAAAAGAUUUAAGACUUUUAUCCAUAUUUUUUAUUCAUCAGAUUUCAAUUUCAUUAUAAAAAUAUUUGAAUUUAUAGUUAAACUAUGAUUUUAUGUGUGAAAAUAAACAUAAGCUCGAUUCAUGGCGACUACCUAUCUAAUAAUUAAUUUCCUAUAAAUUUUAUUGACACCAAAUGUUAGAGGAUUAGGCGAAAACAUUUAACAAAUAUAGUAUUUUAUGUCAUAAACAAACUAAAAAAUGAAAUAUACAAUAGACUAUAAUUUGUUUUCUCAAAUAAAAAUAUACUAUAAAUAAUGUGAUCAUAUUAUAAUUUUAAAAAAUAAAUUAUGUAAUAUUUUUUUUGAAGGCGUAUAUGUAUUAAACACCAUAAAGAAACCACGCAGUCGGAGAUCAAGGCACAAAGCAAAGUUCCCUAUGAUAAGAAACGAUGAUGUCCUAAACACAAUCAAAUCAUACAGGAAAAAUCGAUGCAACCAAAGCAAAUACAAAAGAGAAUACAACUAAAGCUACUUGCAAUAUUUUUAAACCACAAUAAAAAAUCGCAGAAUUAUAGAAGCAUAACAAGUCACUCCGGUCGAUUGUGCUAUUACGAUAAAAUAAAUAGCAAGAGACCACAACACACACUCCUAACAAACUACUCUAUGAGAACCUGACGGUUGAAAGCACACUAAAAGAACAUCGAACAAACGGGUUGUUCCGAUGCAACUGUUCCGUAAGCUCAAAUUAAUUAAGGAUUAGUUUAUAUUUGUAAUUACAUUAGUUAGAGAACAUAUAUUUAAAAAAUAGAAUACAAUUAAAUCCUUGUAUUUUAAAAUUGUUUUCUUUUUUUUCUUUUGCUAAAGAAACCGAACUUGCCAACGAUAAAUGCGAGCAAUAAUAAUAAAGGAAGGUGGUGGAUACGGGAGAGAAGGUUGAAAGAAAAGGACGAGGGAGGGGCAAAAGAGUAAAUAACAGAAGAACUGUGGUUGAAUUUGGAAAUUUGAAAGAAAGGGCGGGACCGGGACAGGUGGUUGCUAUAUAUCUCGUUGAGGGGCCUGGGAUCUCUCAUUCGCAUACACACACCUCUUUCUAUCUCUUUCUCUCUCGUGUAUCGUUUCCUCCUUUUUAUUUUUUUGGCUUUUCAAACGAAAAUCGGGGCUCCUUAAAAGAGGGAAAAACAAGAUCGCAAACCCUAAAAAUCGACUAACAACAAGGGUUUGUUGAUCCCCUAAUGAAGCACUAGCCAUUUUUCCUGCAUUUUUCUUCAUCUGUUGCUGCUCUAGAUUUGGAUUCUCCUACUACAAUUAUCAAUCCUGUUGUUUUCAGUUUCACCAUUUUCAAAAGCCUUCUUCAAGGUUUGCAUUCAAUGUUCUUUCCUGGUAUUCUCGUUUUAGAUUGCUGUUUUUAUGUUGUUGAGAAUGUGAGAGAUGUGUAGUGUUCAUUUUUGUUUGGAGAAUUGGAACUCGAUAUAUUCUGGAAAUUUGAUUUUGUCGUGAGAUUUUUGGGUUUUUAGUUGAACUCGUUCCAUUUCGUUUCGUUGUUCUGGAAACUCUUUGUUUGUUCUCGAUGUUUCACUUUGCGAUUCUCGUAUGGUUUUGAUUUAUAGGUAUUUUAAAUUUCAUGUGUUUGUUCUUUCUAGUAGUUUUGUGUACUAUUCUUUGACUUCGGAAUGGUUUUUUAUCUUCUUCUUUGGUCAAGUAGUGGGGUGGGACAGAGUAGAUGUAUAAAUUGAAGGCACGGUUCUUUUAGGUAGUCUGGUUGCUGUUGGUUAUUAUUAUUAUUAUUUUUUUUGGAGUCUUCAGUCAUAAGGAACUUUAAUUAUUCGGUCUAGGACUUUGCUACAGUUCAAUCGUGUUGUUUUCAAUUCAUUUCUGAUUAGAUGCUGAUCUCAUUUGAUUUGUUUUCUUAUAUUCCAAUACAGAUGAAUAAUCUGCAAUUUGGUUCUUGUUGUUUUUUAUAUUUCAUUUAUUAGCAGCAAAGCUUGUGUUCAAGUUAUUUAUUGAUAUACAGUAUACUGAAGUGUUUGAUUUUGUUGUUUGAAGUUCAUCAUGGUAGCAACUGCUGCUACAUCUGCGUUUUAUCCUGUUCCUUCUUCAUCUUCUGAGUUUGGAGCAAAGAACAACAAAAUUGGAGGUGGAUCUGGGAAUUUGGGAGGGAUCAAGUCUAAAUCUGUGCCUUCUGGAAGUCUUCAGGUGAAGACUAAUGCCCAAGCCCCUUCCAAAGUAAAUGGAAGCUCAACUGGUUUAUCAACAUCUGUAGGUGGUAAGGGUGGGGAUGACUUCUCAUCAUCCCACCCACGAACUUUUAUUAAUCAGCUGCCUGACUGGAGCAUGCUUCUUGCUGCUAUUACCACUAUCUUUUUAGCAGCUGAGAAGCAAUGGAUGAUGCUUGACUGGAAACCUAGGCGGCCCGACAUGCUCAUAGAUCCAUUUGGUUUGGGAAGGAUUGUUCAGGACGGCCUUGUGUUUACCCAGAACUUCUCUAUUAGAUCCUAUGAAAUAGGUGCUGAUCGUACUGCGUCUAUAGAAACUUUAAUGAAUCAUUUACAGGUACAAUUGGAUUGAUGUAUUCUUAUGUUUUUGUGAGUAUCUAUUAUUUGUAAUUCUAUGUAUGCUUAUGAAAUGGAGAUAAGUAACUCCGGUCUAUGAUUUUUUUUUCUUCAGGAAACUGCCCUCAAUCACGUUAAGACUGCUGGUCUACUUGGUGAUGGAUUUGGUUCUACGCCAGAAAUGUGCAAAAAGAACCUGAUAUGGGUAGUUACCAAGAUGCAGAUUAUGGUAGACCGUUACCCUACUUGGUAAAUUUAAGUUCUUCCAUGAAGUAUUCGCUUCUAAAGAUGGAUUCAUUAUAACACUUGUGAUUUACUUGGGUGGGUGAGAACAGAAUUGAAUUUAAUUCAAUAGUUUUCCUUGUUUGUUUUAUCCCCUUAAGUUACAUAUCCAGUAUUGCCCUGUUCCUUGGGAUUAUUUAACAUAUUCACCUCACUUUCACCUUCCAAAAAUAAUUGAUUAUGGAAACGUUGGACUUUCUAGACCAAUAAGUCUAUGAAGUGGGCUUUGAUUUACACUUUUUUUUUAUAAGGUGGAAGUUUUUGAAGCCUCCCUCUGUCUUUUCUGCUUUAGCUGAUCUCUUCUUCCGUCUUUUAUUAACUAUAUGCAUGAGAUAUUGGAGAUUGUUGUGCUUACAGGGGUGAUACGGUUCAAGUAGACACUUGGGUCAGUGCUUCUGGAAAGAAUGGCAUGCGCCGUGAUUGGCUCGUGUAUGAUUGCAAAACUAGGGAAACUUUGACAAGAGCUUCCAGGUUUGUUACUUUCCCCCUUUUUGAUGAAACAUGGAAUCGUUUUUCUUCAUAGCUGUUGCAUUUUCUUUUUUCUCAACCCAUGAAUUAUAAAGUUAACCAGCUUUGAUUGAAUCGAUAAUCGAGUAAUUCUGGUCAUAGGUGAUGUAGGUUCUUGUAUAAGUUAUGAAUUUCUAAUGUGUGUUCCGUAGAGAACAGAAACAAAAUUUGCAUAAACUACAUUCACUUUUUUUUCAAUCUUAAUUCUAAUUGAUCUUUGCAUUGAGAUCGUGGAUUAUGAUUGCAUUCUUUUUUUCUACUAUCAAGCCAUGGCAUAUGUAGUGAUCAAAUCAUAGUUUACUGAUAGAGAUAUAUUUUUUGUGAUGUGAAGUAUCUGGGUUAUGAUGAAUAAAGAGACAAGAAAGCUGUCAAAGAUUCCUGAGGAAGUGAGGAGAGAAAUAGAGCCAUUCUUUAUGAAUACUGCGCCGGUUAUUGAAGAUGAUGGAAGGAGGCUUCCAAAAAUUGAUGAUGAUAAAGCUGAUUAUGUUCGAGCGGGUUUGACUGUAAGUUGUUUCAUUUAGCUAAAAUGUUACUUGAGAAAAGGAAGUUGGCACUGGGUGUUUUUGUGUUUCAUUUGGAAUUUGGUUCAAUAAUAUAACUUUCACUAUGCUUUUGUACAUAGAAAUUGAUCUCAUGGCACCUACAUUUCUGUACUGCAGCCUAAAUGGAGUGAUUUAGAUGUCAACCAGCAUGUGAACAAUGUGAAGUACAUUGGCUGGAUUCUUGAGGUAGAUAAAUCUUAACUUUUCUUAUCAUUGACUUCGAUACUUUCCGAAAAUAGUGUGCCCCAAAAUUUUCUUAUCUCGCACUCAUACAUUUCUCCAACAUUUUACACCGUAACUGUUCUUCUAAAGCUUGGUUUCCUCUUUUUGAUCGGCAAAUUAUGCUUGUGGUCAAUAGAGUGCCCCACCACCGAUAUUAGAGAGUCAUGAACUUUCUUCCAUCAAUUUGGAGUAUCGGAGGGAAUGUGGGAGGGACAGUGUCCUGCAGUCACUCACUGCAGUUACUGGCACGGAUGUUGGAACUUUAGCAACUUCUGGCGAUGUUGACUGCAAUCACCUACUUCGGUUCGAGAAUGGGGCUGAGAUUGUGAGAGGAAGAACAGAGUGGAGACCCAAAUUGGGCAACAAUUUUAGGAUCCUGGAUCAUAUUUCAGCUGAUCAAGGAAUUUAAGCUGCCAUCUCAGAGGAGUGUUCCUGCUGUAUCCAUGGUUUGCACCAAAUUCUGCUUUAAAUCCUCAGAUAUAUAUGUCUAUAAAUAUGGUUUUUCUCAUUCGUUCUCUUCUAUAAACAGGAAAAGAAAAAGGAAAAAAAAAAGGUUUAAUUUCAUUGUAAUUAUCUCUUAUCUAUUAUUUUUCCCUCUUGUCCCCAGAAGGCUACUAUAUAAUGUGUUUAUCUUGCUCAGCCUGGUCGGUUGCUAUGCAAUCAAUGUGUACCCACCGCUGGCUGAUUGUCUCACAGCAGGUUCGAAAAUAUUUUUGUGUAUAUUUUCUUGCAUUUUCUUUAAUUUUUGUUUGGAACUGGAAAAAAAAAAAGAGAGAUUUUUUCCCCAUUUUUUUGCCCUCGAAUUGUCGCUCUUCUGCACUCACUUUGCUUUGAGCAGAUUGGAAAAUAUUCAUAACUUGUGUUUGAAAUUGGUUGGAAAAAGAAAAAAAGAACCCAGGGGUGAUACUUGUAUGUUUUCUUGCUGUUUCUUUGACUUCUCUUUGGCAUUUUUAAAUACCAUUUUUCUCUCCCAGGAGUUCGAAUUAUCCAAUUUUUUAUGUGUGGAAAAAGCUGGGGUGUCUAGAUUUUCGUCCCAGAAUUAUUUACUUUUGUGGUAGUGGAAUUUGGUAAAAACUAAAAAGUGGCAUUUAUUAGUCUUUUAAUGCUAGCUGGGUCACAGUUAUUGUUUGUUUUGAUUUGAUGGCAAUUACUAAAGCUCAAUUAUUGCACAAAAUUUAUGCCCAUCUCAGUUGGUUAAAAAGCUGGAUGAGUGAAGUGGUGGCUUUUAUAUUAUUAUUAUUUGAAAUUGAUAUUGCAAUUUUCGUGCCUUUAUAAAAGAAUUCUUUGACUUUGACAAAAUAGUUUCAAGAAUUGGACAUUGUGAUUUUUGGCCAUUGAGAUGAAGUUCUCUAUUAAUUGUCUUCUUUAAUAAUAUAAAGUUUUGUUUAAAAAACAUUAUAUAUAUACAUAUAUUUCUUAAAUUAAAAGGUGGCUUUAUAAUUGGAUUUUUUUUUUGUCGUCAUUAUUAUUCUUUGGAUACUAUAAUCUUACUAUAGAGGUGAUUUCUAGUCUCCGUAGUUAAUUCUUUAAAAGAUAUAAUUAUUGGAGUGGGACAGAAGUUGGAUGAACACGUUCUAAUUAAAAAGUUUUGUUUGAUUUUAUAAAAAAAGUGUCUAGUUAUUGGGAUGGUUCUUAAAUUGUAAACUUGAAAAUAAUUAUCCAACAAAAGUGGUAAGGAUAUUGAGUUUGCUUAAUUAAAUAAUAACCUCCAUAGUCCCAUUUUUACCUAAAUGCGAAACUAGCUAAAUAUUACAUAAUAAAGUUAAUGUGGAAAGUAGAAUUUCUUCAACUUUUAACUGCGAACAAUGAUCGGAAAGACUAUUCUCAUGUGAAAUGACCUAAUUCUAGGGAAGUCUCGAAGUUUUGAUGCAAUGUUCUUCUAAAUCACUAGUCGACCAAUCAAGGUUGUAGGAGUUCUCAGGGUGAUGAUUUAAUUUUCAUUGGUUUUUCUGGAGUUGGGUCCUUUCGCGUUAACAGCUUCAUGAUUGGAGAAAAAAAAUAAACUUAUUUGCCUCACCUUGAGGUAAAUACGUUUGAGUUGAUAUAGUGGAGGCCUCUGUCUCACCACUAGUUUUUAGAAACCCAAAGUAUUUGAAACUUACUAUUAAAUUGAAGCCCAACUAAAAGUAUACAAAAAUUGUGUACAUAUUUAUAUAUAAAAUUAAUACAUAAUGUAAGAAGGGUCCAAUAAUGAGAAACAUCAAAAGUGUAUCUCCAUGUGCAAAAAGGCAAGAAAUGAAACUGCCCAUCUGCUGCUCAGUGUGAACUAGGAAGUUAUUAGUCAGAUUGGAUGAGUUUGAAUGCAUUACCUCCGUUUUCUUCAAAAAAGAAAAGAAAAAGAAAAGAAAACCCUUUUUUUAAAAAAAAAUUAUUAUCUCUAUUUUCAUUUCCCAUUAAGAAUUUAUUUCUAAAAAAAUUGAUACAAACCUUAAUAAAAGUAACAAAUAUCAACAUGUCUUCGGGACGAUUCGUACAUUGGUGAUAAACUUCUAUUAUUGUAUCAUUGAUAGACUCGUUUUAUAUGUUAAUAUUUUGAAUUUAAUAACUAUACAUGACAAUUGCACCACUAAUUAAUGAUUUUAUUUUUCUUUUUAAUAAUGUAGGAGCAGGAGAUGAAAUCUUAAACAUCAAGAUUAAGAAUGUUAAAGCUAUAUUCAUGUCAUUUGUUAUAGCUUAGUAGAUUAAUUAUGGAUAUCUAAUUAUCAAAAGAAAUAGGAGUGAAUAAUAUCGUCAAAACCACCCACAACUCUAUGUAAUAAUAAUAUUUUCUUAAAAAGAAGCCUAUGGUAUAGUUAAUUACAUUAAGAAGUAAACAUAGCAAACAUAUAUAUGCUUAUUUUUACAAAUAUAUGUAUGGAUGUAUGAGCUUUUCUUCUUCUUCUUCUUUAAAUUUGUGUGUGUUUUCAAUUAAAAAUUUAAAUGUUAUUAAAUAUGUAUUUAAAUGAGAUUAUGAUAUGAAGAUAGAAAUGAGAUCUAAAUGGCCCAUCACAUGAUGGUUUUGGAAGUACUUUUUUUCUAAAUUAAAAUAUAAAGUGCAAAAUGGGAAAAGUGGACUUGUCUUUGUUAAAAAAAAAAAAUUUAAUUAAAUUUACUGUUGAUGAUGAAAUGUCAAUUGAAUCUCUCUUUUUUGACCUUAAAUAAUAUGGGAAUGGGAAGUGUACGAGUCCUUAUCAAUUAAAAGGAAAAUAAAUAAAAUUAUUAUUUUAGAAAGAAAAAAAAAGAUUGAAUUGUGUAAAAUCCAAAACAACUUUGUAAAAGCAAAAUGGUCAAAUUAAGAUUGUACAUUGCAUUAAAACUUUGGUCUAAAUCCAAUGGAAUCCUAGGGCUUCAUUCUACCCUAACUUCCUUUUUUCUUUUUAAAUAAUUAUAACAGAAAAUAAUUUUAGAAAUAAUAACGAAGUAUAUAACAACAUUUUUUUAAAAAAUUAUAAAUAUAUCAAAGUCUAUCCGUGAUAGACGUUUAUCACCUUAUAAGUGAUAAACCAAUAUUUGCAUGUAAUAUGAUCUAUUAACGAUCAACUUUAAUAGAUUUUGUUAUAUUUGUAAUAUUAUUUUUAAAAUGUUGCUAUAUAGUUAAUUAUUUUAAAUCUAAUGACUAUAUUUGUAACUCUAUCAUUUUUUUUUUUUUUGGUGUAACUUGUUUUUUGGUUUAAGUUUUACUUUCACCGUUGGAAUUUAGUUAGAUAUAGACAUUUGAAGAGUUUUCUUCAAUCCAAAAGAAUGGAUGAUUAAUGUAGAAGAAUUAAAAGAUGUACGUGAAAUUAUUUAGAUAAAUUGUCGAGACAAUUGAUGCAUAAAAUUGAUUAUGUAAAUGAUUUUAUCGAUAUAUAUUUUUAGAUGAAUUGAUCACUUAAAGUAUAACAAAAUCCAAACGUGAGUAUAAAUUAAUACGAGUAUGAUUUAAUACACUUACGAUUUUAAUUGAUACAACCUUUAGGUUGAAGGACACUAGACUUGUAAGUUUUAUUAUUUUAUAUUUAUAUGAAAUAAGUUUUUUUAAAGUAUAAAGGUGAGCAUCGAUCGAUUAGAGUCCGUUUUUCUUUAUAAUCAGAGUCUUUAAAAAAAUUUAAACCGAUAUAGAUCGAACCAUUUCUCCCUCACCGAUUGACUAUCUUCGAUUCGGUUGACAUAGUUGUUCAAUCUAUCGUAUUUACUCCUCGAGAGAACGUUAAACGGAAGAAAAACGUGGGGGGAAAGGAGUAUUUGUUAAGUUGGGCAACAGAAAAUGGUACGUUAUAGUGAAGAAUACAAAGUAUAUGAAAAACCGUGUGCUUCACUGCUGAUCACAACUAAACUGCUUUUGCAGUAAACUCACUUUGGCUUCGUAUGGAGACCCACAUCACUCUCUCUCUCUCUUUUCUUUUGCUUUCAGUGCUAAUAACUCACAUUCCUCCAAUCACAACUUGCCACGUUUACACCCUCCACGUGUCCUUUCCUUCCAUAUCUCUCUUUUCGGAUUCUCGACAUAUAUGGACAAAUCGUAAAAGUGUUCGAAAUUAUUUACAAACACAAUAAAAUUUUAUAGUACAUAAAAUGAUAAAUUUCUGUAAGUGUUCGUUCGAUCUCACCGGUAGAAAUCUAGUCUAUUUUUGAAUUUUUGUUAUAUUUAUAAAUAGUUUAAUUUAUUUUACCAUAUCUAAAAACAAACCCUAACGAAAGUUAUUCUUAAAUUACAUGAGGAUUUAGUACUUAUCAACAUAAUUUUACUGAAAGUAUUUAUUAAAUGUAUUAUAUUAUUAUGAAAACUAAGGGACGAAAACGAAAAUUUUAUUUUAAAAGUAUGUCACGUGUUAAAUUGUGGUUAUACGAAAUAGAGAUGUGUUAUCUAAAUAUUUUUCGUUAAUUAAUAAGUUUAAAUUCAUAUAAAAAUAGAGAUGAUUGAUAAUGCGAAUAGGAUGAAAAAUACAAUAAAUUGUAUAGUUAUUCAAAACACGUUAAUAUAGUCGUGAUUCAAACUCGAACAUAUAUAUCUCAAUUCAUGGUAAAAAUAAUUAAAGAUGUAAAUUUUUUUUAACUUAAUAAAGAAAUAUAAAAUACAACAACAUAUACUUGAAUGAUUCUCUCAUAAAACAAGAAUUGGAAGUAUUAAAUCAUAAUCAAUUAGAGUGUGAAUUUAAUGUUUGGAAGUUAUUGAUUGUCUGAUUCUAAGUUUAUAAUUGUUAGUGGUUGAGAUGUAAUAACUCAAAUAUUAUUAUCAUUAUUUUGUCUUUAAGACUUUGCAUGCAUUGACAUGUUUCAUAAAUUCCAUGAUUUAUUACAUAUAAUUGUAUUCACAUAUUAUACAAAUAUUCUUGAAAAUGGAUGGAUAUUUGAAUGAAAUGUAUUAUAUUAUAAUUUGUACAAUACGUAUAAAAUUAGGUAAGUAUAGUUAUCGAUCACUAAAAAAAAGAGAGUAGAAUCUCAUUGAUGAACUACCACUUAUUUCGUUUCCGUGAUAAACAACUCAUUGGGGUCCUACUCAUAUGUUGAGUGCCUUAAGAGGAAAAAUGAUAACAUUUUUCAAAUACAAAAAAUUGUUCAUUUACCCUACUCUUUUCAUGUUAUAUAUGUUGGGUUUUGAUAUGGAAAUUUAGUGUGGUAUUGGUUUAUUCCAUUGCCAUUUUGAUGGGUUGGUGAUUGAAAAGAAAAAAAAAGAUGGUGGACCCUAAUGAAAAAUAAAGAAGAAAAUGCUUGGGGGGGCACUAUGUCAAGAAAACAAAGAGAGGAUAUGGUCAUUCACUCUUGUUUGUUUGAGUUAUGUUCCUUAGAAGUUUCCCCUAUGUCAUUUCACACCAUAUUUUCUUUACCUUUUUCUCCCUUCAUUCUCGACUCUUCUGAGUCACAUGAUUUAUCGUUAAAAAUGUUCGGAUAAGACCUUUCCUUAUAAUGAUCUCAAAGUUAAGGACGAAAUGAAAAUCAAACGAUUGAAAAGAUGUUUGUUAAAGGGAAAAAUCGACAAAAUGCAUUCGGGUCAGUGAGCGUGCAAAUAAACACAUAACAGAGACUUCCGAAGAAGAAAAAGGUUGGUUACCUUUCAAAAUGUUUGCUAAAUCCAUAGAUAAAUAAGAUCAAAUUGAAGUUGAUCCAGAACAUUGAUCAAUACUCAUUAAACAGCUUAUGAUGUUAGUUUAUUGGAUUUGAGUUAUCAAGACAAAACUAAUAAUAUAAUCAAUAACAGUUAUUACAAUAAUAAAACUUUAUUAAUAACUGUCAAUAGAUUAUAUUUACACUCUACGAGUUUUAUAACACAAAUGACACGAUGGACAAAAACAUCUUAACAAAGAGAAACAAGAAAAAUGAGAUCAUAUAUGCUUUAACAGGAAAUUACUUCGUAGUCAGAUAGACACAAUGCCUCUCUAUUUGUUCAAAAUCCAUUAAUGGAAAGGUAAAUGCAUUAAAAUUUUCUUUUUCUUAUAGUAAGAAAAGUUGUGUGUGCCUUUAAUUAAUUUGUGUAGCCAUGUUGCCUUUUGUCUUAGUUAGGCGCUACCAACCUUUGUUUGAGAGUACUCUUCACCUAUAGGAUCAUAUAGUUUUCUUAAUUAUUAUAUAUCUCUAUAUAUAUAAUUAAUAUAUGAGACCUAAAGCCCAACCAUUAUAUAUUAAUAAUGAGAUAUUUUUGGUGGAGCUUUUAGCCUAUAAUAAAAGUGAAAUAUAGUAAUUAAUUGAACUAUAUGUAUUUUUUUUUAAUACUAAGAGCAUAUGUUAUUAUAUAGUUGGCUCAAAUAAUUUCUAUUAUUAUAAAGUAUACAUGUGUGUGCGAUAAAUUUUAUAUAUUUUUAGAUCUUAAUGUAAAAUGAUAUGUUCCUUGGGAAUGUGUAGAGAAGUUUGGAGAUUACUCGAUGUUGUGAUUUUUUUUUGUGAAUUUCUAUGUAUGGGAUUUUUUAAAAAUCACUAACCAUAAAGGUAAUGAUUCAAAUCUAUUUUAGAGUUAAAUCAUAUGUGUUUAGCAACAAAAUUUCUAAACUUUUAUUUAUUUAAUUUCUUGAAUUUAAUAAAAUUUUAAACUUUUAAUUUAGUAGCUAUAAAUAUAUAGAAAUCAUGACAGAAUAACAAUUAUAACAUUUAUUUUAGAUAUAAUAUUUAAUUCUAAGAGUCUAUAUUGUCUUAACAUGUUUUUAAAUAUAUAAUUAAGUCAUUUUAAAAAAAAUAGAUAUUUGACAAUAACUUUUUAAAAUAACAUUUUAAAGUUUUAUUUUUUUAAGUCAAUACAAACAUAACAUUAGUAAUAGUUUAAAUAAAAAUUUAUUAUAGAUAAAAUUUAUCACUAAUUUAUUUUAGUGUAUAUAACGUUUUUUUAAAAAUAUUGUUAUAAAUUAGUUAUUGGUCCUAAAAUAAUAAUUUCUAUUAUUAUAAAGUAUACAAACGGUCCUAAUAUUGUUAUAAUUUAGUUUAAAUAAAUUAGACAAAUAAUGUAAAAGUAAAUCAAUGAAAGGUAUAAUUUAACCUUUCUAGCAAUAAAUUACCCAAAAAAAAAAAUAAUAACUUUUCACACUUUUUCCUUCAAAGUUUUACCUUUAUAUGGUUUUAAAUAAAGCAAAGCUAUAGAAAUUAACAAACAAAAUAAAAGAAAAUCAAGUAAUAUCCCUCUCUCUACUUCAAAACAUCACUUUCAAUUUUCAAAUCAAACCCUAACCCUAAUCCAAAAGAGAAAAUUUCACUCAAAAGCAAAAAAAAAAAAAAAAAAAGGGGGAAAAAGGAGAACAAAAUGAAAGCUACUUUUGAAUCAAAAUUGACUUUGAAAUCACUUUUGUUGGGUUUUAACCAUGCUUGUAAUUAUAACUAAUUAAAACCAUUAUUAAUAAUAUAAUUGAAUUAGUAACACCUUCUUUCUUUUUCUUCUUCUUAUUCUUUAAUUAAUUUGGGUGUGAGGAUAAAAAAAAAAUUAAAAUAGGAUUUCAUUUUAAAUAUUAACUAAUUAAGAAUUGCCCCACUAAUUAACUCUUUUUCUAUUUGCUAAAUCUCCAAUUAACUUUAUAGGAUGCUUUUGAUUUGAUCAAGUUAUAUAUGAACAAAAAUUAUGAUUGUGUUCAUUGAAGGAUGAUUACAUUAUUUUGUGGAUGAUAUAUUUUUAUUAUAUUUGGAGUGAAAGCAAAAGAAAAUGGUAUAGUAAAUCAUUAAAAUGAUAAGUAAGAGAAUAUUUUCUUUUGAAUUAGAUUCAAUCUCCUAAUUUAUAUAACAUUUAACUAAAUUUUAGAUUAUAUAAUAUUUAUGAUAAUUUUUUUUUUAUCAUUUUGACCAUUUACUUUUUUUUUUUCUCCUUGAUUUUCAAUAUAUAUCUAAUGACUUGAAAAAGAUGUAAAUAGUUUCUUUUGAUUUUCCAUAAAAGAAUUCACUAUUUCAGGAUAAAAUUAAAAACAAAAUUAUUUUUAAACAUACCAAAAUAAUAUAAUUAUAAAGUAUUUCAAAAUUUCAUAACCUAUCAUUGAUAAAUAUUAAUAAAUCGAUAAUAUAUUAGUAUUUACUAGGUAAACACAUAUAAAUAAUUAUAAAAUUUCGUUGUAGUUACAAAUAUUUUUUAAAGAGAAUUUUAAAAAAUAAUAAAAUUUAAAAAAUAUUUAUAACAUAUAACAAAAUUUCAGAUUCUAAUAAUAAUAAACACUGAUAGACACUGAUAUGCUACUAUAGGUGAUAUUGAUAGAUAAUAACAAAAGUUUAUUAAUUUUUAUAGUAAAUAUUUUAAUUUGUUUUAUUAUUUUUAAUUUUUUUUCUUUUGAUAUAAUUGAUUUUUUAAAAAUAAAUUUACAUUUUUUGAAAACUAAUUUUUUCUUUUAAAACUUUAGUUAAUUUUUUAAGACGUUUACUUAUUAUCUUAAUAUAAAUAUAUAUAUAUAUAUAUAUAUAUAUAUAUAUAUAUAUAUAUAUAUAAAGUUUUCAAACCAUUAAUAAAUUAAAAACCAAAACAACUACUUUUAAUCUUUAUCAUUAAAAUGAUUUCUUAAAAUAGGAAAAAAAUUAUUGAAAUUUAAUUAUUCCAAACCAUUACGUUAAGUCAAUGUAUCUUUACUUUUACUUUGACUUUUGUGUUCAUAGAUAAGGGAGAAAUUUUAUACACAAGAGUAAUUUUAUUUUAUUUUUUCAUAUAUUUACAUUUAAAACUUUAACAAAAUAUAAAUACAACUUCAUUUUAAAAAACAAAUCUAUUGUUUUAUAAAUAAAAAAUGAUGACAAUAAUUUACGUUAAAAUUGACCUCGAAUGAUUGAAUACAUAUGGAUGCAUGGAAAUUUGCUUAUACAAAUACAAAUAAAGUUUUUGAAUUUGAAAAAUAUGGAUUAAAGAAUUAAAAAAAAUAAAGUUUUGAUUCUAAAUUUGAAACUAAAGUUUGAAUUUCAAGAACACAAAAAGGACACAAGUAUUCUAAAAAACAAAUCCAAAGAAUGGCAUUGGGAUAAUCAUAAAAUCAUGAGAAUCCAAUUCCAAUUCCUCUUUUUGUGAGAUUGUGAGAAUUGAGAUUAAGUAAUCAAAAUAAAUUAGAUUUUACUCUUUAUAUAUAGUUUAAUAAUAUCUCAUUUGAUAGUUUUUUUAAUAAAUAUUUAUCAUAAAAACCAUUGGUCAGAGUUGUUGCAAACUUUUUCCAGGAACCAAAUUGUAAAAUAUAUCAGAUAUCACUACAAAAUAGUAAAACACUUCCAAAUAUAACGGUAGGAAUAGAUUGGAGUGAGUAUCGGCUCAGUCGGUUUUCAGACCAAACAUACUACGAUUAACUUUAGUAAAUGUUAAAACUGAUAUUGAUCAUGAAAGAGUGCGUCAAUCAAUCUACCAAUCAAUUAAAUUCGACUUAAACCUUUGAUUUUCUUAAAAAUUAUGCUUUAUGUUUAGAUUUUUCUCAAACAGAUUUAGAUCGAAUCUCCUCUUAUCUUUAAUCGACUACUCUUAGUUUGAUGGAUCGAUUCAUUUCAUCAAUCGUUCAUGAUCCCUCAGCUAAAACUAGCUCAAAGCUAACCAUUGUUUUUAUAGUAAUUUUUGCUUGUAAAAUAAUAAUUUUAGUGUUUAUAUGGAUGGAGAGGAAAAUUCCAAUAUGGAUCAAAAUUAAUCCAAACUCAACUAACAUAGUCGGAGAAUAUCCCAAGUUCAAUUUUCUCACAAAAGAGGGACACAUUUUAGUUUUUCUUUUCUAUAAUUUAAUUAUAUAUCAUUUUUUUUGGCUAAAUUGUAAAUUAUAUUCAAAACUUUUGAAAAUUAUUCUCGAGGAAGAAAUUAGAACUAUUAGGAGGUAAGAUGAGAGCACCACCAAUGUAUGAAUUUUACGUGUUUGAAGUACUAUAACGUUUAUUUUCCAUCUUGAUAUAUGAUUCUCUUCAGGUCAAUUUUGAAAACCAAUACCCAAUGAAUAAUAACAGAUCUGUUUUCCAGUAUAUUCAUUGUUGAUAUUUGAUAAUAUUUAUAAUAAUACUAUUUUACGAUAUAGUUUUGACAAUAAAUUUUUCGCUUGAGUGAUUUAUAGUCGAGUUGACCUGUAGAAGACAUCUCACCAACUCAAUAUUGAUAGGAUUAUAACACAAACUAAUUGCUUAACUCUAUGUCAACUGUAACUUGAGUCGAGCCUCAUACCUGGAUGACAAUGCCAAGUAGUUUGACGGUAAAAACAGUCCGCUAGACUCGACGAUUACCCUAAUGUCUUUCGCGAGGUAAUAUUGUAAAUCUAGAAAAAGAAAAAAGCAAUUUUUAAGAAAUAAAAUUUAUAAUUUAUAAUUUAAUUUUUUGAUGUCUAUUUUUAUUUAAUUUAAUUUUCUCUAACUUCUAUAGUGAUGACUGGCGAAUUGGUACCUUGAAAUUAAAUUAAAUUAAAUUUAUUUUCGUUGGGUGGGGAAAAGGGCAGAAAAUGCCAUACAAGUUAUUCUCUUGAUUCGAGGAGAGAGUUGUGUUCUUCUUCCCAACAUUUUUCAUGGAGUUUCAUUUCAUUGUUGAAAAAGGAGAGAGAUCAGAUUCAGAUCGAUUCUUAUCAUCAACACAACUUUCUUCUCCAUUCAUCACAUUCCUAGCUCAUUCUCAUCUUCUCUUCCACUUUAACUUCAACUACUCACUUUCUCUUCUUACUCAAUAUCAUGCCUCUUCUUCUCUUUCUUUCUAGGUUUUUUUAACUUCUACCUUUAAUUUCUUUCCCUCCUUCUCUUGCAUCACCUCACUUCAUCUUCCAGGUUUCUUUCUCUUUCAAUUCAUGUUUUCCUUUGUUUCAUUGCUCAAACUGAACUGAGCUUUGUUUUGAAAUUGUAAUUGUAGGAGCUUGUUUGUUAUUUACUUUUUUUUUUUUUUUAAUGAAGAUGAUGAUCGGAGGAUGUUACUUGUUUUAUGUGUUUGUAAUGUGCUUUCAUUUUCUUCUUCACUUUCUAAUUUUGCUAUGUUUGGCAGUUUUCUUCCUCCAGAUCUAUGGUUCACUUUGCUGUUUUGAUUUAUGUUUCUGGCUUUAAAUCUGGAUUUCCUGUUGCCAUGUGCUUGUACUUGAUGAAAAUAGGGGUUUGUUGUUGUUGUUGUUUUUGGAGGUUAGGGAUGGGGUUUCGGGGCAAAUGCAUCUCGAUCUUAACUUGGAAAAUGCCUUAUGUUGUCUCUGGAAGACUUGUUUGUUUGGGUUUUUGUGAAUUCUAACAGAUUUUUUUUUUGUUAAUUCAUGAAUCUGACCUUUCCUGAAGCUUCUGUGUACUUAUUUUGCUUUCGGACCUGCACAAGCCUGCUAAAAUGAGCUUCAGCUUAUAAUGAUUUUGCUUUAAGAGAUAUACUUCUACAUUACUUCAAGGAUUUUCGAUGGAAGUUUUUGUAUAGAAUGCCGUUGGAGUAUGAAACUAUUGCCUUUCCUUCCCUUUUUUCCUUUUUUCUUUUCAACUCAUUCUUUUUACUUCUUUCUCUUUUUCACAUUUACUUUCAUCAAUUUCGUCCGUUACAGAUGUUUCAAAUCGGAGCUUCUUUAUUAUAGUUAAGAUUUCAAAGUUAUAUGAGUUGUCUUAUCUGAUUUAAUUUCUAGUGUUCACAAUUUUAAGCUUUGAUUAAUUGAUGCCAGGCUUAUAGUUAUGGUCUUGAAUGCAACAUACCGAAUGCGUGUUUCUAAAGAAAGAAGUUGUGGCUGCAGAUACACCAGAAAGUUUGCUGAAGAGUAGUUUCUAAUGUCUUGUGGAAGCUAGGAAACAUUUUUCGGCAGAAAAGAGCUUGUUCACAUACCAUGUUCUGAAUUCAUCCAACCACCUCGAUUCCUAGUGCUCGUCUUCCAGAUCAUAAAGCAUCUCACCAUGCUCAAGCAAAUACUGAGCAAACUUCCUAAGAAGUUGCAGAAAUCGGAUACGGUGGAUUCUGCAACAAAUGAGUCUGGCAACAAUACUUCUCGUCUGGGACAUGUAUUCCAGUGUACAAAUGUAGGGAGCGCCUUCUCGAGUAAAUUAAAUGUUGUGAAGCGUGUUUCAUCAGCGGUUUUCCCUGCAAGUAUUGCAGCAGAAGCAGUGGAUCCCCACUUGUCAUUCAAAGAUGUUCCGAAUCCGCAGAAGCAGAACUUGUUUGUCAGUAAAUUGAACUAUUGCUGUGAGGUUUUUGAUUUGAAUGAUAUGGAGAAACAGGAUCUUAAACGUCAAAUGUUGAUAGAUGUUGUUGAUUUUGUUACAUCUGGAUCUGCAAAGUUCACUGAGACAGCAAUUUCAUCAGUAUGUAAGUUGUGUGCUGCUAAUCUUUUUCGCGUGUUCCCACCCAAAUCACGUUCAACUUCAACUGGUGGAGAAACAGAGGAUGAAGAACCAAUAUUUGACCCAGCUUGGUCACAUUUGCAAAAUGUAUAUGAUCUACUGCUUCAUUUUGUCAGUAGCAACUCCCUAGAUGCAAAAGUGGCCAAAAAAUAUCUUGAUCAUUCUUUCAUCCUGAGAUUGCUCGACCUCUUUGAUUCCGAUGACCCAAGAGAAAGAGAUUGCUUGAAAACAAUCCUUCACCGUGUCUACGGAAAGUUCAUGAUACACAGGCCUUUCAUCAGGAAGGCUAUUAGCAAUGUCAUGUAUCGUUUUGUUUUCGAGACGGAGCGGCAUAAUGGAAUUGCAGAGCUGUUGGAGAUUUUUGGUAGCGUGAUUACCGGGUUUGCAUUGCCAUUGAAGGAGGAACACAAGACAUUUUUAUGGAGAGUUCUAAUUCCUCUUCACAAACCAAAAUCAGUCGGAAUUUAUCAUCAGCAGUUAACAUAUUGUAUUGUACAGUUUAUAGAUAAGGAUCCUAAGUUGGCCAGUACAGUUAUAAAGGGACUUUUAAGAUAUUGGCCUUUAACAAAUAGCCAGAAAGAGCUGAUGUUUUUAAGUGAAACAGAAGAGAUUUUGGAAAUGAUCAGCAUGGUUGAGUUCCAGAAGAUCAUGGUCCCUCUCUUUCGUCGAAUCGGAUAUUGCUUGAAUAGCUCUCAUUACCAGGUAUGAUUAUUGCUUCCUAGAUUUUAAGGGUCUGAUUUAGAUUGCUGUUUUCUUUUAUUUAACUGCAUUUCACUAGAUUUUGGUUUUUCUUGUGUUAUUGUAUAUGCAUAUUUUACAAGCAUGGAACGGCUUCAAAUGGAUUUAUUCCUUGAUAAAUAUGAAGAAUUAGGAUUCGUUCCAAGUCCCUAAACCUAGUCUAUGUUGAUUUGAUUCGACUCCAAUGUGUUUUUGAGUGUUUAGUUGAUUUUUGGUUGGUACAUUUGUUUACUUUUCCAAUUCUCUUAGGUGGCAGAGAAAGCUCACUUGCUUUGGAACAACGAACACAUCAUCAAUCUUAUCGCUCACAACCGGCAAGCGAUCAUACCGAUUAUCAUCCCAGCUCUUGAACGAAAUACACAAAAGCAUUGGAACAAUGCCGUACUAAAUCUAACUUUAAAUGUGAAGAAGUUGGUUCACGAGAUGGACGAGGAACUCGUGCUUGCUUGCCAGGUUGACUUGAAGGAGGAACAGUCGAAGUUGGUUGCAGCGGCAGAGAAGAGGAGAUUGACAUGGGAGCGGCUCGAGAAUGCUGCAAGACCACAGCCAAUAUCUCCUAACAUUUCAUUUCUGGUAGAACCAGCAACUUGUGCAGUUGCUGGCUAAGCCACUCAGAAUCGGAAGAUCUGAGUCAACAAAACAACGGUAUCAUCAUUACUUUUGCAGUAGUACACCCGGAUCAUCUAGUUCUUUGAUUCAACUGCACAAAAAGCGUCUCAUCCGUCUCAUCGAGAUUGCGACGAACAAGUUACAGACGAUGGAUAUGAUCAGGUCCUGAUGAAACUUUCUGUACAGGUGUGUGGGUAAAAAGCAGGAGCAGCCUAUUUGGUUGUUAUUGCCAUAAAUUUGAGGAAAUCUGUAUCCUUGAUCAAACAGUGUGUUUCUUCACUGUUUUUUUCUUUCUUUUUUCUUUUUCCUUUUUCCAUAUCUCAUUCAUGAUGGGAUUUUGUGCUUUUGAGUUCCAAUGGCACUGGCAGCGUAUUGAUGAAGCCUUCAGCUAUGAGCUUGUUUGUUCUUCUGAAAAUUCAAUGUCUUUCUUCUCUUGAAUUCCAAACAGGAUGGUGAAUCAUCCUCAUUUCUUUGAGAUGGUGAUGGAGCCCGAGAAUGCAUUUUUCUGUCCUUUGCCUUUUAACCCUCUUUUUUUAUCUCCAAAAUUAUAUAAUAAAAUGUACAUUUUGCUCUCUCUAUAUGUAUUGGCGGAGGGCGGAGGGCGGAGGGCAGAGGUUUGAAUCAACCUUAGCAAUGUAAGUGAUAUUUCUUGUUGGAAAAAAUACCUUUUUUUUCGGGUUUAGUUUCUGUUUGAUUCUUGCACAUUUAUGUCUUAUUUGGUAACCACCUUGUUUUUAUUUCUUAUUUUUUCCAGAUUUCUUAAAAUUCUAAAAAUAAGUUAAAAGAUAAGUCUUUUAGUUUUUAAAUUUUCGCUUGAUUUUUAAACCAUUGGUAAAAGAAAGGAAGAAGGAGUGUUGAUAGUUUUAAUUCUAAAAAGAUAAAAACGAAAAUCAAAAUGGAUACUAAAAGGACUUUUUAGGUUUGGAGUUUGGUUUUAAUUUAGUUUUUAAGUCUUUAAACAAUUUUGUUAUAUUUUAUAAAUGGUAUUAAAAUUGUAGCCAUACAAUGAGAGGUUUGAAGUAAGAGUUAGAGGUGUGGGUGUAUAUGUAUGAUAUCUAAGAACUAAGAAGAAAGAAAAGGGUGUGAUUGUGAGAGCAAGGGAAGUAGGGUAGUCCAUGAAACAGAGGAUAAUGGAAAAGAAAAAGGAGGCAAUUUCUGAGGUGUUAUCUGCCAUUUGAAGCUCAGUCCCCUUUUUCCCAAAGGGGACAAUUUGAUUGUACAAUUAUUGCUUUCUUCUCCUUCACCAUUUCUCCCACAUUUUCCUUCUCCACACUUUCUCAUUUCUUUCAAAAUUUAUUUUUAAUUUUCAUAUCCUUACACGAUUUCAAUCUUUUUCAAAACAUAGUUUUGAAACGAUUUUAAAGGGUGCUUUUGAUUCUUAAAAUUCAUGGAUCUAAUAGUACAAUUUAAUUUUAUAUUUACUAAAUUCUUUUGGGUUUAAAUUUUUAAUUUUUUUUUGAAUUUAUUAAAUAAAGUUGAAAAUGCAAAAACUUGUUUAAGACACACUCUCAAAAGCUUACUAAUCAAAUAGAUGUAACCAUCAAAGUUCAGUGAAAAAUCUAAUUAAAAUUGGUGGUUGACAAUGUGUAUCAAUUUGCAUUCGUCCCAUUUAAAAACAUUCUAACUAUGAUAUAUAAUAACUCAUUUAGAUGAGUGGUAUAGUGCUUUUGUAAUCAAGAUCAAAAAAGAGAAAUUUUCUAAUGUGAUUAAACCUCUUGUUUUUUCAAGGCCAUAGUGAAUUUUGUUCGAAUUUUGAAAUUUUACUCACCAUGAAGCAAUUUUAUAAAAUUGUCUUGAUUUCUUCUCGUUCAUGUGCGACCAACUUUAAGACUAUGCACCAACUCGGCAGUUGCACACGAGCAACUCCAAAUUGUAAAUAUUGAUCUAAAUAUCAAUAUUUGGAAUAUGAAAUUUUGGUAUAUUUGUAAUUGUUUUAAAGUAUUGCUACGUAGUAAUAUAAUUAAAAAUUAAAAUUGAGAAGCAAUCACGUGUUUACUUAGAGGGAGAGAGAGAGAGAAAAAGGCGAAACCAGAGGGUUUUAGGUUUCUUCUUCGCUCAUAGUAAUUGCCCAACGACUUCCAUUCAAUCCUUUUCCACACUCUAAACUUUCCAUCGCCAAACCUAAACAGAGAUUCCCAAUUUCGGAACUGAAAGAAAGAAGGGAUGUACCACGUUCUUCCACCGCAAGAACAGCAUUUCUCUUACAUUACGUACGAUGUCCAAAGACGCCAAUCAAGAUAAAGGCUGUGUCUCUUCGCUCUGUAAGAACGACGAUCUCUUUAAUUUCUUCCAUUCUUCCAUUUUUCUAAUUUUUCUAAUCGAUUUGAAUAAUUUUAUCAGUUUAUUCGCUGUGUGUUGCUGUUUUUGCUGAUUCGAAUUAAACUUGCGUGUGUUGCUUGAAGUGUGUUUGUUGUUGCUGCGAUUGAGUUAUAUAGUGUAUUCCAUCUUCGAUUCAAUAAUCAUCUAAAUUUCUAUCUUUCGGUGUUUUGUUAGAAAAUUUAUAUAAAAAAAAAAGAGAAAGAGGAGAAUUAGGCUUUGGAGAGAUAUUGGAUGUAAUUUGUUCUGAGUUCUUGUUUUUUUUUCUUCUUCAAUUUCUUUGAUUUAAUAAAAAAGAGUCUGGGUUGUAUAUUUGUAUUCUUACCAUGUUCCAAUUUAUUUUUCAAAUUAGAGAUAAGAACAAGGUAUUUAGCAACAUUUAAAAAGAAGUUAUUAAUAUAGAAAAGUUUACCGAUAUCUCUCCAAAAAAAUUUGUAUAGAAGACACUAUACGCUAUAUAAUAAACACACUUCAACAGAUAUCUGAAUGCUUUCGAGUAACAGUCACUAUAUUUAUAGUAUUUGUAGCAAUAAAUUUUCACAUUAUAUUUUGUAAUAUAAAUGUAAAUUUUAAAAUUACAUAAAAAACUUUUUCAUGAAAUAUUGGUGAGAGAAUGGAAAUUUAGAUAUCAACUUUGUUGCAUUAUUUUCUACAGAAGUUGAACUCUUAAGAUGAUGGUAAAGUUUAGUUAAAAUAAAAUAUUAUUUAAUGUAUAUUGUAAUAUGACAAUUAAAAAUUAAUAUUAAAAUAUAAAAAUCAAUAAUGUGAGGGAGUCAGUAUUCGACCCCUUAUUAAAUCCACCUUUGCCGACACUUAUAGACCACAAUGACCAAUAUUUACGAGAUGGUCUAGGUCUAGGUCUAAUUAAUCUAUCACUAACAAACGUUUAUAUAUGCAAUUUUUAAAUAAUAUUACUAUACGUGCUAAUACUAUCCCAAAUCUUUGUUAUUAAAUUGUUAUUAUAACAUUUUUUUUUGGAUUUGAUGUGUUAGAUUUUUAUUCAAUUUAUUAUUAUUAUUAUUAUAUCUCUUUUAAAACGUCGGGAAACAUCUUUAGAAAAAAGCACAAGUUGGAAAACAUCGAUCAAUUUAUACUUAUAAACUUUAAAAGUUCUAUCACUCUUGCGAGUAUAUUAUUUUAGACCAUUUACUACAUUUUAUUUAAAAUAACUAUGAUAAACUUAAAAGUUUAUUAGUUAAACUUUAAAGUCUCCUAAAUCAAUCAAUUUAGACUUUUAGGUAUAUUUAUUCUUGUCUACUCUCGUAAUUGAUUCAAAAUUUAAUGGAUAAAAGAUUUAUAUUGACAAUGAAAAUAAGUAGUUUUUAAGUUAUAAUGGAUAAAAGAUUUAUAUUGAUAAUGAAAAUAAGUAGUUUUUAAGUUAUAGCUUCUUCUUCUUUUUUACAUUUUUUAUCAUCUAAAUAUAUAUGUUGGUGAGAGUCUAUCAACUUAUCAAUGUUUAUCCAUGAUAAAAAUUGAUACGAGUAUAUUCUAUCAACAUCGAUGUCUAUUAGUGAUAAAGGCUUAUUGUUUAUAUGUAUGUAACACCCUAAAUGUAGGGGAAGAUAUGAAUGAACUGAUAUCACAUUUAAUUAAAAGAGAUCCUGAGAAUUUAAUUAAAAGAGAUCCUGAGAACAUGAGAGUAAAGUUAAGAAAGACUUAAAAUAGUUCAAAGUUACUACAUAUUUUAACAAAGUGCACUUUCUUUUUUAAUAGCUCGAUCAUAUAAACUUUGUUGGACCUGAGCAUUACAAUUGAUCACUACUUUUUUUACCAUUUAUAUGAAUAGUUUGACAUUUUUUCUAUACGUGAAAAUUAAUCUCUUUUAAUUUGUAAUAUACAUUGCACCUUGUUUUUAUUUUACACUUUAACUAUUUAUUUGCAACUUUGACUGCACCCUUUUUGUUUAAGAAAACAUUAAAGAAAAUAGGUUUUAUGAAUGUGUUUAAUUUUUUGAAUUACUCAAUCUAUAUAUUUAACAGAAGUAACCAUUUAUGUAAUUUAAAAUUUAUCACAAAUUUAAUUUAAUUCCUCGAAUCUUCAAAUUCAAUUGGUGUUUUGUAUUAUUUUGAUCGAUUAACUUUCAAUAUUUGUUGAGAAUUGUCCUACAUUAAUAAUACUCAAUUUAUUGGCAUGUCUAAGCUCGAGAGAAAUCAAGAGGUGUGACAUGGAAAAAUGUACUACAAAAGGGAAAACUUAAAGUUUUCAUCCCUAGUUGGUAAUAAUAGCACCAAUAAGAAAAUAUAUUUGAAAUGUACUCAGUUUCAUUCUCGCAUCAUAAACUACCAUGACAUUCGUCAAAGUUACACCUAAUCACAAUCAAUUGUAAGAGGAAGGAUAUUCUUAAUUAGCCUCGUUUAUUUAAUGACCUUCCAGAAGAACAAAAAAAGCAAGUAAAUCCUAAUAAAUGAGAACUCUAACCUUACUUUUGUGUGCUUAGUUGAACUAACUACACUCUAAAUACCGAUUUAGACAUUAAAUUUACCUGACAAGAAUCUUUCACACGUGUUGAAUGAAAUAGCAAAAUCGAAUUAGAAGAAGUGAGCUGGCCAAAGGUUAAACCCACGAAGACGUCAUCGUGACAACGUGUGCAUGAAAAUCCACACACCAACCAUAUCUAUUUUUUUAAGCUACCUGAAUACACAUCUAAUUCAACUACUACUAUAUAAAGUUCUUUCAACCAAUUUUUGGUGCUAAAUAAAGAAGAUGUAGAUAUUAUGAACAAACUUAUAGGUAGCCAAAUGCUUUUUAAUGAAGGUAGCUGAAAAGCAUUAACAGAAUAUAUAUGACUAUGAGACAUUUCAAUUUUUGGUAGAUAUAUAUUUCCCAAUUACAUAAUUCAAAGUGGCAAACUUUUGUCAAACUUUAGGUUAAAAUUGCAAUUAAAAAUGAGUAAUUAAUUUUGGGCAGGUCAAUUAUAACCUAACCAAUUAUAGAUAGAUUGUGUCCUUUUUCAAUAUAUGGAGAUUGUUAAAGUGUGUUUCCUUCAAACACAAACCUCUUUUUUAUUAUAUUUGACAAUUCACGAUUCACAUUUCGACUAAUUUCACGAGAUGACUUAUCUGAUCUUACAACAUAAUAUUUGGGUGUAAAGAAAAUUUGUAGAAAUUAAUUGUUAGAUUGAUGACCACCGUUGAUUGAACUUGUGACUUCUCAGUUAUUUUUUAUGGUCAAUAUAAGGAUUCACGUUUAAAUUUUGAUGUGUUUGAGAUUGAUUUUGUAGAUAUCAUCGUUACUACAAAUUUGGCUUAUAGUUAAAAUUAAUCAUUUGUAUUCCAAAAUUUUGAAUUCUAUCAACGAUAGUCAGGAUAAAAUUUGUUAUAAGUGGUAAAUAUUCUUUAAAAUUUAUUAUUUUUAAAAAUUUAUCUAAAUUAAUUAACUUAAUAUUUAAUUUUAAAAUGUAAUUUUCAUAUAAUCAAAUCCAACCCUUAAUAAUUAAAAUAAUUUUAAAAUUUGACCAAAGUGACUUAACAAGUCAAAAAUCACUUCCAAGUUUACAAAAUAAUCUAAAGUUUUUUUUCUAAAGUAUAUGACUAAAUUUUGCAAAUUUGAAAAUGAAAAUGAGAAAAACUAAAUAUUGGGUAUAUUUUAUUUAACCCAAAAAUCAAAUGUAUGGUUUCUAUUUUUUUUUUUUGAAAAAGGAGAAUUAAAAUUAAAAAUUGAAGAGAUCUCAACCAACCCUUUUAAGUCAAAGGUCAUCAUAAUGAAGUGCCCAAAAAUUAGAUGGGUGCCAACAUUUUUGGACCUUUUUGUUCUUCUUUAUAAAAAAUAUUGAUAAGUUUUGGAAGCACUUUUCAGAGAGCCAUUCAAUUUUGGGCAUAAAAGUCCUUUUCCUCACGUAUAUUUCGAAAUUUGUUCAAUUUUAGUUUUGUACGACCAUUUUUAAAUUUAACCCAUAUUGUUUGUCUAUUGUUGACUUUUUAAAAAACUCAUGGGUUACUUAUUAUCAUUUUCACUCUAAAUAUUAAAAAGAUAUAUUCAUAUAUUUUUUAUUUUUAUUAAAAUUAAAAAAAAUUAUUUUAAACAACAAAACUAUUGAAAAUAUUUACAAAUAUACUACACUAUCACCGUUGAUUGUAAUAACUACUGUAUGUGUUUAUAUGUGUCAUGAUAGCUAUUAAACAUAAUAUUUUAAUGUAUUUGAAAACAAAUCAUCAAAGUAAUACAAUAAUUAUAAUUAUCUUAGAAUGAGCUAAAAUAGUAUUCCAAUGCAUUUUCAAAUAUAGUAAAAUUUUAAAUUCUAUCGAUAAUAGACAUUAAUAAAAGUCCAUCAAUAUGAAAUAUAUAUUUUAGGAAUAGUUUGGAUGUUAGAUUUUGUUAAAUUUUGUUUAAAGUCGUACCAUAUUUAUUGUGGCACUAAUAUUCUCACCUACAAACCAAACAUGGUUUGGAAAGAAAUAAUACUCCAAAAGAGAGAAAUGGUAGAGAUUUUGUGCAUAUAAAAUACAAACAAACACAUCCCCAUCUCUCAAACCCUCUAACCACUAAAUAUAAAUUAUAAACUUCCUCCUCACCCACUUUUCCUUUUCUUUUUCCCUCACAAACCUUCCAACAUAUUAAUUAUAUUGAUAGCCACCACUUUUUCUUUCUUUCUUUCAUUAUUCAAUAUAUUAUUAUUAUUAUCAUAAUCUCACUUCAUAUACUUCGAACAUUCAAUAUUAGUAUCUUUUUUAAUAAUCAAAUUUAGAUUAAUACUUUCAUGUCCCUUUCUUUUAUAUAUGGAAUUAAUGCACUUUUUGUUCUUAUGAACAUAGUCAAAUAUUUAAUCAUCACAUUGCAUUGAGUUUUUUUUCCCAUAAAAUUGCUCUAGUGGGCAUGAUUAGGAGACUAUAUAAUAUUUUUUUCUUCUAAACUUUAGAUAUGGUUACGAAGACCUAAUAAAUAAAUUAAAGAAAAAAUGUUUAAAGCGUGAAAUCAUUUAAAAUAUUUAUAAAUAUAUAGUAGAAUUAUGUUAUAUUUGUAACUAGUUUUUCUUUUAACUGUAUAAUAUUUAUAUCUAUAAAUGAUAUGAUUUCAAACGAUGUUUAGAAUUUGACAAUAUAUAAGACUUUGAAAUACUUAAAUAAUUCAACUCUACUAAUUUCAAUAAUUUUAUUAUUCAAAUUUGCAUAUGUAUUAAACACUUUCACAACAUGCACUCUAAAUACGAAUUUUCUAACUUCAAUCUAAUAAAUUCAGAUUGCAUAAUUCUAACUCAUCGCUCGAAAAACUUCCUUAGGAUAAAAUAAAAUUCGAAUGACGAAACAUAGUCAAAUUUUGUAUUUUUUUUUAAUCUUUUCUUAAUUUGAUGAUUAAAACAAAAUAACCAAAAGGAAAAAAAAAGAAAAGAAAAGAAAGAAAUAAUUAGAUGUACCAAAAGGGAGUGAAGGCCAUGUGGGUUUGAUCCUACACAUUAAAUGAUGGGCAUGAAUUAUGUUCCCUACUCAAUUUUACCUCUUAUUCACUAUUAGCUGUAUGUUGACUCUCAUUAUAUACAUUUAUACUUUAUAAAGAUUUCUUUUUUGUCACACUAUAUUUCAUUAGAACUAUACUAUAUAUCAUUUAUUAUGCCAACCAUUAUUCUAAUUUAACGACCAUUUAUUGUUAUUAUUAUUACUAAUCUCAACUAACUCAACAAAUUAACACCAUUCUUAUUCAUUUUCUUAUAAUAGAAGCUCAAAUCUUAUCUUUCAAUCUAUGUUGUAUGUUUAAGAAAAGAUAAAUAGUUAAAAAUAGAACAAAAAAAAAAAAAAAACGAUUUAAAUGAGUUAUGGAGAGCUGGAUGCAUUUUAUGUAUUUAAGAAUGAAUUUACUGUGUUUCUUCUUAGGGUAUGUAAAUCUAUAAAAAAAAAAAAUGGAAGAAUUACAAAGUUAGUGGAUACUAAAUUAAUUACGAUGUUAAAUCAAUGAUUCCUUUGACUAUAUUUUUUUCUUUGAGUAAGAUAAAGGAUCGAGUAUAUUGUAUAUCAAUGGAGCGCGCGAUGGUCGAUUUUUUACAAAUAUUAGGUUAAUGUGUGGUUAAAAAAUUAAUUUUUAUCGAUGUUGCAGUGAAGAUUGCUAUAAAGUCAUAUUAUUGAAUACGCUAUAACAAAUGAGUGCAUGUCAAUUAUCGUUGAGUGGAUUUAUUGACGUUGUUUGUGUUUGAUAGUAUUAAUUUUUUUUCGUUUAUUUGUUUUCUAAAAAAUCUUGUAGUUGAGUAAAACUUCUUUUUCGGAAGGUAUUUGUAUAUGUAUUAUCCAAUCUUUCCUCUUAAGUUUUAUCUCUUAGAGACGUGAAAAAAGUGAGUAAUGUAUAUCUUUCAAAGAAUAAGAAUUAAAGAGCAAAAAUAAUCAACAUAUACUUAUAGCUUUAGAAAAAUAAAAGAAUAUUAAUACGAUCUUAAAUACGUAUUAAUUUUCUCGUGAGAAGUUUAGAAACAAAAAUUAAGAUACAUCGAAAAAAACACUUCAAGUUUCUCAUAAGUUCCUUAACAUAAGAAAAUCACACAUUUCAUUUUUUUUUUCUUUAAUACAAUAACUAUGAUGUAUGAGAAUUUAAAGUAUUGACCUUAAGGAGAAAACGUACGAUCGAUCUUAAUCUCAAAAUGAAGACCGACCUAGUUUCAUACUUACAGAACCUUAGGCAAAGUAGAAAGAAUAUAUAAAAUUAAAAAGAAAUCUUACAUUUUCAUUUCUUGAACACUUAAUUUUCUCGACUAAAUCAUUUAUACGUUCUUAAAAGGAGACAACUACUUUCACGUUGUUGAUGUUUGUUAGAGAAAUUAUCAAACAAUCAUUGAGAGAUAUAUAAAUUCAAAAUGAUGAUUAAUUUAGGAGCUAAGCAACAACUACGAGAUUCAAUCAUUUUUUUCUUUCAUAGAGCACAAACACUUAGUCUAUCUAAAAUUCAACAACAUAUUUGUGGCGAUAAAAGAUUGAAUCUUCCACCUUUAGAAUGAAAUAUCAUACCAAAGACGAAAACAUAAUUCAUCAAUCAAUAUUCGAUAUAAAAUAUUAUUUAAUGAAAUUUAAAACAAAACCAUACAAAUGCAAAAAACACAAAGAGACUAUAACAAUUGAUAUAACUUAAUUCCAAGAAUGACCAUGAUAGACCAAAAAACCGAGCCAACUGACCGAAUAAAAGUCGGCUGGUGUUGAUUUAGGAAAUGACAAUAAAAAAAUUCUAAAGAGUGAAACAAAUCGACCAAUCAAAAUUGACUUUUUACUCUCUAAUAAUCAAAGUCGAUCCGAACAUUAACUUUGAUGGACCAAUCAACGAGCAUCCCUAAUUAAUUAAACACUCUAACUUUAACAAGAAGAAAGCACCAAAAAAUAGAGUGGUUAGUUACUAUUACAAAGUAGAUUGUCAAAAAAUUGGGUCACCCUUUGCUUGGUUAAAAGCCAAACCCACUUUUUACUUUUCCAAAUUUCUACUUUUUCCAAAUUUUCACUAAGCAACAAAAAGUUAGACAUUUACCCGCCCUUUCUACCAGGGGGUAUAACGGUAACUUCACAGUUUCCCAACCGUUUUAAUCAAAAGAUUUGCCAAUUGCGCACCAUCAUUCAGUCCCACGCGCGCCCAUUCUAGUGUGCUUAAUAAGGUCCCUAACGUCAUUUCACUAUUUAAUGAACUUUGUCUCCAUAUGCCUUAGGUUUUGGGACAUUUUGAAAAAUAAUCCUCAAAUGCCUUUCAUUUUUCUUAACUAAUUCAAUCGUAUAGUUUUCACAUUCUUAUCUAUUUAGUCGAGAUUGAUCAUCGAGAGUUUAAUUAAAAAAUUAUCGUGUAUUAGAUUUUUUUUGAAGAAAUUUUGCGAAGAAUGUUGAGAUGUUACACAUUUUUUCUCUCUUAAUGAUCAUUAUACAAAAAUCUUACAUCUAUUCAAAUUUUCUCGAAGUUUUGUUAUGUUUAUUAGUACGUAAUCUUUCAAAUAUAAUGUCAAUCCAUGCUUCUACAAUUAUACAAAAUCCUGAAUGGAUUUAGAUUCUUUUCAAAUAGACGAUUGUAGGAUGAUUUUUAAGUUUUGAAAAUGUUUGAUUUCGAGAAAAGUUGAAUAGGAUUUGUGAAAAAUCUUCAUUAUGACUGGGAUUCUUCAAGAAAGUUGUCGAGAAUCAUUAGUUUGGAUUCUAUCACUGUCUAUCAAUAUUACACAUUUGAGUAUCUAUCCAUCAAAGUUAAAAUUCCAAUUUUGUUUACAAAGAAGUGGUCCCCAGUAGCGUUAAUACACCCACGGGAGCGAGUAGGAAUGCAUUUCAAUACGCGCGAGAGUGGGGUGGGGUUAUAUUGAUGUCUGUUCUCUUUUUUAUCCUUCCCGCGGCCAUUAAAUGAGCCUCCUCAUAACUCACUCACACUGCUCUCUUCCUCUCUGCUGCUUUGAGGUUAGAGAGAAAAGAGUUCAACAAACAACGACUUAAAGAAAGAGUAGAAGAAGAAGCCAUUAAUGCAGAGCUCAACUACCCAUUUCUAGGGCAAUAUUUUUCCUUCACUCGCAAACACACACACACACACACAGAUAAUAAACCAUUUCUUCCUAGAUUCACCAAUGCUUCUCUCAUUCUUUGCUUGAUUCAUUUCCAUUCUCUGUUUGGAGCUUUAUUAUAGAUCUUCCUCCACCAUGUGGAACACGGCGGAUAAUGUGUUUGUUCGAACCGCCUCGUUUAGAGAAGACGGAGAAGAUGAAGAGGCCUUACGUUGGGCAGCGCUUGAGAGGUUGCCUACGUAUUCGCGUGUUCGUAGAGGUAUUUUCAAGAAUAUUGUUGGAGAUACUAAGGAGAUUGAUGUUAGUGAACUUGAGGUUCAAGAACAAAAGCUUCUUAUUGAUCGAUUGGUCAGUUCGGUUGAUGAUGAUCCCGAGAUGUUUUUUCAACGAGUGCGACGCCGUUUUGAUGCGUAAUUCUUCUAAUUUUGUUUCAUUGCUUGUUUAUGAUUUUUUGAUGUGGUUUAUUUACUGCUCUUGUGUGUGUGUGUUCGGAGAAAACAAAAUGAAAGGAUAAUGGUGAGAUUCUUUUGGAUUAUUUCUCUGCUUUGCUUUUUAUUAUUAACUAAUAAGUCAAAUGUGCUGUGAUUAUUGCUUCAUAGAGCUGUUUGAAAUUUUUGAUCGUGUCAAUUUGAGAGACGUUUAUCUUACUGUCACUAAUAAUGCUAGCUAAUUCUUGUUCCUGCUCAAUUUUGUUUUGUCAUUGGCUUGUGAAUUUGUAAUUUUCAUUAUUAAGCUACUUUCUUCUUAUUAACUUAUGCGUGAAAUGUGCUGUGAUUAUUGGUUAGAAUGUCGUUUUGUUGCAUCAUGGAGCUGUUUUUCACUAAUUACUACCGUUUUGAAGUUUGUGAUCGUGUCAAUUUGAGAGCCGUUAAUCCUAUAGUUAUUCUUACUAAAAUGCUUGCUAAUUUCUUUUCCUGCUGAAUUUUGCUUUUUGAUUGGUUUGUGAAUUUGUAACUUUCAUGAUUAAGGUACUACUGCGAUCAUACAAUUGCUUUACGUUCUUUAAUUUUUUUUUUUUUGUCGCAGAGUUGAUUUAGAGUUCCCUAAGAUUGAGGUUAGGUUUCAACAGUUGACUGUAGAAUCGUUUGUUCACAUUGGAACCAGAGCUCUGCCGACUAUUCCCAACUUCAUGUGCAAUAUGAUGGAGGUAGCGUAGUAUUUACUCUGUAUCUAUAAAAUGAUUAGUACGAAUUUUUUUUUUUUUUUUGUUAAUCAACUAUGGAAAAGUGUUUUCUUCAUUUGUUCUUCUUAUGGUUACUAGAUGUUUGUAUACAUUGUGCCAGGCACUUCUUAGGAAACUAAAAAUAUACAGCAGUCAGAGAAGCAAGUUGACAAUUUUAGACAAUGUCAAUGGAAUUAUAAGACCUUCCAGGUAAACUUUCUAGUUCUAACAAAAGUAGAAGUUGAAUCUUUGAUUAUGUUCCGAAUUUCGAAUUUUACACUAUCCUGAGCUCUUUUGUAGAUUAACUUUGUUAUUGGGUCCCCCGAGCUCUGGAAAGACAACUCUUCUUCUAGCCCUUGCUGGUCGCCUUGGAAGUGAUUUGCAGGUACUGAACAAUUGAAACUUUGCCCUUCACUGCAGAAACGUUGUUGAUAUUAACUAUCUGUUUUUAAUUCUUUGGUCAGCAAUCGGGGAGAAUAACAUAUAAUGGGCAUGGGUUCAAUGAGUUUGUUCCGCAGAGGACAGCAGCUUAUGUUAGUCAACAGGACCGACAUAUUGCAGAAAUAACUGUCAGAGAAACUCUCGAUUUUGCAGGCCGCUGUCAAGGCGUGGGGUUCAAAUAUGGUAAGCUAUGAAAAAUCUUGCAGUUUGACAGCUAAUACUUCUCUUAAUACUUAUUUGAAUGGUGAAGAUAUGCUCAUGGAACUAGCAAGAAGGGAAAAGAUUGCAGGGAUAAAACCUGAUGAAGAUCUCGAUAUAUUUAUGAAGGUAUGUGAUACUUCAUGUAUAAUUUUUCUUUAAUGUUCUUUUGUUACCAUCUGUUUUAUUGAAUUGAUAUGAAUUUGAUUGGUUGUAAUUGCUGCAAUUUUCUCUUUAGUCAUUGGCUCUAGGGGGUCAAGAGACAAGUCUUGUGGUGGAGUACAUCAUGAAGGUACAUUCAAUUUACUUUUCCCCCCUUGAUAUUUAUUGAACUGCUAAUAGAAGUUGCAACCUUGGUCCUUUUAGAUUUCACGUAUAUUUAUGGAUUAUUUGGCAACAUGUAAGAUAUGAUUAUUGAACUUCCAUUAUCCUCAAUCUCAACAAGUUGCUUUACUCUCCAUAAUCUUUAGCUUGGCGUAGAAGAUGCAAUCAACAUUUUGGUCGGUCUCACUCUCCAUAAUUUUUGGUUAUGAAGUUUUAUUUCUGGAAAAGCUGGUAACUCUGUUUAGUGUUUGACAGGAGAUUUUCAUUAAUUAGUUAUAUUAUAGAACCUUAAUAAUUCAACGUAAAAUUUUGAAAAGCGUACAGGUUUUUUAAGAAUUAUAUCAUUGUGCGUUCUUUCUAUGCAAUAUUUUGACGUCAUCCACACCUGAAGUAUUGAUAUCUGCGAAGAUUUUAGGGUUGGACGUGUGUGCUGACACAUUGGUAGGAGAUGAAAUGCUCAAAGGGAUUUCUGGAGGACAAAAAAAGCGUCUUACGACCGGUUUGUUACCAUCCAUCUCUUCUACACUAAUGGAUAUAAUAAUGAGUUUUGAUGAUUACAACUCAUUACUUCAGGCGAAUUGCUAAUUGGCUCUGCAAGAGUUCUAUUCAUGGACGAGAUAUCAACGGGGCUUGAUAGUUCAACUACCUAUCAAAUUAUCAAGUAUCUUAGGCAUUCUACCUGUGCACUUGACUCCACCACUGUAGUUUCUCUCCUGCAGCCUGCUCCUGAGACCUAUGAGUUAUUUGAUGAUGUUAUACUUCUCUGUGAAGGCCAAAUUAUAUAUCAGGGACCGAGAGACUCUGUUCUUAAUUUCUUCACAGCUAUGGGAUUUACCUGUCCCGAGAGAAAGAAUGUUGCAGACUUCUUGCAAGAAGUAAGCAAAGAGUGUAAAGAUUGAACUGAAAAUUCCCACUACUUUUUUGCUAAUGCGUUUGCUUACCAAAUAAUGGCUAUAGGUUAUAUCAAAGAAGGAUCAGGAGCAGUAUUGGUCAGUUCCUGAUCGUCCCUACCAAUUUAUCCCUGCAGCAAAGUUUGCCAAAGCUUUUCGUUUGUAUCAUGUUGGAAAGAACUUGACUGAAGAAUUGGAAGUUCCUUUUGACAGACGUUAUAACCAUCCAGCUUCCUUGUCAUCUUCUCAAUAUGGAGUAAAGAGGCUUGAACUUCUUAAGACCAGCUUUUCAUUGCUAAGGCUGUUAAUGAAACGAAACUCAUUUAUCUACGUUUUUAAGUUUAUUCAGGUAAAUAAAGCAGUUGUUCUUUAUCAAUUUUUGGUUUGAUUUUAAUGUUUUAGGUCUUCUUAGUAGACUGAAAUAAAUCCACUUGUUAAUGUUGUGUCCGUGAUAGAAACAACUUAUGCAGCCAUUAUAAAAACCAACAAUUGAAGGAUGACAUAUUUUUUCUGUAAUGUUCUCCUCAUUGUUUCUAUUAUGCAGUUACUACUGGUUGCAAUGAUUACAAUGAGUGUCUUUUUCCGGACAACAAUGAAGCAUGACACAAUUGAUGACGGAGGACUUUACCUUGGGGCACUCUAUUUUUCUACUGUUAUCAUCCUUUUUAAUGGAUUUACAGAGGUGUCCAUGCUGGUGGCCAAACUUCCUGUAAUUUACAAGCACAGGGAUUUGCACUUUUAUCCAAGCUGGAUUUAUACUCUUCCUUCUUGGAUCUUAAGUAUUCCAAUUUCACUUUUGGAAUCUGGUAUCUGGGUUGUAGUCACGUAUUAUGUGAUUGGAUAUGAUCCUGCUAUCACUAGGUAAGUGGUAAAGGUUGUGUAUUCCUUUUGAAUGUGGUGAGAUAAGGAUAAUUAUGUUGACAUGGAUGGACUUGAUUAUGGUUUCUAAAUAUGCAGAUUCUUGCGGCAACUUUUGUUAUUCUUUUCUCUGCAUCAGAUGUCUAUAGCACUCUUUCGCCUCAUGGGAUCAUUGGGACGUAACAUGAUUGUUGCCAAUACCUUUGGAUCCUUUACGAUGUUGGUUGUUAUGGCUCUUGGAGGAUAUAUCAUUUCAAGAGGUUGAUAUUGCAUGUUUUCUAUGCAACGUAUUAACAAACAUGAACUGUGCAAGUCUCACAUCUUUUCCUUCAUUGUAACAGAUCGUAUACCAAAAUGGUGGAUAUGGGGUUUUUGGUGGUCCCCAUUGAUGUACGCUCAAAAUGCUGCGUCUGUUAAUGAGUUUCUUGGGCAUUCUUGGGACAAGGUAAUAUUCUUGCUUCUACGACUAUUAAAUAAUCCAGGUGCAUCUGAUUUUAACGAUGUUGUGAACUAUUUUCUCUCUUUCUUCACUGUAUAGAGCGUUGGGAAGAAUACAAGCAUGUCACUAGGAGAAUCUUUACUGAAAGCACGCAGCCUUUUUUCAGAAAGCUAUUGGUAUUGGAUUGGUGUUGGUGCGUUGCUUGGAUAUACAGUGAUUUUCAAUUCGCUAUUCACAUUCUUCCUGGCAUACCUUAAACGUAAGCAAUCUGCUAUAAAUUGAUUAUAUUAUUUUACUUCUGCUUAUAUUUUAGCAUCGGAAGACUCUGCAAGAUGAUUUUUGAAAAAUGUAAAUUGGUUUUAAAAUUAUUUUUUCACUGAUUUGUUGCUUUCCCUUUUCUUCACAGCUUUGGGCAAAAGCCAAGCUGUAGUCUCCAAGGAAGAACUGCAAGAGAGAGAGAAAAGAAGGAAAGGAGAAACUACUGUAAUUGAGUUGAGACACUAUUUGCAGUAUUCUGGGUCAUUGAAUGGUAAGAAUCUGAUUAAGCUGUUUGAAAAACUUAGUAUAGUUUUUCUUAGCCAUUCGUCAAGUGCUGCCCUUGUCAAACUAAUUUUAUAAUUUCACCAUCUCAACUAUUUGGCAGGAAAGUACUUUAAACAGAGAGGAAUGGUACUUCCCUUCCAACAACUUUCUAUGUCUUUCAGCAAUAUUAAUUACUACGUUGACGUUCCCAUGGUGAGCUUCAAAUCCAGUUCUUUACUCAUUAUUUCGGGAACUUCUUGGUUGUAUAUCAUCUGACUUAAAAUAUUACUUCAGGAGCUAAAGCAACAAGGGGUAACAGAAGAAAGAUUACAAUUGUUGGUUAAUGUCAGUGGAUCAUUCAGACCAGGUGUGCUUACAGCUCUACUAGGAGUCAGUGGAGCUGGAAAAACCACACUCAUGGAUGUAUUGGCCGGUAGAAAAACUGGUGGGGUCAUUGAAGGAAGUAUACAUAUAUCCGGCUAUCCCAAAAGGCAGGAUACAUUUGCUAGAGUUUCUGGUUACUGUGAACAGACAGAUAUUCACUCCCCAUGUUUAACUAUUAUGGAAUCACUUCUCUUCUCCGCUUGGCUGCGAUUACCUUCAGAUGUUGACUUGGAGACACAAAGGGUAAAACUUGAUUGAUAAUUUUUUUUUAAAAAAACUAGUAUGGUGUGUAAUUAACAUAAAUUGAUAAUAGUUUUUAUUUGUGACAGGCUUUUGUUGAUGAGGUGAUGGAACUUGUUGAGCUUACCCCACUAAGUGGAGCUUUAGUUGGUCUACCGGGUGUUGAUGGUUUAUCAACAGAACAAAGGAAAAGAUUAACAAUUGCUGUUGAACUGGUAGCAAACCCAUCCAUAGUGUUCAUGGAUGAGCCUACAUCAGGGCUUGAUGCAAGGUCGGCUGCCAUUGUCAUGCGGACAGUAAGAAAUAUUGUCAAUACAGGGCGUACAAUAGUCUGCACAAUCCAUCAGCCCAGCAUAGAUAUUUUUGAAUCUUUUGACGAGGUAAUUUCCAUUUUUCUCCAGAACUUGCUUGCUUUUGAGUUAUCAAGUGCCAGAAAUUGUGUUCUCUUUAUCACUCAGAUCAAUUUUAAUUGCACGUGCAUCUUCCUGUCUCUAUUCUCCGCUACUAUCAUAUCUUAUGUACUUUACAAUACCUACAAACAAUAAUAAGGUCUACAAUAUGCACAAUUACUUCCGUUUCAUGUAUCUUCUAUUUUGUUGAAACUUGAAAAGAACGGUUUUCGUUUUCUUCCCACUUAUUUUUGUAUUACUUAAUUAUAUGUAGAAGAGUAAGGGAAUUAAGCCAUCAUGUAAUGGAAUUUCUUAUGCUUCUUCAAGCUCAAUGCUUAGAAAGUCAUUCCCUCCAUCAAUUCUUUGUAACAAAGUUACUUUUAAUGAUGGCAUUCUUGCUGCAGCUUUUAUUAAUGAAGCGUGGAGGAGAACUCAUCUAUGCUGGUCCAUUAGGACCCAAGUCUCGGGAACUAAUCAAGUAUUUUGAGGUAAUAUUAUUUAUAGACGCAUCAUUUUUAGUGACACCAAUUGCUAAAUAUUGUAUAUACACAAAUUCUCAGACAUCCCUGUAUUAUGUUAUGUAGGCAGUUGAAGGAGUUCAAAAGAUCAAAGCGGGCUAUAAUCCUGCCGCAUGGAUGCUUGAGGUUACUUCUGCAGUUGAAGAAAGUCGUCUUGGAGUGGAUUUUGCUGAAGUUUACAGGAGAUCAACACUAUUCCAGUAUGGAUUUAUUCAUUCUUUUAUUUCCAUGCAAAUACCUUUUGUUUACCAACCAGGUUCACUUCUUUUUGUUUCAGACGCAAUCUAGACUUGGUUGAAACCUUGAGCAGGCCAAUUAGUAAUUCAAAAGAACUGAGCUUUCCAACAAAGUAUUCUCAGUCAUCUUUCAAUCAAUUUUUAGCAUGCCUGUGGAAACAGAAUUUGUCUUAUUGGCGGAACCCACAGUAUACUGCUGUGAAAUUCUUUUACACUGUUAUCAUCUCAUUGAUGCUUGGAACAAUAUGUUGGAAAUUUGGUGCCAAAAGGUUUCUACUAUUACUUUUACCUGUUAUUACUUGUAUGCGUUCUACAUUCCACCUUUUUCUCACUUUUAUUUUCAUGCUAUCUUUCAACAAAAUAGUCAUUAAGUUACUGUUACUGUUACUUUUAAAAACUACAUGGUUAUCAUCAUUACUGUUUUCUCCCUUCACAGAGAAACCCAACAAGACUUAUUUAAUGCUAUGGGAUCCCUCUAUGCUGCUGUUCUUUUCAUUGGAAUCACCAAUGCUACUGCCGUUCAACCAGUUGUUUCAAUUGAGCGAUUUGUCUCAUAUCGAGAAAGAGCUGCUGGAUUGUAUUCUGCUUUACCAUUUGCAUUUGCUCAGGUAUUCCUCUUGAUGUUUUAUGUGUAUCUAUAAUGUAAUUGACUUCCAGAGAGUAGCCUAAUGCAUUACUUUUUAUGCAUAGGUCGCUAUCGAGUUCCCGUACGUGUUCGCACAGACAGUUAUUUAUUGCUCCAUUUUCUACUCCAUGGCUGCCUUUGACUGGACAAUUUUGAAGUUUAUUUGGUAUAUUUUUUUUAUGUAUUUUACCUUGCUAUACUUCACUUUCUACGGAAUGAUGACAACAGCUAUCACACCAAAUCAUAAUGUGGGUGCCAUUAUUGCGGCUCCCUUCUACAUGCUUUGGAACCUCUUCAGUGGCUUCAUGAUUCCUCACAAGGUAACACUUACCAUCUCUUACAUAUUUUUAGUUGUUAUCUUCACAAUUUUGCUUCAUAAUUCUAUAUCUCGUAAAAAUAAGCUAGUAGUGAUGGAAACUAGAUCAUUCUAGAGAUUCAACACUAUUAUUUACAACUUUUCUAAUCUCCGCUCUCUCUUACUUCCAUGGUUCCUCCCUCGAAAACAAAAAAAACAAUAUUUGGGUGCAUUUUGAUUUUCUUAUGCAUUCCCCUCUCUCCCAUGGAAUAUAAAAAAUAAAAUAAAAUAAGAUAAUUUUAAAAAAGAAUUCAAGUGAAUUUGCUACCUGGCAAAUAAUAAUUUGAUAAGAUGCGUAAAGAUAGAUGCAACUCGAAAUGCACUUAGUAUUUUUUAAAAGAAAAAGAAAAAGAAAAACAUAACAUUAUAUAUUUUUUAACUUUUAUCCUUAAGUUCUGGUUGAAGUAGAGAUAUAAUUAAAACCCUAAUUUAUUAGGUGUUAAACUUUUGAAUUAAUGGAUGAUUUAAUCAUUCUCUUUUGCCUCUCCUCACAUACAUGUGAUGUGAACAAACUGGUGGAGGCCCCUACCAUAGCAUCAUUAAUUACGUGACUGAUGUGAAAUGACAAAAGAAGCAUGUUUUUGGUUCUGCUUUAUAUUCAAUUUUGAGCUGACCAAAAGUUGUUUGGUGUACUACUUAUUUCAGAGAAUCCCAAUAUGGUGGAGAUGGUACUACUGGGCUAAUCCAGUGGCUUGGAGUUUAUAUGGACUCCAAGUAUCACAAUAUGGCGAUGACAAUAAGCUGGUAAAGCUAUCAGAUGGAAUUAACUCGGUAGCUAUACAUGACGUUCUCAAGCACGUUUUUGGGUUUAGACAUGAUUUUCUAGGUGUAGCUGCCAUCAUGGUAUUCGGUUUCUGCUUGUUCUUUGCCACGAUCUUUGCUUUCGCAAUAAAAUCCUUCAACUUCCAAAGGAGAUGAGAGGUUUGAUUUUGUUUAAAACAAAUUCUUAAAAAUUUAUAAAUUAAACAAUGUCAAAAGUUUAUAGAUUCUGUAUAGUAAUAACAGUAUGUAACUUUCAGAUCACUCAUUGUAUACUUCUAGCUGGAAUUUGUCUAUAGAAAGUAAUAAUAGGUUCUAUUUUCAUUAAACAAAAAAUAUACGUUGAUGAGUAUUAUUUGAAAGUAAUGAAUUUUGUAUCGGUAACUACUUAUGACAUCAAUUAUUAGUUCUUCCUUCUUCCUUGUUGACUUCAUUUUUUUGCAGCCUACAAAGAUAAUUUAAAGCAACUCAAAAAACUUCCCAUUUUCAAGCAGCAGCUGAGAAGAGAGAGAUGGAGAAAGAUUGUACCAUUUUAAUGUGGCUCUUCCUUCUUCCUUCCUUCUCCUCUUCAUCAAUGGCUGCCAACAGGUUUUGCCCUCGUUCUGAAUUAUAUAGUCUCAUCGCUUCUUCGUAUGGUUCCUCGUCAAGUAGUUUCUAUUUCACAAUUCACUAUUUUAAUAAAGAAGCUACAUAAAGAAAAAGAAAAAGAAAAGACCAAAAAAGAUGUUGAAAUCAAAGCGGGUUUUUAAAAAUAAUUAUCAACAUUUAUAAAAGAAUUGCCAAUAUAACAAAAUUUAUUAUCAAUAUGAUGAUUAAUCACUAAUAGACUAGGAUAAUUGAAUCUAAAUUUUGUUAUAUUUGUAUUUUUUAAAAUUAGGUUGUAAUGUACACAAUAGUAAUCUCUUUUUUUUACAUACUAAGAGUUCUUGUGGGUUGAAAUUAAGGUAGUCUUGAUCGUCGUCGUCGUCGUCGUCAAUGAUUAUGAUUGGUAUUUUCAAGUUCUGCAAUCCUUUUGAAUUCGAAGUUGAAUGCUUUAAUUGAGUCUUGAAGGGAUUAUCCUCUUCGCCUAAUAGUUUCUGUUUUAAACAAGCAAUUAAGCUUUAGGAUUAGAAGUAAAGAGGAUAGUCAAGUUAUACAAACCAACCAUUUCAAAACCUUAGACAGGUUUCAAUUACACCUCAAAUUUAAAAUUGUACAUUUAUUUAAAUUUUAGGAUUGCAUAUCAAUUUUCAUAUAGUCAAUAUAUAUCCAUUCAUAUUAACCUCUUGGUGGGAAAAUCGCAAAAAAAAAAAAAAACAUCUCUUUAAAAUAAAUUCAAAGUUCAAAAGAUUAGAAAACUUUCCAAAUGUUUCGGAACGAAAGCAUAAUUGAAACUUAUUCCAAAAUUAGGAGAAAAUAUAUAUGUGUGUGUGUAUAUAUAUAUAUGACCAAACGUAAGUAGGUUUGUACAUACAAGGAAGUGCUUUGGGAUACGUUCAUCUUCAAUAUACUUCUUUGCUUUUGCUCUUAUCAUUUCUACAGCACCAGAGGGAAACUUUGCACAAAUGAAAAAAAAAUCAAUAAAUUUAUUUGGUACAUCGUUUGUAUCAAUAGUCCUAUCAUUCUGAGUUUAGUUUGACAUUUAAGAGCAAUGCUUAGAUUCAUUGUAGACUACACUCAAUCGUUCUCGUGUAGCCACUCCAAUCACAUUGUAAAACAGACAAAAAAAUUUAUAAAAAAAGUAAACAAUUGUGGGACCGAACGAUAGUGUUACUUAAUUAAUAGAUUUAUUUUCUUGUGUGAGAGAAUAAAACUUAAUUACUAUGAAUUCAAUAUUGAAAAUAUUAAUCACUAUAGCUUAAUCUCACAUGAUUUUAAUAUUAUUUUAUCGAACAUUAUUGUAACCUACACUUUUAAAUUAAGAAAUUGAAAUUAACUGAACAAUAAUUUAAAUCAUAUUACAAAGUGAUUAAUUUUUUAAAAAACAAAAUUGGAGCCAAAUUUUAGAUUCUUUCACCCGUGUCUAUAAUUGAUAGAAUUUGAAAAUAUCUAUAUUUGAAAAUGUUCCCUAAGAGAUUUUAAACAAUAAAAAUUAAAUUUAAGCGAAAAAAAAAGUUUCAUGUCAACUAUAUAUAUAUAUUUGGAAAAUUAAAUAUUUGAGAGUAAGACAAAAAUUUUGUCAAAAAUAUAUGUAGAAUUAUAACAUUAUUGUUAUACUAAAAGCUAUAUUCUAAAACUAUACAUUAAUUAAUCUUAUUUAUUUAGCUUUAAUUCUUGUAUUAAGCAAAUCUCAAUAUAACUCCGUCAAUAAGCACUAACUAAAUUUAAGAAUAAAUCUCUCAAAUUCUUUUAUCGUUUAAUGUAUUUCUUAGUUUCUCAAAUUCUCUAUAUAAUAAUGUUCAUAUUAAACGCACGACUUGAAAAAAGUCGAAGAUUUAAAAGAUAUAAGAUUACGUCAUUAUAUGACAACAUAAAACUUCAAAUCACAAAGUUUUGAUAAAUCUAUAUUAUCAUUCUCGUGGCCAAUAAAUGGUUUUUCAUAUAAAUCAUAGGAAAGUGAAAUAAUUAAAUUUAUAAGGGAGAGAAGAGUAGUAGAGUUGUUGUUAUAUUGUCUCUGCCUUUAAUUACAAAGGAAAAGCAAAUUAACUAAAACCUUCAAACUUGGGUUUGUGAUGAUGUGAAAGUUGUGGACCCUUUGAUGUCUAUGUAUUUGAUCCAAAAGAAAAACUUUGUUCAAUGUGACUAACUAAAAGAUAUCCAACCAAUUGAAGUAUGUUUGAAUGGAUAAUUUUUUAAUCUUUCAUUUUCAGUUCUUAUGGUCAAAUUAUAUUUACUGACUAAUCAAAUUAAGUUCAAUUCAAAAUAUAAGUAACACACCAUAUUGUACUAAAAUACACACCUUUCAUAUUAGAAAUGACAGUGGAAGAAAGAAAAUAAAGAAAAAUAAGUGUUUUAUAUUUUUUUGUUGGAGAAAGUCUUUGUUAAUAAUUAAUAUUAUUAUGUAUUCUGACUUUGUUAAUAAUUAAAAGCCAAAGGAAAUUGAUAUGAAACAUUCUUGAACAUCAUCAUGAAGGAUUAUACAAAGAUAUUGUGAUUAAUAAUAAUAUUAUGAUUCUUAUUAGGUUCUCUAUUGAGUGUUUAAUUUGGCAUGAAGAAUUUGAUAUGAUUAUUAUCAAAAUCUAAGCCUUUAAGUUUUGUCAAACAAUCAUUUCUUAGGUUACUAUCCAUUUUAAAUUCGAUCUCUUUUAUACUAAAAAAAAAUUUCAAUCAAAUUAUUUCAAAAAAGUUUGUUCACGAGAAGUGUUAGUUGCAGUAAUAUUGUUUUAUUAACAUGUAAUUACCACUUAUUUCAUGUUAAUUUGAUUUUGAUGACAAUUUAAUUUUAUAACAAUAAAAUUUUUAAAUUUACCGAUAAAAAUGAGAAUUUGAAAGAUUGAGAAAGAAAAUUUCUAAAAUUAAUUACUAUUAUAUAUAACUAAUAAUUUAAUUUUCAGUAUGUAUUUCCACAAUAAUAUAAGUUUUUUUUUUGUUUGCACAUUUACAUUUAUGGCAAUGAUUUAAUUUGAGAAUUUGACUUAGAAAUAUAUUGUUGUAUGCUAAGACAAUCAUAUAUGGCCAAAAUGCAAUCCUUUUCAUCAUGUGUGGUCUUAAACAAGUAGAGAUAAUAAUUUCAAGUGUCUUUUUCAAAGAUUAUUUCAUAUUUAAUAAACUAAUAAUCAACUUUUAUUUUAAAAUUUCUAUCUAAAUUCACAUUAAAUAAAUAAACAAGAGAUAGUUAAUAUAAUAAUUGGCAUAGAUUAUAUUAAAAUAAACGAGGUUUAAUAUAACUUUUUUUUUAUCUUUCACAUUCAUCGACCCAUUCCAAUAUUUUGUAUAGAGAUGAUAUAUACGUCAUUAUGGUGUGCCUUUACCACAAAUGCUCUUAUGCUUAUGUCAAGAAGUUUGUGUGUUGAUAAAUAGAGAAAUUUGAGUAUUAUUAGAAUGAGUUUAUCUUCUUUGAAACGAUCAUGAUGACGUACGUAUUUAUAUAGAUUAGGGUUUAGCGAAGUAACUUUAUAGGAUUAACUCUUCAUCUCACGACCUAGUCAAAAUGAUUGCCCUGUUUCGUGUAUAGAUAGAGUCAGCCUCCACCUUGAUCAAGCACGAGCACCUUCCCCUAGGACCAAUUUUUGUCGGGAAUACACUAAGUCAUUCCUCAUUAUAUUAGUUUAAUUAAUUAUUUUGCUAGGUGGCCUUAGUUUUGACUAAGAUCACACAUGUUGAUUUUUAAGGUAUAUAUAUUGAUCCGAACUAACCCUCUUACUCCAUUAUCGGUCUAGGUUACUAUUUUUGACUCAAGACCUUGUUAUAUCUUUUAUAUUUUUGUUUACUUCUAUCGUCUCUCUUUUACGUAUGUCGAUUAUAUCAUUUGGUUCUCAAUCAUUUAUCACAACGACUAUUAUUAUAAGUAUAAAUUACUCAAAUAACAAUACACAUUGUCUCACUUUGUCACUUUCUCAGAAUUAAACUAUAAUUAGAAAAAGAAUAUACAUCUCCAAAAUUCUAUUUGUUUAAACACAAAUUAAUAAUGUGAAAUAAUUAGUUUAUAGGCAAAAUUAGGGUCUUAUCUUGUCCCAAUAUGGUUAGUUAUAGACAACAACAAUAAUCAAUCCCACCUGUCACAUUAAUAGAAUUAAUCAAGCUUAUGUAGGUCCCUUUUUCUCUAAACAAAAUAAUAAUAAUAAUAAUAAUAAAAGGUGUCCAUUUCUUUCUUAAAUUUAAAAUUUGACAAAAGUAAUAAUAACUAUUAAUAAUAUUAUUUUUUAUUUUAUUAAAAAAAAUAGCAAAACAGUAUCAUUUCUUCCAUAGGGCUUAAAUCAUGGCCAGAAGGGCAAACCUUUCUUUAUUAUCAUUUUAUGGAAUGGGUUCUAAUACAUGCUCUCUAUAUAUAUCAAUGGAGAAGAUCUUUCAAGAAAGAUUAGACGUAGACUAAGAGAAUCUAAAUCCAACGAUAAAAUUUAUGUAAGUUGAGCUAUCAUAAGUAAGUUGUAUAUAUAGAGAGGAUCCGUUCAAACUUUAUGAUAUAAUUAUAUUAAAUUUAUCUUCACAUAAUAUUGCAUAAGAAUAUCGUAGUCUAAAAGUUCAUAAUAUGUUCAAAUCUUUGUACUUGCUCAUUGGGUAGAUGAAUUAACUUUAGUACAAUUUAUUUUAACCAUGCAAUGUAAAGUAUUAUUGAUUAGGACUUAUAUAUCUGUGUUGGGGGAAGAAAUGGAAUUUAAUAGCAUGACAUAAAGCAUAGAAAUUAAAAGAUAAUUAGAAUAAACAAAAAAAAAAAAAAAAAUGAAGUAGAAAGAGAGAGAGAGGGGGAGAGGAAUAAGAUCAAAGGAGAAUCUCACCCAAACAAAUAAAUGAAAUAAAAAUGAGAAUACAAACAAAUACAAAGGUGGCUAUGAAAAAAGGAAGAAGUUGAAUAAUAUUAGAGUAAUUGGUAGUCCAUUUGUUGGCAUUUGCAAACAUUGUAAUAAGACAGAAAUAUAUGCCUCAUUCUUCCAUUUGGGAUCAUUUACUUCCAUCAUAUUAAUUAUAUACUAUUAUAUAUAUAUAUAUAUAUAUAUUUACAUAUGAUAUGAUAUUAUAUGAUUUAAUAUUUUACUUUAUGAUCUAUGUAUUGCUAUACAGGUAACAUACACCAUUACCAAUCUAAACUUCACAUGUUACAUUUUGAUACUAAUGAUAACAUAACAAACAAAAAGUUCAUUUUCUUUACAAUACAUGUAGAUAUAUAAGGACUAUUCUAGUGGUUGUUAUAUAGACAACUUGAACUACUUAAUAUAAGACUUGAAGAAUAAUUCUUUUUUUUUUUUUAACCCUUGUACUUAUAUAUAUAUAUAUAUGAGAAUACUUUUGUAUUUAAUUGAAAGUCAAGUGUUUAGCUUUUCAUUUAAUUGGUUCACUUACACUUAAAAAAUCAAUGUCUUGUUAGGAUGAAUAAUGACAUAUUUUUAGGAGUUGUUUUUUAAUAGUUUAAAAUCAUUUUAUCAUUUUAAAAUUACUUAAAAAAUAUUACUCAUUGUUCAAAAUCAUAAUAAUAUGAAGUUUGUAUUUAAAAUUGAACAUUGAAGUGAUUUAAUGACUUCAAAAUGUUUAUGAUUUCAUCAAAAUUAAAUAAUGAAAUAAAGUUAAAGGUUUGUUUUUCAUUAACUAUUAAAUUUAAAUUUACAAUCCUUGAUUAUUUUAAAUAUUUUGAACAUAAUGAAUUUGGGUCAAAAGUCAAAGGUGGGGGGUUAAUUUUGCGUUUACUAAUAAUCAAAGUGAGAGUUUGUAAAUUGGAUAAUUAGCCCAAGUUAAUUAUACGUAAAAACGGGUUGGUGGUCAGAUUUACGGAAUUAAACAUAUGAUGGAGCAAUGGGGACCGUCAGAUCUGGCUUGGCCCACACUGCCCUAACGUGUAUGAUAUGCAAACCCUUUAUUACACAAUUAAUAAUAGUAAUAAUAAAAUUAGAAAAAUGACGGCCGUUAUUUUUACUCCGUUUUUUCACCUCUUCUUUCUAAAUCCUAAUCUCCACCCCCAGCGCGUGUCUUCCACUUCCUUUCUUUUCUUUUCUUUUUUAAAAUGAUAUUUGAUUGUUAAUAUUUGGAUUAUGCUCUAUAGGAUUCAUACCUUCUGAUAUUUAUAAUUGUAUGGUGAGACAUUUUUGUAUUUUCUAAAUAGAUAGUAUCUUAAAUUUUGUUAUAUUUUACUCAUUUUUAUAAUAAUUUCUCAUAUAUAUAAAUGGUUAAUGUUUAUAUGUAUUGUUUUUAUUCUAGAUUAAUAUAUAAAAGAAAAUUUAAAAAAAUAGCAAAAUUCAUCUCUCUCUACCUCUCGUUCCAAAAUUUUACUAUAUUUUAUAAAUAAUUUUAUUUUUUUGUGUUAUUCAUGACAAGUUUUCUUAAUUAAUAAAAAAUUAGUGAGAAUUGUAAAAAAUGGUUUUGUUCUAAAUAGUUUGUGAAAAUUUUCUAUUUUCGAAAAAAAAAAAUCUCUAAUAUAUUGUACCUUAAGACAGCAAGGGAAAAGAAAAACAAAAGAGGAAAAGGAAGGACAAUUGACCAAAUCUUGAGUUAUCUUAAGAAUAAAAUUUUAAAAUUUAUUAAUUUUUCUUCAUUGGAAUUUCAAAAUGAAAAGAUUGAUUAUAUAUAUAUAUAUAUAGUUAAACAAUAAGAUGUUGUUUUCAUAUUAAAAAAAGAAAACUAAUGAUUUUAUCUCUACAUAUGGAAUGGAGGUUGGAGGAGCUGUUUUACAUUGUUGAAUCUAAAAUGAAAAAACAAAACUAUAUGACAACUAAUGUAAACAACAUACUUGACAAUUGGUUAUCAAUUAAUAUUUCAUGAAUAAUGAAUAAUUAUAAUAUAAAUUUAACAAAUUUUGUUAUUUACUUUUAUUUCCACCAGAAUUUUGAUUUAAAAAAACUAAUAGUAUAAAUUAUUAUACAUACUGUUUUAAAUGUUGUUGUAAUAAAAUAGAAAGUUGCAAUUCGAAGUAUACUUUUAGUUGUAUGAAAUUAUUUGUAGUUAAAAGUGAACUUAGCUCGAGAGUAAUUGAUAUAGCUCUUGAAUCUAUCAUGUGUACUAAAAAAAAUCAUGUGUAAAUAAUAAUUUUUAUAAACCUUCAACAUUAGAAAAAAUGUUACCCAAAAAAACGAGGACAAAAUUUCAACAAAUAUUAUCUAAAAUUGUUGUGAAAUUUUAAUUUUAAUAUUUAUCAACAGUUAAGGAUUAAAACAUGAAAAAUUAGAGGUUCACAUCUAUAACGAAAGUAUUUUGUUGUAACUAAGUUAAAAAUUAUUAAAAUUUUAUGAAUCAAUUUGAUCAUCAACAACGAUAAUGACAAUAAGUGGAGUUGUUUCUUCUUGGUUGAGCAACAAAGAGUGAUAUACCCUAUUGCAUUUCUUAUUGAGAAAGGUUAGAGAAUUAUACCACGGUGCCAAAUAUAGUCGAUAACUCGAACGUCUUUGUUUUUAUAGUAAUCUAAAAAUGCAUUGAAGUUGAGAGGGUUGGAGUUCCUGUAGACCUAUGGUAAGUCCGUAGUUGUGAGCUCUACAAUGAGUAAAUUGCACGAUUGGAAGAGCGCGUGGGGAUGAGGAAAAGAUGCAUACGAAAGAAAGGGUUUUGUGUUUCUUCUUCAUCUUCUUCCUUUGAUUUCACUGCAACAGUUUAUAAAAAUUAAAAGAAAAAAGGAAAGAAAGGUUUACAAAUGGUUUUCUCUGCCACUCUCAACUCUCCAUUUUCUCUUCUUCCUUUUCCUUUCUAACUUUCGUGGGCCAUUCAUCCUCUUUCUCUCUCUACAAAACCUCCCUCUUCCCCCUUUUUCUCACUUCACCCAUUUCUUUCUCUCUAUCUCUCUCUCAUGGCUUUUCACCGGCAAACCAUUUUUGGUUUUCUCAAAUACCACCAUACAAUACCACUAUCCAUCUCUUUUCUCUAAUUCCUCCGACCCCUUUGGUUUUCUCUCUCUGAAUCCACAAUGGCUACUGCAAUUUCUCUUUGCUCUGUUUUUCUUCUUCUUCUACUUGUGAUUCAGUGGGUCAACUCGGAGCCGACUCAGGAUAGACAAGCCCUUCUCGAUUUCUUCUCUAAAACUCCUCACGCCAAUCGGGUUCAAUGGAAUCUUUCUAAUUCCGUCUGUAAUUGGGUCGGCGUUGAGUGUGAUUCAAGUAAGUCCUUUGUUUACUCUCUCCGUUUGCCUGGUGUUGGCCUUGUUGGAUCGAUUCCGGCUAAUACAGUUGGGAAAUUGACUCAGCUCCGAGUUCUCAGUCUCCGUUCCAACCGUCUCUCCGGCGAGAUCCCAUCGGAUUUUUCCAAUUUGGUAAUGCUAAGGAAUUUGUAUCUUCAGGAUAAUGCUUUCUCCGGAGAGUUUCCGUCGAGCUUGAUUCGGCUGACUCGGCUGACUCGGCUGGAUUUGUCGUCGAAUGAAUUUUCCGGUCCGAUUCCGGCUUCUGUUGACAAUCUAACUCACUUGAGUGGGAUUUUCUUACAGAACAAUGGAUUCUCCGGUUCACUCCCGAAUAUCUCCGCCCUUAACUUAACAAGCUUCAAUGUCUCUAACAACAAACUCAACGGCUCGAUUCCGAAUUCCUUAGCGAAAUUCCCCGCCUCUUCCUUCGCCGGAAACUUAGAUCUCUGCGGCGGACCAUUCCCACCUUGCAGCCCAUUAACUCCUUCUCCAUCUCCAUCACAAAUCCCCCCACCAUCCAACAAAAAAUCUAAAAAACUCUCCACGGCAGCAAUUAUCGGAAUCGUAAUCGGCGCCGUUUUCGCAGCUUUUCUCCUCCUCCUCAUCCUAAUCCUCUGCAUUCGUCGCCGGUCCAACAAAACACAGACGAAAUCACCAAAGCCACCAACGGCGGUGGGAACGGCAGCGAGAUCUAUUCCAGUAGCGGAAGCUGGAACAUCGUCGUCGAAAGACGACAUUACCGGAGGGUCAGUGGAGGCGACGGAAAGGAACAAGCUGGUGUUUUUCGAAGGUGGGAUUUACAACUUUGAUUUGGAGGAUUUGUUGAGGGCUUCGGCGGAGGUAUUGGGGAAAGGAAGCGUCGGAACGUCGUAUAAGGCGGUGCUAGAAGAAGGGACGACGGUGGUGGUGAAACGGCUGAAGGAUGUGGUGGUGACGAAAAAGGAAUUUGAGAAUCAAAUGGAGAUUUUGGGGAAAAUUAAACAUGAAAAUGUGGUUCCACUAAGAGCUUUUUACUUCUCCAAAGAUGAGAAAUUGCUUGUUUAUGAUUAUAUCUCCACCGGAAGUUUGUCGGCCAGCCUUCACGGUCAGUACUCUGCUUCUCCUCUGUUUUCUUUUUCUUUUCUUUUUAUUUUCAUUUCAGUCCCUAUGAGUGCUGUUUUUUUUUUCUUUCUAUUUUGGUCCUUCUAAUUUUAAUUUUAAUAAUAUAUUAUUAGUUUUCUUUUAUUAUUUUUUAAAAAUAAAAUAUAUAAUUUUCAAAAUAUAUCCAUCCCUCCAUCCAAUCAACAAAUAUAACAUAAUCGAAAAUAAUUAGUAUAUAUAGUAAAAUUUAGAUUAAGCCUAAAGAGUUCGUACAAACUCUAUCUAUUAUAUUAGGCAUGAAUUUUGUUAUAUUUACCAUGGCUUAAAAAUGAUAACAUAGAAUUAACAAUUAAUUUUAAAAAUACUAACCAUUCCAAUUAUUCAAAUAACCAAAUUAAAAAAAAAAAUAGUAAUAAACCUAAAGUAUAGGGACUGAUAAUGUAAUCUUUUUGUUUUUUUAAUAAUAAAAACUUUUAUGUUAAUUAUUUGAUUCCAAUGCUUGCAUUGUUCCUUGAGAAAGUUAGUAACUAUUGACCACAUUGAACCUUUGGGAUGUGACCCAUAUGGGUUUUAAGUAUUUUUCUAGCAAAUAUAUAUAUAUAUAUUCAAAAUUAUUUUUACAAAAGAGAUUAGAUAGGAUUGAGAUUCAAACACUCAUUGAAAUAUAGCAUAAACAAGCCAUAUAGAAUUUGAUAGGUUUUGUUUAUUUUAUAAAUAGUUUCUAAGCCAACCUUAAAAACCAACUAUGAUAUUAUGUCCACGAUGGAGUAUUCCUAACUUCAUCCAAUAAUAAUUCACUAUAGGUAUGUUUUUAUGUUUCCUAUUUAUAUUUUAAAAAGAAAUUGUUUAUGGAAAUAGAGUAGGAACAAAAUUCAUUUAUAUUUAUUUAACCAUAUGUUCCUUGAUUUAAUUUGCAAAAAAAGGAAAAAAGGACUUUAAUUUAAAAGAAGAAGAAAAAAGGAAUAAUAGAUAGAGAGAAGAAAAAGGAAAAGAGAUGAGUGACAGCUCAUGGGGUGGCUUUUUGUUCAAGAGUUCACAUUAUGAGCAUGUAGUGAUGGACAAAAAGUAUUAACAAAAACUCUAUACUUUAUAUUAAAUUUUCCACAUUAAUUUGAUAUCUAUGAGUAGUUUUCUAUAUGCAUUUAUUUAUUUAAAAAGUGCACUUCCUUUAAUUCCACUCUGUCUACUACAGAGACAUUCUUUAGUUUUUGAGACAUUCAGCUUUCUUUCAUCUUUCAUUUAUUAUUUGAACUCUACCCUCUCUAUUUACCAUUUUAACCCUCUCUAUGAUGAGAUGACCCAAGAAAAAGAGGAGAAAAGAUGGCUUGUGAAUAAAGAAAGCUACAAAAAAGAGUCACUCACUGCAGUGUUGAUUUUUUGUAGUUUAAAGUUGGUGACAUAUGUAUGUUUAUUUAUUCAUCUAUUUUUCUUUUGAGAUUUGCUUUAAACUUAUAAUUGAAGCCUUGGGUUGAGGCUUUUAACAAAGGUUCUCACUUUGCCUCUGCCCACUUCUGAAAUAAUGAUAAAUUGCUCAAAAGUCCCCACACCUCUUUUCCUAUAUCAAAUUCUUAGGGAAAUAAAAUAUGUCAUUAAAUUUCAUUUCCACUCCUAUGAAUCCUAUGCAUACAUCGUCUUAAUGAAGAAGAAAAUGACAUUGGAAAAGUGGCUUCUAGUAAAGAUCUGGCUUUCGGUUGCUUUGACUUAAGAUGUUAACCCCAUAAUUCAAAUCUCAACUUUAUUCCUUAAUUUCAAUAUUUCCCUAAAUGAACUCUACCUUUAAACCUAUUCAUAUUUGUUAGUCCUACUUUUGAAUUAUAAGUUCAACAUUAGGAAACUCAAAAGUUUAGUUCAUUUAGAUAAUCAUUUAGGUUUUGUUUGAGAGAUAUUUUGUCAUGUAUAGAAAAUAACCUCUCCUUUUUUUUUUUUUUCUUGUUUUGAAUGGCUCUAAAUCUAAACUAAUUGUGUUUAUAUUGAUUUUCAAUGUCACAGGAAGCCGAGGCUCCGGGAGGACGCCGUUGGAUUGGGAUUCAAGAAUGAGAAUAGCACUAAGCGCCGGAAGAGGAUUAGCCCAUCUCCACCUCACCGGCAAGGUGGUUCACGGCAACAUUAAAUCCUCCAACAUUCUUCUCCGUCCAGACCACGACGCCUGCAUUUCCGAUUUCGGUCUAAACCCACUUUUCGGCACCGCCACACCGCCGAAUCGCGUCGCCGGCUACCGUGCACCGGAGGUCGUCGAAACCCGAAAGGUCACAUUCAAAUCCGACGUUUACAGCUACGGAGUUCUCCUCCUGGAACUCCUAACAGGAAAAGCCCCCAACCAACAAUCCCUCGGUGAGGACGGAAUCGACCUUCCACGGUGGGUUCAAUCCGUCGUCCGGGAAGAAUGGACGGCAGAGGUUUUCGACGCGGAGCUGAUGCGGUUCCAUAACAUCGAAGAAGAGAUGGUUCAGUUGCUGCAGAUUGCAAUGUCCUGUGUUUCGACGGUUCCCGAUCAACGACCGGCGAUGCCGGAAGUUGUACGGAUGAUCGAAGAUAUGAGUAGUCAUAGAAGUGAGACGGAUGAUGGGUUGCGUCAGUCUUCCGAUGAGCCUUCGAAAGGAUCAGACGUGAAUACGCCACCGGCGGAGUCUAGAACUCCACCGGGAGUGACGCCGUAGGAAGGGCAAAAAGGGAAAAGAGUUGUUAAUUUUCUUUUGGGAGAGAAAGAAAUAUUGUGGGGGCCCUUCUUCAAAAUUGGUGCAUAAAAAAAUGGGAUUAAAAGUGCUUUUAGGGUUUGAUUGAAGAGGGUAAAAUGGUCAAAAUCUUCCAUUUGUAUUUCUUCAAGUUUUACUAUUAUUAUUAUUUUGUUUAUUUUUAGUUAUGUAAUGAUUUUACAAAAAUGGAGGAAAAAAAAAAAGAAAUUUGUAGGAGUGAUUUGGGGGAAAGUUUCAUGUGGGAUGAACAUGGUGGUUGUAUAAAACUUGGGAAUUGACCUUGUGGUCAUUUGAGGUUUUUAUAAUUACUUUUAUUUUAAUUUCUCCUUCUUAUUAUUUUCAAUGUUUUUCUUUUUUCUUUCUUUUCAUUCAUAUAAAUCAAUAUAAACAAGAGUAUUAUUUUGAACGCACCUCACUUUUAAAUUUCACUCAUUUUCAUGCUUCUCAUUUUAAAGAAAAAUAAAAUUCACACUAUACACUAACUUAACUAUCGUAUAUUGACUUAAUGGUAAAAAUAGAAACAGUUACAAUAACUAACUAAGAGAUCUGGCAAAAAUGACAUAGUUUUCAUGUUCAUUGUUCUUAUGACACACUUUUACUUUUUAAGUUAAUUUAAAAUUUAAAAUAUUUUUUAAAAAAAAAAUCUAAUUUUUGGUGCAAAACAUUUAUAAAAGCGUGAUAAUGUAGCUGAAAAAUAAUACAUUAGACUAUUAAUUAUAAACUAUGAAAAAUAAAUAAAUGUUUGAGUAAUAUUGUUAGUGGGUGUGUGAUAUUUAUAAGGGAUUGAGAAUCUAAAGUAAUUGGGUAGCUGCUAAAGUGGCAAAAGUGAUAGUGAUCAACUCAAAUUCAUUAUUUAUGCUAAAGUUUAAUUAAUGAAAAUAUUGUUUUAUAUGAUAUGAUAAUUAACAACAUGCAUGGAUUGUUUGAAUAAUCUAAUUAGUAAUGAUAAAAAAAAAAAAAAAAAAGCAUAUAGGUUUGUUUGAAUCUUUCUUAAUAUUAAAAAGUAGUUGAGAAAAAAGCACUUAAUUAAAUUAUCCUUAUUUUUGGUGAUGUUAUCUUUCUGAAAAUACAUACAUCUUACAAUAUUUUAAAUGUGUUGGUAAAGACAAAUGUUUAACUUUCAAACUUUUGGUUUAACUGAGGUCAAUUUUUUUUCUUUAGGGCACUCAAGUUUUAACUUUGAGCAUUAUAAUACAAGUCAUUUUCUUUUAUUCAUUGAUAUUAAUUCCUUGUUCACUAGUUCUAACGUGUCAAAAACUAUAACAAAACUAAAAAUACCAAGUUCAAGAAAAUAUAUCGAUAUAACCUAAAUAAUUUAUAGUACAAAAUGCACAAUACAUAUACUAGAAAUUGAGUAACUUGCACUCUAUGAUUCUAUCUCUAUAAAUUUAAAUUCAUAAUAGACAUGGUCGUACUUAAUAUCAGCGAACAAUGCUUAACUUACCCAAAAUACCCUUUUUCCACCUUUUACUUUUUUUUUUUUUUCUCGUAGGUAAGAGAGAAGCAAUACUUUCAUGUUUCUUACAUGCAAGAGGUAGCAAUGAGACCAAAUAGCAAAUGAGGACAUUAUUUGUACCCUAAAAUUUGACUUUGGAAAAGAUAAAAUGUACUUUUACUUUCUUCUAUCAAGUGGCACAUGGGCAUGUAACCCUAGCAACCUUCUUAUAUACCCUUAUUUUCUUCUCUUCUAUAUAUUCAUGUUCAAUCAAAUUUAAACAAUAAGUUAUUUACAUAUAUAUGUCCACUUUAAUAUUCUUUAUAUUUAUUUAUUGAUAUAUUUUAAAAUCGACAAGAAAAAUAUACCAAAGAAAUAAAAAAAAAACAUAAACAAAUAGAAAAUCAACACAUAAUUAAAUUUACAUAGUUCACUAAACAUGUGUAGUUACGUUCAUUGAGAGAAACGAGAGAAAUGAGAGUAAAAAAUAUCAUAUUAUAUAUUAUUUAAGAAUAAAAUUGUUAAUAGCAUAAAUAUGAAGACCACUAGAUUUUAAUCAUUUGGACCCGAAAUAACAUAACCGAGAUAUUCUAGGAUUUUUUAACCUAUACUUUGAAAUUUAGAAUGAUAAUUCUCAAAAGCAAUUGUUGUGACUAUUUAAUAUGUCGUUUAUCAAAAAGAACAAAUAUCAAACAUUAUCCCUAGCUAGUAUAUGCAUCCUAAAUAAACGUACAAAUAAUUGGAUAGAAAAAUAUUAGAUCACAUCAAUUAUUCAUAUAAAACAUUAGAAAAAUACUGACAUAAUAAAACAAGAGGUAACCAAUAGAAGAUUACAUAUCUACAUUUUCAUUAAAAUGAUAUAAAAAUAACUCAACAGAGAUAUAAUGCGUAAGAAAAUAUAAAGUACGAGACUCUUGAAUCAGAAUCUAGAUGACUAUUAUUGAUAUUCAAAGAGUAUAAAGUUAGAGUGAUUAAGACUCCCUAGACUUACACUAAAUAUAUCGAUGUCUAUUAAAUUGAUUUUUUUCAUAAAAACGCUAAAAAGUAACCGUUACCAAAAACUAACUUAGGGUUUUGCUUACAAUUCAACACUAUUUGUUUUUAGAGAAAAUGAAAAAUAAUUAUCCAUUAUUUGGAGAAACUUGAAGGUGAGUGAAAAGCAAAAGUGGAAUGACAGAUCGCCACGUGGUGCGAAAAUCAUUUCCAUGAUUGGAGGCAGUGGACCGGUCGACAGCCUGGGUCUAGUUGGCUCACUUUUUCUCACCCCAAAGUGGUUGUGUGUGUCAGCCUUUGGCUCCCCCCACCGUGGACCACCCCAUGCAUCUCUCCUCGUCUCUCCCGCUGCCCUCCAACCCAUUAGAUUCACUCCUAAACUCCAUAUGUCCAAACCUUAUAGACACUAUACAUACUAUGUCUAAUCAAACAAUUCAUGCAUAAAGCUUAAAUUCAUCUAUUUGUUUUGUUAUUCAAUUUAUUUCAACAUAUAAGACUUAAAUUACUUUAAUUGUUUGUUGGAAUACAAUAUCUUCUUUAAGAAAAAAACACUGAUUUCUACUUGACUUUUAACUUUUACUUUACGUACCUAUGACAUAACAUGCUUUGUAGUUAGAAUAACUAAUUCACUAAUUCAUAAAAGUUUUUUUCAAAAUUUAUUUAAUAAAUUUGGUUAUGAUCCAAAAACUUACUUAAUAGUAAUUACAAGAUUAAUACAAAGAAAAAACAGCUAUUGUUCUAAUAUUUCUUAGAUUCUAAUUUGGCAGUUGAUUCUUAAAAAUAUGACUAAAAUGGAAGAAAAAUUGAAAAAUAUAAGCAUUUAAAACGGUGGUUUUCUAAAAAAAAGAAAAAUAAAAAAGUAUUUUCCUCAUGGGAAGGCGACCUGACGAGCGGUACAUCGUGGCCGUUGAUUCUUGCUUUUGCACGCGCGCUUUUGGUCGGAUCCCACCAUUCACCUUUUUCUUUUCGUUCUAUUAUUAAAUUUUCUUUUAAAACAUUAUUUUCUCUAUUUUUUUUUAUAUAUAUAUUCACCUAAAAUAAUUUAAUAUAUUUUAAAUUGUUUUCUUUCUUCGAAUCACAAACUUCUCGAUUGAUCGAAUCUACGUUAUUCAUAUGAUGUCUUCUAGAGUUGUCAACAAAUGAAAUUUACGAAAUGUGAUUAUGUUUUUUACUUGUUUUAAUUUUUAUUUGAAUAUCAAAUAGUAUCGGUAUCAUUUACAAAUUUUUAAUAUUUCUUUUUUAUAUAUUUAUUCAAACUCUUACUUUUUUUUUGUUAAGAAUGUGAUGAAAUAAAAAGAUAAUAAUAAAAUUAGAUCCACUUAUUUUUAAAUUGAUUUAAAAAGAAAUCUCAAAAUGAUUAGUUUGAUUGUGACUAUGAAAAUGAUAACAAUCUAAAUUGGACGAAAACAAAUUGAUUAUAUUGGCCUAACUUAGUGGUCCAAUUGAUAUUUAAAAUAUGGCCGUCACAAAAUUAAUUUAUGUACACCUAACUUUGAUUUUUUUAAAAAAAGUUAUGCUUAUAAACAACUUACUUUUAUUUGUACUCUUUAUAGUUCAUAUUAUUUUUUCUUACGAUAAAAUGUCAUUUUUGAAUAUCUAAUUCUUUAGUCAAUAUUUUAUAUAUAAAAUAAAAAAUUUUAAGUACACUAAGUCGAAAAUAAUCACUUUCUUUUUUAAAUAAUAUUCUAAUCAUCUUAAAUUGUUAGGAGCUAGAUGUAACUAGAAGAAUUACUAAACAACUUUAUUCUCAAAAUAUAUAUUUCCUUAACUAUUAAAAAUGAGUAUAGUUCGAACGUUCACGGAUAUCUAAAAAAAAUUAAAGACUAAAGUAACCUAAAGAAUGGUAGAUUGAAUCAAAUCAACUUCAAUUAUUCUACGACGAUGUUCCAUUUUUUAAGCAACCCAUAUCCGACAAUAGUACUAUAUAUAUAUAUAUAUAGUUUGUAGCCAAAAUAGUUUAUAGAUCUAGGGGACCUUAUUGUAAAAGUUCUUUUUUUUCCAUAUUCAUUAAUUAAUAAAUUCCUUUCUAAAGUAUCUGCCCUUUCCCUAUCACAAAAAUUCAUACCCUAAAUUUAGACAACUCAAUUAUUUUGUACUAACACUUCUUUUAUAGAACCAACCGUUAAAAUCACUUUUAGAACUCUCUCCAUGUUUACAUAUUCUUCUAUCAAUUUCUUCUAUUAAUUUCUUUUGGUUUUAGCUAGUUAACACAGUAAAUAUUAUCAACAUGAGUAUAAUGCAAAUGACGUAAAAUUAAUUAUACUAUCAAUCUUAAAGUUAGAGGUUUGAUUCUCUCAUCUCAUAUAUUAAUUCAAUCUAUUUGAUUCGUUCACUAAUACAAAAAAAAAUACAUUAUUGGUUCUAUUUCUUAAUGUAUUGAAAUCUGGGCUUGAUAAAAAAGUUAUCUUUUUUUAACCUAAGAAUAUUUCACUUUUAAGAACACCAUACCCAAAAUUUAAAUACUAAAAAAAUCAAUUUUUUUUACCGUAAACUUUCAAAAAUUGCCGGAUUAACCCCGUAAGCUUUUAAGCUUUCAAUUUACAAAUAUAUAAGACAGUACACAAAAUUAAAAGUCUAAUAUAUUCUAUUACACAUAAUUCAAAUCUAAUGUAUAACAAAUUGGUCUACUUAAAAAAAAUCCUACUAAUUAAAUACAAAUUUGAAUGUUUUAGGAAUCACACAUAAAAAUUUGACGAAUCUACCCAAACUAAAAAUAAUAUAGGGUUAAAUUAAGAAGUGGAAAAUAAUAUAGGAUUUAGUCUUUUAAACCAUAAACUAAAAAUAAUGAUCAAACAAAUCAAUGGAGCCUAAAUGAAUUUGAAAAGCUUUUUCAUGAGCUACUCAAUCAAUUACCUUAUUCUUUGAUAUCUAUAAUUUCAGCAUGAAUUAUUAAAGCCCUAAUAAUCAUAUCCUAAAGGAAUUCCAUUUUUCUUAGCCAAUCAGUGGAAUAGAAGCCAUGUGGAAAAAGUGUAAGUUUCUUUCCUUGGAAGUAAAAAUUUCAAUUAUUAGAAACUUUAGUCCUUCUCAACUUACCAAAUUACCACCAAUAAUCCAUGUGGGUUUAUUGGUUAAUUAGAUUAUUAAUUUUGGUUGAACCAAACAAUGGUCUUAGGAAAAGCCUACAUUACAAGUUACUUAAUGUUUGGUGGUUAGGAAUUAAUAACCUUGGAAACAUACAAAUCAAAAUUCACAUUUCAAUCGAAAAAGUGGGCUCGCCUGAUCGCCCCAAAAUAAUUUCGGCCCAGGCCCAUAUGUCUUUAUCUCUUUCAUAUGGCCCACCCCAUUUGUGGGCUUUUGAGCAACAGCCUAUAUAAACAUAGGCGAAUUUACCAACUAGCCCAUCAACUAUCAAUGCAAUUUCUAUAUUGAAGUAAAAUAAAACAAGUUUAGUCUUGAAAUUCUAACUUUUUCUUUUCUUUUAUAUGUGGUGCACUAACUUAAAAAGAACUUAGGUGAUUUGUCACGCAACCGCGAAUAUCAAAUGAAAAGUACAGACAACGAUUGUAGCAAGAAAAUAACAAGUAAAUAGAAAAAGAGAUACACAAGUUCGUAACCUAUAGUUCAACUAUAUACAUUUACAUAUGGAGGACAGUGUACCCAUAAAUUAUAAUAAUACACUAAUAUAAAAGAGUUAGAUAUAGUCUACAACGUAGUACUUUAUACUCAACUAUUACAAUGACUCACAUAGCUAAAGUUCAACUCAUUUAUGACAUGGGCUCUUUUUAAUUUAAAUGUGAGACUCCCUCUCAAAUGUUUCUUGCUCUCCCAAAGUGAAUGUGAGAUCCACAUACCUUCCAUCUGCAUAGGUUCCCCUUAAGACUAAGAAUCCCCUCUCGACAACAAUGAUUUAAAAAUUAAACUCCCCUAAACUGUGAUAAUUUUUACCGUAUUGUAUUCAAUGGAUGAAGAAUAACUUGCACAACGAAAUAUAACGAGGAAAGAGCUAUAAGAACAUAAUGAUGAAACAGGAGUACAAUAAACAAAAGUUUUUAUGAUGACCUUGAUAGGUUCUUACAAUUUUAACACUUUGUUUUUUUUUAAAAAUAUAACAAAUCAACUAGACACACAUACAAAUAAAGUUUAUAUCUAAUAAGAUACCUAAACUUUUAAUGUUACAUCCAACAGAUUCAUAAAUCUUAGAAAACGUGAAAUCAGUUUAGAGAAUUCAUUAAUCGACCCUUGAAAGUUUAAUUGUCUAUCAAACACAAAUAUGAAAAAUCUAGAUAUCUAUUAAUCUAUUUGUCUUUUUUACAGAUCUAAAAACUUGUUCGAUAGAAACUUAAAGUUCGUGGAUAUGAUCACACCCUAAAUAUUGUAUAUAAGAAGAAAAAAAAAACGUUACCUAGGGUCGCAAUAUCACAUAUUAUAUAGUACAAAACUUGAUCAUCAUCUUGAAUGAAGAUAAUGUGAAGUGAUUAUAUGAUUUGACAAAAUAAACAGAUAUAUACCCACAUCUUCACCAGAGAGAACAAAGAAAAAAAAAGAAUUAAUAUUGUGUAAAUUAUUGCAUAAAGUUUGACGUGAGAAAUUGACACAUUUUAAGAUGGUUAAUUUCACAUUUGAAUUGAUUCUACAAAGCAAUUAAUAAGGUCAUGACCAAAGUUGUAGGAAUCUAAUUUUAGUGUUUUGGUUAAAGAGAGAAGAAAAAAGGAAAACAAAAAUAAAGAAAAAAUUCCUCUCUUCAUUUUAACACUUUGAAAAAUGUACUUUUUUUUAAAAAAAAUUAUUUGUUUGUUUAUUAUUAUUGUUAUUAUUAUUUCGGAUAUCUUUUUUUUUGGUUGCAAUUAAGAUGAGUUAGAGGCCGACCAAAGUGAUUCUAAUUCCAAUUCUCCACUUUCCACCCUUAGCUAAUUGUUCUUUAAUUUUGAUGCCCAUUUUUUUUCACAAACAUCUUUUGGUCAACUUUCUUAAGGUAAUAGGGGAACCUAUUCAAUGGUUGCUAAAACCACCCAAUUUCUUUUCUUUUCUUUUAUUUACUACUAUUCGUCAAUUUGUAGUAAAUAUUAUCGAAAAACAAACAUGACUAUAGUGUAACAUAAAUAUAACAUUUUGAUAUGUGUCGUCAAUUCUAAAAUUAAUAUAGAUCAACUAACAUUUGUACAUGUUAGUAUCAAUAGUUCAAAUCUCAUGACCUCUUAUUGUACUAGAAAAAGAUAUUACACCAAUUUUUCACAUUACAGUAAACUUGUAUUGUGAUAUAUAUAUAUAUAUAUAUAUAUGUGACAUUAUAAUAAACUCUCGAAACUAAUUGAAUAUUUGGUAGAAAAUUAAUAAGAACACAUCGGUACAAAACUUAUUCCAUUUGCCCAAUUGCGGCUUUUAAGCUAAGCUUUAGUUGGAAAGUUGAAAACCAUAGAGAGAUUCUGCUAAAACACCAAUCACAUUGUAUGUAUUAUAAUUUAAGAUAAAGUAUGGGGGAAAAAAAUACUUUAUACAUAUUAUAAAUAUGAAUAAAUAUAUAUAUAAAAAAAAAGGAAAACAGAAAAAUAUUCUUAAUUAGUGGUAGAUACUUAUCAUUAAAGUUUUAAAAAAAAGAUAUACGAAGGAUGAGAAAAAAGUGAGAUUCUAUUAUUCUGAACCUAAUUUUUCUUUUUUAACAUCAAAAUUAUACCUUUAUUAUUGGAAUUUGAUUAGUUAUGAACACAUAACAAAUAAAAAUAAGAAUUUCAAACCCAUAUUCAAUGGAUUAGUCCAAAGAAAAAUAUAUUUUGUAUUUGUUAGAAAUAUUCUUUAAGCUUUCACAAAAGCCAGCGAUGGCUACACUUGUGGGCUAUAUAGUUGAUGUUAUAAACCAAAUUGUGCUAUGCAGAAAAAAGAAAAUAUAUUCUCUAAAUCCUUUGUUUGUGAUUCUUAAUUUAUUUCUUCUGCGAAUCUUACGAUAUCGAGUUUUCUUUAUAUUGUCGUAUAUGAUGUUAUCUAUUCUUUUGAACCAAAGAUAAUUUGUAUGAAUAAUUUAAUUUAAAAAUUUUCAAAAUAUAAAGGGACAAAAGUGGUAUUUUUAAUUUAAUUACCGUAAAGGAUUAAGAGUAAAGGUGUGCAAUAAUGGUAGAAUAGAAGGGUUUGUUUGGAUAAUAAAGAAAGUUAAUUGGAAGAAUAUUUAAAACAUAUGGGGGCUGAGUGGAAGAAUAUUCUUUUAUUAUUACUUCAAAAUAUGUUAUAUAUAAUUCAUAUGCAGACAGAAAGGAUAUUCAGAAGGAAGGAUUUAGGGAGAAUAAUUGCACACGUGUCAUGACGAGGAAGAGUGUUUCUCUUUAUUUCAUCUCUCCCACAAACCCUAAUUAAAGAAACCCUAAAAAUAUGAGAGAGAAAAGUUGAGAGUUGGAAGCUUAUAGCAGAAGAGUUGGUUGAGAAAGUUGAACCAAAAUCAUCAUUUCAUUUUGGUGUUUUCUUUUUUCAGUACUCCAAAGGAAUUUGAUGCAUUCUCUCUCUCUCUCUCUCUAAGCAACCUUUUCCAUUUGCCACACACAAAAUCUUACUUUCUUACUUUUUCCAGAACAAUUCCAACAUAUCCAUAUGCAUUUUUAUGACCAUUUUGAUGGCAAAAUCCAGAUAGUUAGGGGAAAACAUAUAUACUUUGUGAAUUUUUAUGCACGUGCAAACGUUAGUGAAUUUGUAUUUUGAAGAGAAGAGAUAUGAAUAGUGCUAAAAAGUAUCGUUAUGAUCUCGUCUCGUUUAACUUAGGAUCGUUCUAGUAUUUUACGUUUGUAGGCAUUGAGCAUAAUCAAGGUGAAAUUAGCCCCUUGCAUUAAUCUCUCUCAACAAUUUGAGUAUUAUAUGAUGAUUUAAAGGUACAAUCGGAGUAAGAAGUUUAAGUGGACAAAAAUUAGGUCUAGCUUUGUAGUGCUUCAAUUUUUUAGGAAGGCUUGAAGUGUACGUCGUUGGGCAACUCCCUAUAUAUUAUACACAAUUUGUGUAUACAUACACACACACACACACACAGUUAAUAUGAGCAAAUAGGCAAUUCAAUAAUUCAUUUUUUAACUAUGGAAUUGGUACACAAUUUGUAAGGCAAAAGAGGGAAUCUAAUUAUAAUAUAUGUCAUCCCAUAUUGGGGUUUUGGCUAACAAACAUAGAAAAGGAUAGGUUGUGCUCUUCCCAAAUCUUCUUUUAAACUAAGAACUUUAGAAAGAGAGAUUUUUUUUUUAAAAAAAAAAAAAAGGAAAGGAAAAGAAGUAAUUAACAAUAGUAUACUUCAAAGUUCAAUUGAAAAAUGGAAAUGCAUCUCCACUUGCUUUUCUACCUCUUCAUUACAAUCUUUUAGGAUACAAGAUUUGUAAAAAAAAAAAAAAACCCUAAUUCAUUUGGAACUCAUCAAUGAAGGUUCUUGAAGCAUAAUUGCCUCUUUUAUCAACAGAAAGAUAAAUUUUUACUUAAAUUUCUUUUAUACUAUAUUUUGGUCUACUCUCAGCUGUUUGUAUUCUUUGUUUUAAUAAAUAAGUGAAUCCUAAUAUAAAAUUUAGGAUACAUUCUUAAAAUUAGAAUAAAAUUCCUACCCAACAACUUUCUAAACCUUUAAUUUUGUGGCUAUGAUAAGUUCCUUAAAUAUUUUUAAAAUCUUAAUAGAUUAUGAAAUCACUAAAUAAAGAAUAUGAAAAAAAAUUGUAAAAGGAGGAGAGAAUCGAUGAUCAAAAUUGCAUAUAGUUUACUAACGACGUGUUAACUACAUAAUUCACGACAUAUAGAAGAAGAACAAUCUUAUUAGUGAGAAUGUUAAUUACAACAUACAUAAUGAAUUGUUGGCUUUGCAAUGCCUCUAAACUCUUAAUAUUAUAUUCAUAAAUAAUUUAUAAUAUGUUAAAUAUGAAUUCUAAAUAGGUUUUGGGAGCGUUUGAAUGAAGCAACCGCCAAAUAACAUGUACAAAACAUUCCAAAACAUUCCAACACUUUUGAAAAUCAAUUAAUUAACCUAUUUUAUACUUUUGAAAGUUAAAAAGAAGACCAAAACAUAUAUUGUAUCAUAUCUCAAAUUUCAAAUCUAAAUUUUUCAUCCAACAAAAAGAAACAAAGCAUAUAUUAAAAACAAAGGUAUGAGGUGAGUGAGAAUCUUGUUACCUUCUUACUCCCACUUUCCUAAAAAGAAAGUAGUAGCAAACUUGAAAAGAUUCCCCAUCUCUUAGGGUUCCUAUUUCUCAAAGUCUUUUUUUUAGUUGAGUUGUGUUUUCCCCUUCAUUUAGAGUCGUAGAAUUGGAAUUAAUUAAGAUAUUCCUUUCUUAGAGACAAUAUUUUUUUAUUAUAUUUUUAUUUCAAGUGAAUUUUUAGGUAAAAGAUGAGAGAUAUUCUCUUUCUCAACUUAAGUAUCUCAUAAGUUAAAGAUCGACGGACAUAAUUAAUCUAUAAGAAUAAAGAUAAUAAUAUAUUUUGUGUGGUUUGGUUUGAGCUAGAUUAUUGUAAAACCUAGUUACGACAUCUCUGUGUAUUCUCUGAUUCCUCUCUUCCAUUUAAGGAAAAAAAAUUAUCGUAGCUUCUCAAAUAAUUAUUAACAUGACUGUGAAUCAUUCAUGAAAUGAACUGAACUAAAAUAGUGUUAAAUAUAUUUCAAUUAGUUAUACAUAAAUGAUAAAUUAAUACUAAAUUGACAUAAUUUAUUAUAAAACAAAUAUUUAAGAAUAUUUAAAGUAUAUAUAUAUAUUUUGUAAACUACGUAUUUUACCCAAACAGUGUUUAGAAAGUAAAAUUCUCUUUCCUUAUUACUUUUUACGUUUGAAAAUACAAUCCCAAAUGGGAUAUCAUAUAAUCUCUAAAAGCUAUUAAAGCUCUCACACACUAACUUAAGUUUGAAGUUAAAUGAUAUAUAAUAUACAAAUAUAGAAAAAUUACAUCGAACAAUAAUAUUCUAAACCUUUGUACAUUAAUAUAUAAUAUACACAAAGUUUUAUAUGAGUUGUGGAUGCAGCCUUUUAAAAACCAAAAGAAAGUUGCAUGCAUGGGUUGGGAUCAUAGAUAUACACACAUAUAUAUGGAGUGAAGGCUGGUGUCUAUAUCUAUAUAUAUAUAUAAAUAAAGUCUAAUUUGGGGUUGUAGCUGUCUUUCUCUCUUCAAUUCAUUAGAAACAAAUAGGAUAAGUUUGUAGAUAUGCAUUAGAAAAAUGCCAACUUGAAACUUUGGGUGAAAAAGUGAAGAAAUAAAAUAAAAAAGAAGAGAAGAGAGAGAGAGAAUAUUGAAUAAAUAUAUACAUAAUUUUAUCAUAUAUACCUUUGGUUAAAAAUCAAAAAGGUAAGACAGAAGAAUUGAAACUAAGCUAAGGGCUCUUAAAGUGUGUUAAAGAAUGGCAAAAAAGAAAAGGAGAGAAGAGAGAAGAAAAAAAAAGGCACAAAUUGUAAGAAAGAAGAAGAAUCAUACUUUUUCUUUUACAAUGGUGCAACAUGAGGACUUGUAAAUGAAUCACUCAAUUCAACUACUGCUUUUGUCCGAACACGCUCAACUGUAGCGUUUUAAGGAAAAUUUAGUUCAUUAGUACUGGUAUAUGUGCUAAUUAGGGUGCAACACUUGUAUAGAAACUUUUCGAAUGGUCAGUCAAUUUAGUACUGCUACUCUAGUCCAAACACGUUUAGUUGCAAAGUUUUGAUGGAUCUGAUGCGUUAAUGUUGGUAUAAUUAUCGCAUCGGAGAGAAGAAUCAUAUACUUUACAUUAGUGAUUUUGAAUUCUCAUCUCUCACAAACAAAGAGAAAAAGAGAGAGAGAGAUAUCUCAAAGGUUCCAAAACCAUACCCUAAGCACAUGAUCCCUCUAAUGUCAGACUCUCUUGAUUCCUUCUAUCAAAUUAAAAGCAUUUAAGUUUUUUUUUCUUCUUCUCUUUUAGCUUUCUUCUUUAGUUAUUUGCCUUUGUUCUUUGCAAGAAGUUACUCUUCUUCUUUAUCCCCUUUGCUUUUCUCCCUCCCUCUUUAUUCCCCUCUUGAUCCCUUUGUUAUAUGUUCAUAAAAACAAUAUAUUUCUUUCACUUCUCUUUUGCUCUCAAACUUGAAGAAACCCCUCUUUACAAAAACAACAAAAACCCUAAUCUCUAGCUCUCUUUUGGUUUCAUUUUCACAUGAAAUUUUGAGUUAUACUAUAAGGAAAAAUAUGCCAUCUCCUCCUGAAUUGAGCCUUGAUUGUAAGCCUCAUAGCUAUUCUAUGUUGUUGAAAUCUUUUGUUUCAGAUCAUCAUCAAGUGGCAAUUACUAAUAAUAAUAAUCAUACUCAUCAAGAUCAUCAACAACAACAUCAUUCUUCAUCACAAAAUCAACAACUUGAAGAUUUGCUCUCUUGUCUUGAAGCUGAAAGACUCAAAAUUGAUGCUUUCAAACGUGAACUUCCUCUUUGCAUGCAACUUUUAACCAACGGUAAGCUUUUGAACAUCUUAAUUUUGUUGAUUAGGGUUUUUUUAGUCAAAUAUUAUAUUUGUUUUCUCGUUUUAUCUUGUGUUCUUUUGUCAAUUUCUAGCUUCUCAUCUCUCGAUCAUAAUAGAAUUUGAAGCUUUUUUUUUUUAUAUAGUGAUAGAACGAACGAACAAUUUAAAUACGAGUUUAGGAACAAUUGAAUUUCAUACUAAUAGUAUAAUCUAACCACUUUAAUUUUUAAACUAAAAAUAAAAAUUAAUUUUUUUUUAUCUUUUCUAGAUUUUCUUUUAAUUUUGUAUAAUAUUUAAGAUGGAAUUUAGGAUACGAUUAAUUUUCUUCUUUUCCCCUUUUGUUUUUGUUUUGUUUGUUUGCUUUUCUUUCUAAUACUAUUUUUGACAAUAUGUGGAAUAAUGAAGAUUAAACUUUUAAUAUCGAGAUUGAUAGUAUAUAUUUGAUAUAAUUAAGUUGAAUUAUACUCGGUCGUUUUAGCCUCUCGAUUAUCUUCCAUCUUUCUUUCUUUGCUUUGCUCUUUAUUAUUCACUAUUAAACAACAAAUACAAUAAUUUUGAUGUUGAAAUUGAUUUGGGUAUAGCAAAAUUUGAUUGAUUUUUCUCCCUGUUUGGCAAUUCUAUAGCUUUGGAGACAUCAAGACAACAACUACAAGGGUGCAGAUCAGUAAACAGCAAUAACAACAAUGAUGAAAAUGAUCAUCAAAAUAGUCAAAAACCAAUCCUUGAAGAGUUCAUUCCACUCAAACAAACAACCUCAGAAAGCUCAGAUCAAACCUUAUCAAAUAACAUUUCUGAUAAGGCAAAUUGGAUGACAUCAGCUCAACUUUGGAGCCAAACAAAUAGUAAUUCAACAAAUAUCAUUGAUGAAACAAAACCAAUUAAUCUUUCCUCUUCCAAACAACAACAACAACAACCCAUUGUUGAUCAUCAUCAUCAUCAUCAUCAUCACCAUCAAAUUGGAUUAAUCCCAAAGCUUCAAAGAAACAACAACAGCAAUCAAAACAACGGUGGAGCUUUUCUUCCAUUUUCAAAAGAUAGAAUUUUGCAUAAUUCUACUUCUUCUAAUUCUUCUCAUCUUCCCGAUUUGGCCCUCGCCGCCACGACCGCUGCCGAUUUUGGUGACAAUGAUGGGAAUAAGUGUGGGAAUUCAGAUCACCACCUGCCAGAAAAGGGUAAUUUGGUCACCGGAAAAGUGAAUUUGGGUGGUGAGGGACAAAUUAUUACAAAUAGUAAUACUACCAAUAAUAAUAAUUCGACUGUGGUGGUUAAUAAUAAUAAUAACACAACCAACUCUACAAAUCAGACUCACCGGAAAGCUAGACGGUGCUGGUCCCCGGAUUUGCACCGGCGGUUUGUCAAUGCUCUUCAAAUGCUUGGUGGUUCACAAGGUGAGUAAAUUUUUUUUUAAAGAAUUGCACUUUAAUUUGGGUUGUUUUUAGGGAGAUUCCUAUUUGAGCUUUAUUUUUUUUGUUUGAAUUUUCAUGUGAGAUCUCUUCUUUUUAGAUUUGAGAUUUUUUAUUUUAAUUUUGACCAAAAGAUAAAGAAAUUCAAAGGUGGAUGGUAUUGUUAUCAAAGCUAGCUAAGUUUAGCCAUUGUGGAUGUCGAUAUUUUAAUUUUAAAGAUAUAUCGAUAUGGAUAGAUAUAAACGUUUGUAUCUUCGUAAUUGUUGUACAAAUUUUGUAUUUUUCCUUGUAAAUUAGUGAGAUUAAUUUUGAUUGAUUGUGGAAGAGAGUGGAAAGGUUGUUUAGGGUUUAGGGUUUGAAUUUUGGUUGGGUAUGAGAAUACUUUGGCAACUUAUGUUUUCCUUUUCCUUUUCUUUUUUGGUGCUAUUAUUUAUAACAUAUAUUUAUGAAUUGAUAAGAAUUGUUCUUUGUUUUUAAUUUUGGAAAAAAAAUAGUUGCUACCCCAAAGCAAAUCAGGGAGUUGAUGAAGGUUGACGGUUUGACCAAUGAUGAGGUUAAAAGCCAUCUGCAGGUUCUAUCUCUUUCUUAUGUAAAUGUUUUCAUAUGCUUCCAUUGACACAUAUAUAAUAAAUAAAUAAAUAAGUUCGAUUAAGUUACGAAUUCAAAGUAUUUUAAUUCUUGGAUAGUUAACUAUGUAGUAACAUUUUAAAAAAAAUUAUAAAUAUAGAAAAGUCUACAAAGAGAUCAUAUUACCAAUAUUGUUCUAUUAUCCCUAAAUUACAAGAGUCUAUCAUUAUAAACUUUAAUAUAUUUAUAGUUUUUUAUAAAAAAAUUGAUAUAUGUUUAAUUAUUAUUCUUCCAAAUUGAUAUUUAUUAUAAUUACAUUCUAAGAAAAAUUCUUAUUCAAGUUAUAUAAAGAUUAUUUAUUAAGAUUAAAUUUUGUUUUUUUUCUUCGAAACAAUAGACACUAAAUUUGUAGGAUAGUGAUUUCAUUCGAUAAUGAUUUAGAUGUUAUUAUUUGUGAUCACAAUUUAUCUACCAUGUUUUUCAUUUUUCUUCGUAAGAUAUUUGACAAUCAUAGUCAAGUUAUGAAACUAACACCAAAAUUUUAAAAGCUAUAUGUUUCAAAAUUGAAUUUUGAUUUUGAGAAAACUAUAACGAAAAAUAGGUUAAAAGAAUCAAAUAGUUUUCUAACUUUAAUGAUAAUAUUGAGUUUGAAAGUAUAAUUGAUUAUUGUUGAUUUGUUUCUCUUUUCUUUUCUUGGUAUUGUACAUUAGAAAUAUAGGCUGCACACAAGGCGACCAAGUCCAAGCCCACAAGCGGCCGGAGCUCCGGCGCCGCAGCUGGUAGUCGGCAUUUGGGUUCCACCGGAGUAUGCCACGGCAGCCGCCCACGGUGGAGCAGCGGCCCUAUACGGACCUCAUCCCACAACCUACUGUGCACCACCGGUGCACCAAGAUUUCUAUCCACCGCCACCACUGCCGCACCACCAGCUCCACCACCAGCACGCACUGCACCAGCAGCUACACAUGUACAAGGCAGCCGCCACUGCUCAGGCUCAUAGCUCCCCGGAAUCAGACGGCCGAGGAAACGGUGACCGAUCGGAGAGCAUCGAGGAUGGUGGGAAGUCGGAGAGCGGCAGCUGGAAGGUGGAGAGCGGCGGAGAAAAUAACGGCGGGACCGGAGAGAGAAAAGGGAACUUGGCGGCGCUCCGGCAAGAGACCGGAGAUGAGAGCAAUGGGAGUGAAAUUACACUCAAGUUCUAAGGUUAAUUAAGUAAUUAACUAUAUUGUGAUUAGAGGUUUAGACUAAUUAAUUUUAAGAGUUAGAUUUUAUAUAUUUAUAUAUAUAUAUAUAUCUUAGAGAGAGAGACUUUUUCUUUUCUAAUUUUCCUUUUUUCUUAUAAAUUGUAUGUCAUUUUAAUUUCUAAUUAAUUCUUAUUAACUUUUGAACCAAAAGAAUAUUUGAUGAUGGUGAAGAAAGUGUAAUGGGAGGGCAUAUAAUAUAAAAAUAAAAGUGCCCAAGUGUUUGUUUGUUUUUAUUUUUUUCCCCCUAAAUCUUAUUGUGUGAUUUUCUUUUUCUUUUAUCUUUAUAUCAUCAUUUGUAUUAAAAUCCUUGUUUUCUCUAGACAACAUUUUAUGUAAUUUUCAUGAGAAGUUGUAAGUAUACCCAUCAACUCAAAUCAAAGUACUAGCAUGUAAAUGAAUUUGUAGAUAUAACAAAAGCUUAGAUCCAAUUUUUAUAGUAAUUCUAAUUUAACUUUAAAAAGGAAAUGAUUGGUAGAAAGAAAAAGAAAAAAGUGGAUGUUUGUUUUCCUUUUUUUUUUUUUUUUUUUUUUUUUUACUUUUGUAUGGUAUAAUAAGUUUUAUUCCAAUUUACAAGAGAGUGGAGAUUGGAUUUUGAUGCAAUCUACUCUUUUGUCCUUUCUAUUCCUUAUAUAUCUUUAAUCAAGUUGGACACAUUUUCCCCUUAUAGAUUCAAGAUAAUAACUCUUCAGGUUUAGUCAACAAAUUAAAAGGCUUGAAAAAAAACAAAUGGAGUUUCUAUAGUAAUUGGAUCUACAACAAAACAAAUCAAUUUCAAACGAAAUAGAUAAAUCAAUUUCAAACGAAAUAGAUAUUGAUGGAUAAAAUCAUGGCUUACCCCAGUUCCCACUGACUAGAGUUAAUAAACGUAAGCCAUUUUUAAACUUUUGUUUGAUUCAUUUUCAUAAAAAAUUGAUGUAUUGAUUCUUCAAUAUCAAGAAUUGUAUCUUUUGGUACUCGUGCAUGAGCCUUUUUUUUUUUUUUUUAUGAUGCCAAAGAAAUAACUCCACCAUUUUGCCAACCAUCUUUCUUCGAAAUUCUACUUAAUUAAUCGUUGCCCAUUCCAUUUUUUUAACAACUUAACAUGAGAUCUCCACACUAAGAACUUCAUGUUUCUUCUUAAACUUUCGUAGAUGUAACGAUUUUGGUUUCUAAAUAUUGAUUUAGAUUUAAAUUACUUGAAGCUGUUUUGUAUUAUAUACAUUUGUACAUUCGACGAUCACUGUUAAAAGAGUAAAAUGAGUAAAAAAAAACCACUUUAGAUUACACCAUUUCAAUGGAGUUUACUUUAUAUGAAAAUGAAUCCAUAGACACAAAUCUCAAAUUUCAUAUAUUAAUUUUCGUAUUUAACCCUCUUGAAAUUAUAAUUAAUCUAUAAAAAACACAACAUAGUAUUUAAAGAAAGAAAGAAAAUCUUGAGCUCCUAAUUUGUUUAAGGAAAUUUGAAGAUUUUCAAGGCACCGAAAGGUCUGUGCCUGAAGAACUUUCCACCUUAAUUUCCUCUUAGCUUUCACAAACUUUACUAAGUAACCACGUUACCAUCUUUACAUUUUUCUCACUAGCUUUUGUCUCUUUAAAUUUGGCUAUCCACCAGAAAAGGCCUAUCUGGACCAUUCCCAAUUCCCACCAUCUCAAACAUUCUCUACUAACUUUACUCUCAUUUAUUUAUGACAUUUCUGUCAGGCUUGAGAAACAUCAAAAAAGAAACACACAACAGAGAUUCUAUUUCAUUCAAUAAAUCUGAACAUUUUGAUAGUUCUAUUUCAUUCAAUAAUUAUCCCUAUAUAAUUCUAAAAUGUCUUUUCAAGCGUACCUUUUGAUGCAUUUCUCAAACACUUUUUCUUCUUCUUCAGUCUCUUUCGUUGAACACGAACUCGCCAUCCUGUUUUGUCCUUUUUUGUCCAGCUUUUGGAAGAAAAAAAAAGAGUUAAAUUGUAAGUAAAAGAUAAAGAGGGGAUGAAAUGUAACGAAAUACCGGUAUGGAAUUCGGUUUGAAAUGUGUAGAGAUGUUAUCGGAAAAGGGUUACAACCUAAACUUUAAAAUUCCAUUCAUGGGAAGGAAUUUCAGGCAAGGUGGAAAAACUACUUGGAUGAUAGAUUUAAUUUUGAAAUAUAACUGUUACCUAUUUAACUUGACAGAGUGAGUAAACACAUGUGCUUAGUUGAUUGUGAACAAACCAUGAAAUGAAUGGACAGCUUAAUCUUGGGAAAAUUAGGUUACAUAGAAUUCUAUUUCUACAUCACAACUUGUCAUUAGUAUGAACAAAAGACUGUGAAGGUGCCGACCACGGUGAAGAGUUGCAUGCCAACAAAAUAAGCACGAUGCAGCUUGUACAGAGAUUGAAAUUGAAAUUGAAAUUGGUUGGAACUUCAUACUUCAUCCAACAUCACUCUCUAUUGCAGUUGAUUCAACAAGAGCCUGUAAAGUAAGAAAUAGUAAUUUUGUUUUAUUCAUUCAUGAGCAAUUUCAAAAGGAUGAAUUGAAAGUAUCUUCGGAGCAGAGUAAUCUGAUAAAGAGAUGGGAGAUUUAGGUAAUGGUUACACAUGCUUCAUUACAUAUAAUAUUAAUAUAUGAUAAUUCUCCAAUAACAAAUAUAGAUAAAUAUAAUCUUCACAUUAUGUCAUAUGUAAGAUUCCCAACAAAAUAUAGAUACAUUGUUAAUUGUUCUUACAAGAGCCUGUCCAACAAUUUCGUCCAUUAGCACAUUUUUUAUAUAGCAUUAGAUGUUAACUGUUUCUUUCUAUUAUUACUAUUACUAUUAUGAGAAAGAAGAGAAUCAAGGAGUUUUAAUGUUGAAACACCAACCUGAAGUUCUUGUUCACUGGUCUUAAGUCUCUUAGAAUAAUCCUUUACUAGCAGAAAACUUUUAUGGAGCUGCAGUUAUUUGCAUAACGAAACCAAAAUCAUCAAUGCCAAUGCAGUUAUUGAACAAAGUAAAAUAUUGAACAGAUAGUUUACCUUGAUCAGCUGCGUCUGACGGAAUGAAGAGCGCUUCUUUGCACUGAUCAAUGCAUCUUCCAGUUUCUGGAUCCAAGUCGAUAUUAGUUAUAAUUGAGGGACAGGGCUACAAUCAGAACACAACAAAAGUAUCAUGGUUGCAAGUUAUAAAAUAAUUUUUUUACCUUGGCUUUCUUUUGCAACUCAACCACAAGUUUUUCUUUCUCUCCUGACCUCUCCUCUAUUUGAGAAACCUGAAAAGGAAAAACUCCAAGGCUUUAAAUUCAAGUGCAAUCAUGAUAUCUAAAAGAAUGAUACAAAACAAGUUGCAGAACUUCCACAAAACUCAACAUGUAUUUAUUUGGGACCUAUAUGCACAUAUAUUUUGAAGUAAAUUUCAGAUCAAGAGUACUAAAUUAUGCUAAUCCACAUUGAAAUUUUUCGGAAAACUUUCCCGACCAUUUCUAAACGAGUCUCUCUCUUCUGCAUGGAAAAAGAGAAUCAUCAAGGAAACAAACCUCUUUUCUAAGUUCUUCCAAUCUUUCUGUUGAUAUCUCCAGUUGUUCCUUUAACUAAAACACAAACAAUAGGAUUAAAAGUUGCGUUCAAUGCUUAUUAGUAAGUUGUAACUUUUUAAUAGGAAAAUCUAAAAGGUGAAAAAUGGUAAGCAGUAGCAUACUUCAUGGAUAUAAUCAUCACUAGAAUCAGAUGAAAGAUCCCGUGCAGUUCGACCUUCAAUUGUAAGACUGAAAACAGAAGCCAUAAUAGCAAUCAUAUAAUCAUAGCCAAAAGGUCAUUCCAUUUUCUCUAUCUUUUUUAUGAAACAGGAGGCACUGAAAAGAGAAGACAUAGUAGCAAUCAUAUAAUCAUAACCAAAAAGUGACUCCUCUAUCCUUUGUAUGAAACAGGAGAGAAGAACAUUUGCCAUCUUCCUCUUCCUUUACUUUCUAUUUAUCAUUUCAUUUUUUUUUUCUAUUUUGACAGGAAACAAUUUCAUUGUUUGAAUGAAACAAUACAAAAGAAAACCCAUCCAAAUGGGAUUUAAAAAAGAUUCCUCCAAUUUGUAAAGGAAAAUUUUAAGUUGUAGUUGUUAAUAGGGAACCACUUCCUUUACAAUAGAGGAUUAUACUAUACAAAUACGAAGGUCUGUACAUUUGGGGAAAAGAAAAACAAAAGAUGGUUCUAAAACUAAACAAGACUAUGCAAGCACUAAAAUGAGCUAAGAAUGAUGUGGAAGCAUUUUUUAAGUGGUCCCUACAGAAAAGUUAUUAUCUAAUUCAUCUCUCUAAGCGUUGUAACAGCAGAUCCAUUGUUUGGAACAUGCCUCUACGGCCAUCUAAUUCUGCAAUUUGCUAGUAGUAAUGUCCUUCCCUAUUGUUCACCGCCCUUAAUAUAAACCCAAUGAACUAUAAAAAAUGAAAAAAUAAAGUGCUUUCAAGGUCUCUAGAUAAUUUCUGGAAUCACUAACUGCCCAGAUCAAAACUAUCAAACGUGAAAUGGCUAGAAAUAAUCAGACAUUCCAAUCACAACAAUUUGGGCAAUCUCAAGUUUUCAACAUAAUGCCACAGAUGGGCAAAUUAGUCAGAUGACUGCCCAAAGAUAAAUAUAAAAUUUAUAUUAAAACUACUUAACAUUGAUUUCAAUAAGUUUGAGGACAGACUAACCCGUUAUCUCUCCUUAAAACUUGAUCUCUGUCAUUGUCAAGGCUUUUAUCUCUUCUUAAGACUUGAUCUCUGUCAUUGUCAAGGCUUUUAUCAUAAUCAUCAGUUUUAUCAAUGCCUCUGCCUCCACUCAAAUCAGCACCAUGAUCUUUUUCCCAAUCUUGAUCGUGGUUCAACUUCAAGUCAUGUACCUUCUCAUUAUCCUUUGAAGUUUUUUCCAACUCUGGCUCCCUAUCCAAAAAUUGAUCCCUUGGUAGAUCACGAUCUUGUGAAUGCUUAUAUCCUCUUUCCUUGUCCAAAUCAUGUUCUCGAGACCGAUCAUGAUCUCUAGACCAGUCAUUGUUUCUACCUCUAUGACGAUACCUAUCAUGAUCAUAAUCCCUCCCUCGAUCUCUAUCCCUCUCCCAGCUCACGUCCCUCUCUGCAUCGAACCGAUUACCUUCCUUACCAAACCUUCCACCAAGUCGACUCUUCACUCCAUUAACUCGGACAACCCGCCCUUCAAUAGUCUAAUUCAAAGCCUUAAAAUGUCAGGACUCAAGACUAAAAAACCAUAAUGAAAAAUAUAUAACCAUCCAAAACUAAAAAGAUUCAUAUUCCAGCUAUAAAUUAACAUACCCUUCCAUCCAUGUCUUUUAUGGCAUCAAUAGCAGAUCGAGGGUUUGUAAAAGUAACAAAGCCAUAGCACUUUCCCCUAGUAGAACGAUCAUUGAUAAUCUGAACACCAAAUCAAAGCAUUCAACUAUAAAUACAUUAAACCACAUGUAAAUAAGCCAUUCAACAAGCCUAAUUGAAGCAUUUUAACAAACACAAAAGUGAACUAACUACUCAAAUUCUCCACAAUAGCAAAAAUUCUUCAACACAAUCCAAUUUUUUUUUCACCAUUUUCAGUAACGCAAAACACGUCUAUACUCCUAAAGAAACGUCAUAAACUAAACAAUUGAGCUCGAAUUGAUCUCUGAACUUCAAAUAGCCUUGGGAAAAAAAAGCUUAUAUUCAAGCAAUCAAAUAUUCCAUCAGAAACACCUAAAGAGCUACAUAAUUCUGAGGUAUACACGACGUAACGAUAUUAUCAACAGUCGUAAAAGAAAAUUUGUGACAUAAGAAGAUGAAAGGAGCGAAUCCGGUCGGUGGAGUAAUUGACCUUAACAGCGACGACGGCGCCGUACAAAUCGAAGAUUCUGCGCAAACUAUCCUCCGUUGCAUCGUAAGGAAGACCGCCGACGUAUAUCGAGCUGUCGUCGUCCACCGUCAUGGCCACCGUGAAAAUCCAAUCUCCGAGAAGAAUGAAGAAAGUCGAGAAGCACACUACUGAACUGCCUUUCCCAAUGUUAAAAACUCGCCUACGAACCGUUAAUCGACGUGUCGGAAGUGAGACGCAAACUUAACGACAUGUCGUAUUGCAUGGAGGGAAAAGAAUAUAGUAUAUGCCCACUUCUCUCCAGGUGACAGUAAAAUCACAUUUCUGAUAAAAGAAAAAAACUAUUUUCAAAUAGGGGUUUUUCUUUAAAGAAAUAUAAAACGUUUAGACAAAUUAUUUGCACUUCCGUGACAAUACUACUAAAUAAUAAUUUAUUAUGUUUAAUUCUUUUUAUAAAAUUUAAAUAUAUGUUCUAUUUUUAACCAUUUCCAAAUAGGUUAGUUUAUUUAUAAUGGAUUUUACAAUCAAAUAGGUUACACCGUCAUAAUCUAGUGAUACUUUUUAUAAAUAUUUUUAAAAACUUUUAUAUUUAAAAUAAUUUGAUAGAGUCACUACUUCUAGAGGUCACUUAUUAUGCUAUAUUAAAAGAUCUCUCGUUUAAAACCGUUUUGAUUUAUAUGUUGUACUAAUCGUGACAUCUUGUUUUUUAUAUAUAUAUCUAUAUCUAAAAAGAAUCGAUUCGCUCUAAAACAUAUUCACGUUGAAUUUAUAAAAUUAAUAUCAAAAUAAUAUUUUAAAAGUUAAGUAAGAUGUCUUAAAUUUGUAUUUAAUUAAUUCUUGAACUUUGAAGAGAACGUGGAGAUGUGGAGGUGGUCCAUGAUGAAAAGGAAUACAUUGACGACACUUAACAUUGGGUGAUGUUGCUAUAAAGGUUAGAAAACUCUUAGUAUAGUGAAAGUAUUGAUUUACUUAGAGAGUUACACGAGAUGGGGUUCUUUUUUCUGUAACAGGCUCCUGUACCUUCCAUAACAAAUAGAGAAGAUUAUAGCAUUCUUGAAUAUGAAGAUCCAGCCGGCUAUUGUGAUCAGGUAAUUUGAUUAUCCUUUAUGAUAUCUCACGUUGUUAGUUUUGUAUCAUCAUUUAAUGCUAUAAGAACUUUUAUAAGAGACAAUGACUGUUUGAAACUGUAGACAUUAGUUUUUGGAAUGUGAAUGUCACAGUUACUGCGUAGGGAUCUAAACGUCAUUAGAUGUAGUUCUCUUAAGAAAGAUGUAAUAUCGAACUUCUAUUAUUAAAUAUAUAAAUUCAGAAAUAUUUCUGUUUCAAAUUUCCUUAUUAUUACAUGACAUUGAACCAUUUAAAAUAAUGAAGUUUGUUUUUGGUGUUUGCUGAAUCUUUUGAUAAAAAGCAUCGUAUUAUUAAAAGUAAAUUAUUCAUUUUUGAACCUCCCGAUAUAUUGUCUCAAAAAGAAAGGGAAAGGAAAAAGAAAAAAGACCCUUGCAUUGUUACAUAGUUCAUUAUUUUUUUCUACUACGUCUUUCUUAGGAGAGUACGCGAACUUAACAAAUGUCUUACGCCAACACGUUGCCAUGACAUUGUCUUAGCUUAAGUCGUAUCCAUGCCACAUCUUCUCUGUUUUGGAUCCACAUUUGGGCUUUACCCUCCCAAGUAAAUGCAGAAAAGCUACUGUUCUUUUUGUAAAUAUGUAAAUGCACAGUAAAACUUAGAACGUUCUCAAUUGUUUCGUUCUUCCAACAAUAACCAACAGAUGGAUUUCAAGAUUUCAAUUCACUUCUUGUAGGUGUCAAUUCUAUUUGCUGAAUGGUACCGGAUAUGUGAGCUUUCCUGGUGCUAAUGAAGCUGCCUUGAACCAUUUCAUAUUACAAUUACAUCAAAAUGGACUUCUGAAAGGGGAUGAGCUUCCUGUUUUGGUCUGUUUUUCUAAUUUCUGUUUAGGAUUGAAUCAUAUUUUUAUUUUGCCAACUCACUGUAUCCUUGGCCUUGGCAAUGUAGGAGGUUUUUGUGGCACAUUGCUUAUCAUCUGAAGUAAUUAACUCGGGUGCAUUACAAUCAUCACCCCAACAAAUACAGAAUCUUUCCUUCCUUGCAAUUGACAUUUAAGCCAAACUUGUAUCUCCAAUCACGCCACGUGACGCUCAAAUCUUCUUGAACAAUCUCUUUUUUACGCUUGUGUUUAUAUCAAUAUUUUGUAUCUUAUGAUAUAAUGCUUUUUCGAUGCUUAGAUUAGAAUGGUAUUCGUGUUGGUUUCGCUGUGCAUGGAGUAUGAAGUUCAGGAAGUUUAUGUGAAAGUAGUUUGAUAGGAUAUGCUUUCUGAGAGAGCCGCGAGUUUAAGAUUUUAAUUUAGGAAGGCAACUGUUUAAUAUGUUUUUGCAUGACUUUUUUUUUUUUUUUUCUUAUGUUUAUUUUGAAAUCUAUUAAACCCUUUUCAAAUGGUUUAUGUUGCUUGACUAAAAUUUUCGUACUCAUUCGAGUACAUAACUAAAAUCACUUUGUUCCCAGUGGGCUUCCCAGAGCUUGCAGAGUUCAUCGUAACCUUGAGGUUGCUGAGAAAGCAGCCCAACAGCUUCCGGAACUCGAACUUAACGAUCCUGGAACAUAUGUUUUACUUUCAAACAUAUAUAAAUGGAAAAGUGGGAAGAAUCUAGAUGGAUCAGAGAAAUCAUGCCUCAAACAAAGUUAAAUAUGUCCCCUGGUUGUAGCUUGAUUGAGAUUAAUGGAAUAGUCCAUGAAUUAGUGAAGGGGAGAAAUAUAUACAAUUCUAGAUGACGUGAUUAGCAAGUGGAAGGAAGCAGACUACAUUCCUGAGAAAUCAGAAGUCCUGUUUGAGAUGGAUGAAGAAGAAAAAGAGACUGCUCUUAGCCUUCACAGUGAGAAACUAGCUUAUUAGCACAAAACCUGAGACGCCAAUUCAGAUUAUGAAAAAUCUUCAUGUUUGCACUGAUUGCCAUACUGCUACUAAGAUCAUCUCAAAGGUUUACAAAAGAGAAGUAAUUGUACGAGAACGCAAUAGAUUUCCCAUUUUAAGGAUGGAAGUUGUUCUUGGGAAGAUUUCUGUGAACAUUACAUUAAUAUCACAGAAGUUCAGGAUUUCUAAUUAGAUUGAUUUAUUUGGAAUGCAAAGAGAGGAUCAGAGGGUUCUGUUGAGGGGAUUGUGGACGAUCCUACUGCCCACCAAGUGUGGAGGAAAUAGAGAGAUGCGUAAUCCUGAUAUGAGCUUCCUCAGAGAAUGGAAUUAGAGUACAGAAAAGCUUCCAUUAUAAACACCUGAAACCUCACUUAGUUCAAGAUAUAAACCCUAAGAUUCAAGCUAGAAAGAUUAAAGUCUUUGCUCUUAGCUCAAAAGUCAAACAAUCCAAAAAUAGGAUGAUCAGUCCAAACUGAAUAGUCUUGAAAUAUGGAAAGUAACUCAAUAAUAUAAUUGGAAAGACCUCGAAUUGACUUGGCUCAACUUGAAAGGAAAGAAACAACUCAAUAUAAGACAAAGCUUUAUAUAGCCUUCCAAGAGACUCCUAAUCAGUCGCACUAUCUAUAUUUGCUAGGUUGCUAAUUGAUGUAAGAUUUCUCAAGUGGUCAGUCAUAUGACUCAUUUAUGGAUUAGAAUUACUUAAAUAAGACUAUGGCUCAUAUCAGGCCCAUAAUAACAUCAGCUAAAAGCCUAAUUUUGGAGGAAAUAAGAGUAAAUAAGUAAACUAGCUGGAACAAGAUGAUUGUCUUCAAUGGAUUCUCCAAUGGAUAUGACCAAGUGGGCAACGAGAGUUGAUUAGGCACAGAUCUCUUAGUUUCUCUAGAAAUGAAACAAGAAUUCCAUUUGAUGGAGGUUUCCUCCGCUUUUGAAGAGCUCGGUCAUUUCUACUUCUUUUCUUCAUUUUUAGGUUCUUGAAGCUCUCCUGGGUUAUUUCUUGCUUGAUCCCCCGAUUGGCACCACUGAUAAAGCAAUGCUUCAUCUUCCUGAUCCUGCUGUUGAUCAUUCUUGUGUAGUUGUGGAUGGAGGUUGGAAACUUGAAGCUUGAUUGAGUUCUCUUCAUUCAUAUCAAAUCCUUAAUCAAGCAGUAAGAUAAUAGAUAGAUAAGUUUACUGUUCAGUAUUUGAAACUAAACUAGAGGUCCAAGAAACCCUGCAUCCAACAGCUCAAUGAUUCCAUUACUUGUUAUCAAACCUUCCCCAAUUGAACUAUUCCAGUGACAAUUUGAUGAGAAAAACAAAGUACUACCAACAAAAACAGUGAAAUCCCACAACUCGUAAGUUUCGAUGCUUCUGUUGAGGGGAAACGAAUACAAUAAAAGCAUCACAGAUUAUUGUCAACCAGGAAAGGGUGCAUAAGAUAAAAUCUAGUACAUAUCUCAGAGAAAGUUCUUAUCAAAAAAAGAUGUCAAAAAGGCUGAUGCCUGAUCACAAUUUACUGCUAAGAUGUUUAUAUCAAAUGAAUCCCUAGCUAAAUGCAUAAACGGACAUUACAAAUUAGAAUCCGUAGAAAAGUGGUAUAUAUAUAAAAUCCUUGAAACUAGCAUGUAUGAAUGACAGCCCAUGAUAAUACUUCUUCGAUAAUAAGAUUCCAAAAAUAUCCAGUACCUAAGUUCAUAUAAGUUUUAAAUAUCCUACUUUUUCUCAUGAGUAGCCAAAAAAUCUAAGUUCCAAUAAAAACCUCAUACGGAGGAAAGUUUACCAGGCUUGCCAUGAUUUCCCUCAGGAUCAUUAUCAUUUCCCGUGGGCUUAUCCGCUGAUGAUGGGGCACUGCCAGCUCCAGUAACCGACUGCUGAUAUAGGACACCCCCUGAAAUUGUGAAAAGGAGACAGACCAAACCAAAUGGAUUUGCAUGCUUAUCCCAAAUAAACACAUUGAUCGCAACUGUUAGGAACUUAUUAACCACACCGGUAACUGUGAAGGCAGUAGCAGAAAUUGCCUUUCUUGCCGCAAAACCAAAGAAGCUUAUGAGGAAACCAAAUACACAGGAUAAGGACACUGCAAAAAAUGCAUCAUAUUCAAACCAAUCUCCUCCACUUGAACCUAAGGUAGAGAAAACAUCAACAUACUCUCCAGUGAUGAACCAGAACACAGGAGCCAAGAUCAAUGAAAUUAGAUUAUUAUACAGAACAAAACCCCAUGUGUUCAACCCAAGAUGUGUAACCAUAUGUUUGAUGUAGACCAUCUCAGUAGUAAUUGUCACCAAAUAAGCAAAUGCCCAUGAAUAAGCAGUCAAAGUAAAUGCAGAAUCUGUAGCUACAUACCCAACUGCUCCACCUAAAAUGAUCACCAACGAUCCAAACGUGAGCUUUGACGGACACGGUUGGUUUCUAAACAUGGUAUCUGCAAUGGCAACUAAAAGAGGGGUACAAGAUCUGAACACUAUGAAAGUAUCCACAUUAGCAUGGCGAAGAAGAUUUGUGUUGGUAAAGAUUGCGAGAUAGAACACAAACGCAGCAGGUAAAAACUUCUUAGCAGUUGCAUAUGUAAAAGGGUCAUGAUGCAAAAACCCAAGUUUCCCCAAAAUCCAAACACCAACAGCAGAGGUUAAAUACUGCAGAGCCGUCAAAAGACCAGGGUAGUUAAAUUUGGUAAUGGCAAACUUGUUUAUCACAGCAAGCAAGCUCGAACAAAGAGCAUAACCAAUCACAAGUCCACUGGUUGUAAAGUAUUGCUUCGUAUCCACUCUAAUGGAAGACAUUGCUGUAGUCUAUACUCAAUGAAAAUCAGUAACACAGAAAAAUUCAAGGUGGCAUACGGAUCAAGAUCAAAAGAGAAGGUACCCAGUAGAAGAAAUCAGGAAUGUAAUGCGAAUAUCGAAGCUACUUAAGCAGAUACUUGAAUACAGAAAAACCCCAGAUGAAGAAAGGGGGAUUCUCCAAGAAUAACCAAUUGGGGCUGACUGAAAUUCAAAGUAAAUGGUAAAUAAAGAGAAGAAAAUAGGAGUUUGUCAUUACCGACAAAAUUGGGAAGCUCGGAUCUGGAGCAACAAUGGAGGGAAAAUUGUAAUCGUACAGAUGCCCCAAUAAUUUAACAAAGAAUCAGAAAAAUCCAAAAGACCCAAUGAAGAGUUGAGAGAGAGAAAGGCAAAUGGGUGUGGAGCCGAAUGUCAUACAGAAACAGAGGAAACGAGGAAAAGAAAUUGAAUUGGUGGCAGAGGAGAAAUCAAUGGGGUUCUGAUUUGGAAGAGAUGGGAUGAAUGAAGGUGACAGAAGAAGGCCCAUUUAAAGCCCAUUACUUAGUCAAUGUAACGACGUCGUAUUAACGUACUGUAUUUAUUUACCAUUUAAUAAUUUAUUUUUCAUUUAUGAAAUUUCUCACUUUAUGUUGCUUAUUAUGUACUCUCUUCAAUUGGAAAGUUAAGAGUAUUUUUUACAAAAUUAGAUUUUUGUCACAAUUUUAAAUUAUUUACCAACUCUAUUGAUUUUAUAGUCUCUGUAUUUCUAAUAAUUAUUAAAUUUAGUUUUUUGUAUUUUUGUUUCUUAUUUAUUUGAAAGAGGAUAUUUAUGUUUAUUAUUAUUGAUAGAAUUUAAAAUUAUGUUGUAAAUAUUAUUGUCGAAUUUGCUAUUUUUGAAAAUUUUUAUUUUAAAAGUAUAUUCCCACAUUGUAUCUUUUUUUAAUUUUGAUAAAUAUAAAUUUUGAAAGACAAAAUUUAAAAUUUAUUAAAGGUAUUGAACAUUUACCAAUACUAAAUUGAACGAUUCUAAAAAUAUUUAGACGAAGCAGUUUUGUCGUUUACAAUAAUUUAUAUAUAUAUAUUACAUGUGUAUGUAUAUAUAACUUAAUUCUUUUAAUAACAUUUUUCUUACCGUGUGUUAAAUAAUUGAUAAUAUUUUAAUAACAUUUUCAUUCGCAAUAUUUGUUUAACAUCCCAUAUAGGGAUAAGAGUGUAGUUCAAUCAAUUGUUAAUAAAUAUAAGGGAUGACUAAUUAGGUCAUUGCUUUAGUAAUAAUUAAAGGUAAUCUUAGGUAAUUUAUGAGCACAAUCAAGUUCAAACUUAAUUGGUCAAUAAAAGCAACUAGUGAUUAGUUCAAUGCAAACCAUUAUUUGUUUUUCAUGAGCUAAAUUGGAGGUGUGUAUUUAUAUAUUAGAUUGUUAGUAAAGAUACACAUGUAUUCAAAUUUUUUUAAAAUUUUCAUUUUUUUCUUGGAGAUAACCGAAUAAAGUCAAGGUUGAAUAUCUCACAUAAAUGAUAAAACUCCUCGAAUAAAAAAGAGAACUAGCAAUCAACUAAUCUAAAAUGUUGUAAAACCAAGAAAAGUUAGGCAACACCACGGUAUCUAAUCCCUUCUGAACUAGCUCCAUGUACAAAUCUAUUACACUCUCUAGGUGUAACACAAAAAGUGAAAUGUAUGACAAAACCAAAUGCCAAUCUUUAUGUUUACAAAUAAGUUUUGAACUUUAACCAAUGAGUCCAGUAAACGAUUAGUCGUAGUGACCAGUACUUGACAAUAGAAAAAAAUGUAUAGAUGUAGACCAUCCAACCUCUGAAGUACGAAAUCUCCAAAACUCCAAAAUUGUGCCUAUUAAUUACCCACGAUUUGCUAAAUUAGUUAACCAUUUGUUGUGAUCAAACAAUCUCAUUAAAUGUGCUUACUCUUAGUUAAUACAUUUUUGUAUUAUGCUUUUUACCUCAUAGUUAUUUAUUCCUCAUAUAGUCAAAUAAUUAGCUUAUAUUACUCCUAGAAUACCUUUUUUUU
This 97395-nucleotide long non-coding RNA is filed under the name Cucumis sativus (cucumber). RNAcentral describes it as "long non-coding RNA (CSAT_LNC000480)". Lineage: Eukaryota; Viridiplantae; Streptophyta; Magnoliopsida; Cucurbitales; Cucurbitaceae. The record is from RNAcentral.